CAAGCAGAUAACCUUAUUCACACAUAUAUAGAUAAGUCGAUAUCUUCUUUUGAAAUCACACAUAGCAGAUAACCAAACGAGGGAAUAAGAAAUCACAGCAUCCGAAACUGAAGCAGACAAUACUUGAUAAUUGUUUUAGCGACAGCUUCUUUAGAUUAGGAAGCACCAUCUCCUUCUCAACGUUGACAGGUGAAACAUGAUCAUCCUGCCCAAACACUCCCAAUAAUUGAGACGCUUUUUUUACUCUAAGUAUUUGGAGCUAUGGGAGACCUGAAGCCAUGGUAACUGGGAAGAGGCUCUUCAACAUGUUACAUUCUCUAAUCUCAAUUUCACACAAAUUGGGAAAGCAUAAAGAUUGGAGAUGAUCUCCUAACAAUAUCUGGUCGUUUUCAUCAUCAUCCUUAGCAAUGAUUUGCUUGAAUUCCUCAUAGGACAAUAUCUUUAGAACUUUCAGUUGGACUAGACUGACAAUCAUGCUGCAUGUGAAUACCAGUGUCAGUCUCUUACACUCAACCACCUUCAAAGUAGUCAAUUUGCUCAGCACGAGACCCUUCCAUAUACACCUCAUGUCAGGCAGGGAUUCCAAGCAUAAUUUUUCCAAAUUUGUCAACCCUUGCAUCAAAAGAAAACAAGGAUACCAAAUUUAUAAAACAUUCUUACUUACAAAAACUUGUAGGUCUAGUGUUACCAAUCCUUGUCUUGGGCUUAUACAUGUUCCAUUGGUCCAUAAAUAUAUUUGCUAAGCUAUCAACAUAAUUUGUUUGGGACAAAUCCUCAUCUAGUUAUAAUAGACUCACACCUGACUGCUUAAAAUCACUAGUUAUUGUAGGAUUGACUACAUCAAAAUUGAUUGGUUUUUUGUUUUCAAAGAGAUUUAAACUUUUGAUGCAGACGAAAGCUAAAAACACAAUAAUCAAAGAAAACAAAAAAAAAAUAUAAGCAAAAGGGACUAUAGAUGUAAACCCUCAAAUUCACAAGUUUAUUUUCUCUAAAAUAAUAACAAUGAAGUUUGUUUUCUUAGAAUGUUUACAAAUCCUUAAAUAUGUCAGGAACCUUACCUCCACUAGGAAACAAAAACAAAAAUACAAAAUUACAAAGAAAAGAUGCAUAAAAUCCAAAACAAGCAAGAAAUAAAAAAAAUAACAAGGAAAAUCACAGAAACUAUUAAAACUAUAGGCCUAAACAAAAUUUUUGAUAUCUAAAGAUUUGAUGGUCCACGUAAAAAUUUAAGUAUGAUCCAAUAGUCGAAUAAGAAAUUGUAACUCUUUUGAGUUGUUAUUCUAGUCUGACGUAUUUUUUCUCUUUUUUUCACUAUAAAUGAAGUUUGACCAUCAUUGUCAUAUAGUUUGACUUAGUUGUAUCGGUUUUUAAUCAGAUCAACUUUAUAUAAAUCAGAUCAACUUUAUAUAUUAUGAGUUUACAUUUACUAAUUUUAAAAAAAUGCUCACAAGUCCAUUGUUCACACCUCAAAUUCGUAACUGCAGCGAUUCAUAGGCAACGAAACCAGUUAGAGACUAGAGAGUAAACAUGCUAUUAAAGUUUGCAAGUAAGGGUUUAGAUUAGAUUAUUUGUUGUCUUGUUUCAAAUAUUAGAUCAGUCUCAACUCAUUAAAUAAACUAGUGGUGCAUUGAUCCUUGCAUUAAUUGUUCAUUAACAAACAAUUGUUAAUAUGAAACUUAUGAUGUAUUAAUAACGCAUACAACAAUGAGGCAGUUAAGUUUCUUCGAUAAAAUAAAAUCAUUUAAAAAAUAAAAAUAAGCUAGUAUGUUUGUUACAUAACUAAAAAAAAAAUUGAUUUUUUUAAAUUGAUUUUUUUAAAAAUCAUUUUAAUAGACUAAUAUUAAAAAUAAAUUUUAAAAAAUAAAAAAUAUAUUAUUUUGAUAUAUUUUCAAGGAAAAAACAUUAUGAAAAGAAAUUGUUAAUGUUUGUUAAAACAUUAUUGUUAAUAUUUCUUACUAAAUAUAUAAUGACAUGUGAUUGGAAUAAUGUAUGUGAACUUGUACACAACUUAAUAAAUGAGAAAACUAAGGUAGCCGGUCACAUGUGAUUGGAAUAAUGUAUGUGAACUUGUACACAACAUUAUUGUGGGCUUAAUGGACCACAUACAAGUUUGCCCUGUAUUUUAAGUGAAGUUUUGCAGAUUUUUGAAAGUUUUUUUUUUUCAAAUUGAAUUUUUUUUUUUUUUUUUUUGUGGUUACCAUAUCAGACAAAGUAGAGGUUGAUUUCAACAAGCAUGAAAAACCAAAUUCAUUAUGAGAUAUAUAGCCUCAAGAUUAUCACAUCAUAAAGAAGAGUAGAGGUUCAAAUCCCUAAAUCUAUAAAUAAAUAAAAAAUGAACUAACCAAUUUUAUCUCGAAACAACAUUGAUCGUGGUCAACCGUGUGACUUGUUCCGCCCCCGUCCCGGGUUCGACCCUCUAUGUGCACGCCUGUCACCCCCGCGGUGCCUUACCUGCCCCUGGGCUUGCAGGAUGUCCAGUGGGCCGUGGGGAAUAGUCGUGGUGCGCGCAAGCUGGCCCGGACACCCCACGUGAAUCAAAAAAAAAAAAAAAAAAACAUUGACACUAACUUAAUGCUGAGCCUUGGUACAAAUUAAGUCAGCACUUCCAUGCCUUGUGAUCUUGACAAAAAUAUUUUUGGUCCUUUUAGUUUAGAAAUGAAACUUUUCAGUACAAAGCUUUAUUUUACCUCUAUAUAUAGUUUCUGAGUUUGAGAAAAGAAAGAAAGAUUUGUUGAAAAACUACAAAGGAGAGAUAAAAUUAGUCAAUUUAGAUUUGGGUUGAUUUUCUAAUUUUAAAUCAAUUAAAUGUUUAUUUAAAAUAUUUAUAUAUCUAACUUUUCAAUAAAGGAGCAAUUUUUCAUUACAUUCAGCACAAUAUUUAUUUCACUAACCUGUACGAAGAUGACACGAGUUAAAAUAAUUGUUUAAACACACACUAUAUAUAUUGUGCAUAUAACUGUCUUGUAUUCACAUUAUUAGAUCAGUGUAUGCACACAACAUUUGAUAUUUUUAACUGUUAUGAAUAAUCUGUAUAUUAUGUGUCGCACGUGAGCGACGUCGCGGCGAUCGUCCACCCAAAACAAAUGUAAUAAUAUGGGGGAUAUAUAUCUGGUCAAUGUAGGGAGACAAGGAAUUCGUUGUCUCUUAGCAGUGAAAAAUGGUGUGGGAGUCGCCACCUAGUAUUUUGGUCACUAGGAACCCUAACUGGUCUCAGAGAUCGGGUACGGGGACUGGUUGCGUAAAGGGAAGGUAUUAGCACCCCAAAUACGCCCUACCUAAGGUAAGCUGCAUCGUUUAAUUGUCUGAUAAAAUUUAAGGUGUUUUCAUUGUGUUUCCUAGUUGUUGGUCCGUCUAUGGUUCAAGAAAAGUCCUCCUUAAUAAGGAGGUCCUUAUCUUAUCGGGUAAAACCUAACCGUUCUAGCGUCUAUGUAAAAAAACAUAUUUUUAAUUUCAGGAAUACGUUUUACGUAUAAAUUCGUAAUCCCAUAUACUAACAGAGGACAAAAAGAUUUUUUAGAAUUUUUGGAAUAUUGGCCUAGUUCUCAUGGCUUGAAUAAACUGGUUAUUAAAGCCAAAAUGCAUGCUAAUACAUAUAUUGUUUUGAAAUUUCUUUUGUUGUGUGAAAAUAUGAUGUUAUAAUAUUUAUAUAUAUAUAUUGGAGAGACUAGGCCGUAUUUUAAAACAAAAACAUUUUUUAAAUAUGUAUUUUGUACGUUUUGACGCAAAUCGGGUAUUUUAAUACUGGGUUUGUAUCCUUGCAGUAUAAAAAUACAACCAAAUAUUAAUCUACUUUGAUAAAGCAAAUGCAGAAAAAUCAACAAUAUUUUCAAAGAUAUUUUAGAAAAUUUUUGAAAGCAAAAGACAUUUUUUAUUUUGAAAAUCUUUGAUGUUUUGAUGAAAACCGGGUAUGUUAAUACCGGAUUUGUAUCUUUACAGUAUAAAAUACCAACCAAUAUUAAUCAAAAUACAGUAAUAAAAUUACAGAAAAUCACAUAUUUUUGAAAUAAUUUUUGAAGAAUUUUUGUAAUUUUUUCAUAUAUAUAUAUAUCUAUAUAAAUAAUACAAAAUAUAAUAUAUAUAAUAUAAUAUAUAAUAUUAAAUGGGCUGGGCUGGUCCGGCCCAACCGACUGGGCCGGACUCAGCCCAAAAUUGUUGGGCCGAUCUCGGCCCAAAAUGGGUUGGGCCGAUCUCGGCCCAAAACAAAAAACACAUUAUCUUCUGGGCCAGACCCGGCCUAGAAGACAGGGCUGGGCCAGGAUCCGCCUGGCCCAAGCCAAAACGGGGCGGGGGGGGGAAUUAUUUUCCCCCCACCCCUGCAUGCAGAACGCUACUCGUUCUGCAUGCAGGGAACGAAACGAGAAAAUAAACGCUCUCCUAGAAACCGCAGAAAAGUUACCUGGCGCGGAGGCGAAAGCGGUGGCUGGCUGCGUUUCUGGCGGUUCUGUGGUGGAGGCUGGUAGCGGUGUCGCUGCUCCCUGGCGGCGACUCCAAGCAGCGGCGCUGCUGUCUCAAGCGGCGGAAAGAGGGAUUCUUCCUCUUUCCUUCUCCUCUGUUUCCUUCCCUUUUCUUCUCCUUCUUUGGUUUUCUUUCCCCCUGUUUUCCCUUCUUUCGGUUCUCUUCUCCCUCUCCCCUUUCUCUCUCUUUCGGUUUUUUCCGUUCCUCUCUCUCUCCUCUGUUUUUCGUUUUCUCCUUCUUCCCCCGUCUGUUCUCCUCCCUCUUUUUCUUCUACUGUCGUGUUGGUUGUUAUUUAUAGAGCCAAGUGAGUGGCUUUUCGCUGUGGAGCAUGGGGAGCAGCCGGCCGGUCGGCCAUUGGGCGCGACUGCCAACGCUCGGCCCCCCUCCCCGGCUUUCUGGCAGGUGCGCGGUGGGUGGUCGGCCAUUGUGUUCGGUCGGUGGGCUCCAGGCGAGAGAGAGGGGCCGGCAAAAAUUUCAAAAAAAAGCACCAUUUUUCCCUUCUUCCCCGCUGCAUGUUCGGGGGGGAAGAAGAAAGAUGAACAGUGUCGUUCAAAACGACACCGUUCUGCCCUUUUCCCUUUUUUUUUUUUUUUUGAAUGGAUGAAACGACGUCGUUUUGGAUAAAACGCGCCGUUUCAUUUAAAUCCUACAAGACGCCAAAACGCGUCAAUUUGCAAAGCAGCCCUCAAUUAUCUUUUGUCCCUUCAAUUGCAUCCCUGCCGAAUUUGAACCCCGUCCCUAUAUUUGGCCGCGUUUUUCACUUUGGUCCUUGGCCUUUGAAUUAUGCAAUUGAGCCCUUAAUUGAUCAAUAAACUUCCAAUUUCUUCAAUUAGGCCCCUGAAUCAAUUAAUUCCAGCCCCUAUACUUACGCACCUUCUUCAAUUUGGUCCUUGGUUUCGGAUUCCUUCAAUUAAGUCCCCAAUUGGCCCUUAAACUUCAAUAUUUAUGCAAUUAAGCCCCUGAUUUGACCUAAUAAAUUCCUAAAAAAUAUAUUUUGGCCCCAGAACUUAAAUUUCUUCUAAUUAAAGCCCAAAUUGACUUAAAAAUCAAUUUUUCUUGCAAUCAAAUCCCCUAUAAAUUCAUUUAAAAAUCAAAUUAAGUCCAUAAACAUCUAAAUUUGGGCUUUUCUCCUCAAAUUUGAAAUUUUCCUUGUCAACAGGGCUCUCCUCCUUCAAGAAUAUAUUAUCAAAAAUUCCAUCUUUGUUUUUUUAACCUUAUUGACCAAUUUUCCAACCAUUUUCUGAGCGCUUCUGCCUCCUGUUAUUUUUCUAACCUCCUUUGGCUAUAUAUUUUUAUAUAUAUUUUGUGGGGACCCAAAAAUGGGUUACAACAUUAUGAAUGCUUAGUCUUAACCUAAAUACAAAUAAAGUAUAUAUAGGUCAAACUGAAAGUACUAUUCUACCCUUGAUAAAUAAGACUACAUAAAUAUUAUUUAACAUCUCCCCUCAAACUCACGAUGCGGCAGCUACAAGCAUCGAGAGUUUGCCAGCCAAAAAACGAAAACGAGAGAUGGAAUGCGCCUUGGUAAAGAAAUCUGCAAUCUGCAAGGAAGAAGGAACAAAAGGCAAAGCAAUGGUGCCAUGUUUGAGAUGAUGACGAGUAAGAUGACAAUCGAUCUCAAUGUGCUUAGUGCGUUCAUGAAAAACCGAGUUAUGAGCAAUCUGAAUAGAACUCUGGUUGUCACAAUACAUAGGAGUAGGAUGAGAAAAGGAAAUUCCCAUAUCAGCAAGUAACCAACGUAACCAAACAAUCUCUUUGGUAGUAGAUGCCAUGACACGAUAUUCUGCUUCGGUGGAUGAUUGAGAAACAAUAGAUUGUUUCUUGUUCUGCCAAGAAAUAAGAGAAUCACCUAAAAAGAUAUAGAACCCGGUAACAGACUUGCGAUCUGUGGGAUCACUACCAUGAUCAGCAUUAGAGUAUACACGCAACUCCAAGGAAGAGGUGGAUGAAAGUAAAAGACUCUGAAAAACUGUACCCCGAAGAUAUCGCAAAAUACGAAGAACAGCUGCCCAGUGAACAGUAGUAGGAGAAGCAACAAACUGACUAACAACAUGAACAACAUAUGCAAUAUCUGGACGAGUAAUGGUGAGAUAUACCAAACUCCCAACAAUAGUGCGGUAUAAAGUAGGAUCUAUCAAAGGUAAAUCAUCAGAAGAAGAGUACCUUGUGUUAACCUCAAUAGGAGUAUCUACAGUCUUGUUAUCAGUAAGUCUAACCCGCUCAAGAAUAUCUGCAACAUAUUUCGACUGAGAAAGAAGGUAACCUCUAGGUGAGUAUGCUACCUCAAUACCCAGGAAAUAUUAAAGAUAACCCAAAUCCUUCAUUUCAAAUCGUCUAGCCAACUCUGUCUUCAAAACUGAAAUACCAUCAAUAUCAUCACCAGUAAUAAUCAUGUCAUCAACAUAUAAAGACAGAAUGAUACGACCUGCAUCAGUGCACUUAAUAAAAAUAGCAGAAUCAUGACUACUAGAAACAAAGCCACGAGACGAGAUCACAAUAGAAAAUUUCUCAAACCAAGCACGAGGUGCUUGUUUGAGACCAUAUAAUGCUUUCUUAAGCUUACAAACAUAUCCAGAGUCAUGUGAAAUACCAGGAGGGGGUGCCAUAUAAACUUCUUCUUGAAGAUCUCCAUUCAAGAAUGCAUUUUUAACAUCAAGCUGAGAAAUAUGCCACUGACGAAUCGAAGCUACGACAAUAAGAGUAUGAAUAGUAGUCAUUUUUGCAACCGGGGCAAAUGUCUCCUCAUAGUCCAUACCAUACUGUUGAGAGUAUCCUUUUACAACCAGCCUAGCUUUGUAUCGCUCAAUAGACCCAUCAGAAUUAGUCUUGAUCUUAUACACCCAACGACAACCAACAACACUCUUACCAGGAGGUAGAGGAACCAGAUCCCAAGUAUUUGUCUUAUGCAAAGCAGAAAGUUCCUCAUCCAUAGCUUGCUGCCAAAGCGGAUCAAGAAUUGCCUCUUUAUAGGAAGAGGGCUCAAAGAGACAAUGAAUAGAAGCUAAAAAGGAAGUAAAUGAUGAAGAAUAACAAGAAUAAGCAAAAUCUGGUAGUUUUGUGGACUUACGAAUGCGGAUGGACUGACUUGGAGGUGGAUCCACAAUCUCAGAUGAAGCUUGAGGGGAUGUAGAUGAGAAUGGAGCUUCAGGUGUGCCAGAGAGUAAAGUACCAGUACCUGCAGAGUUAUGAGUACAAAUUGAUCGAACAUAGGGAGAGGUAUCAUUACCAGAAUCCUUAGAAAAAGGAUCUAUAUAAAUAAGAUCAGAUUUUGUCAGGCUAUGAGUAGUGGAUGAAAUAGAAAAGAAAGGUAUAUGCUUAAGGAAGACAACAUGACGAGACACAUAAAGUUUCUGAGUUAUUGGAUCAAAUCAACGAUACCCCUUUUUACCUUCACCAUAACCCAGAAAGACACAAAUAACGGAUUGAGAGGAUAGCUUACUGCGUUCUACAUGAGGAAGAAGAACGAAACAAGUACAACCAAAGACUCUAAAUGAGGAAUAAUCAGGGACAUACCCAUAUAACUUUUCAAAAGGAGAUAGACCCGAACUUGACCUAUAUAUACUUUAUUUGUAUUUAGGUUAAGACUAAACAUUCAUAAUAUACAGAUUAUUCAGAAUUCUAGCCUCCUUUCUCUAUUUGAUCUCAAUUAAUUUAACAUUAACCAUUCACAUACAUUAAAUAAAACCCAUGGAAACAGGACACAAACGUCGACUGCAACUGCAACAUUAUACUAAUGAGUGUAUUUUCUGAAGUCGAAAGAGUGCUACCCAAUCUAGGUUCAAGUGGGAUGAUGAAUUGAAGAGCAGUUGUUAUUUGACACUGCAAUUAGAUGGCUCAUAUUUGAUUUAUGGAGCUAUGAUAAGGGAUUCGUGCUUGUAUCACAUAUAACAAUAUUUACAUAGUAACAAGCACUAUUAAAGAUGCUACACUAGUAAUUGCUUUAUCAAAUAUUUUAUGUUUUUUUUUUUGAAAUAUUGUUAUAGACAUAGAAUCAUCUAGAUUAUGUGACAUUCUAUAUUGAUUUUGUGAUAUUUUAAUCACUAAAAGUAUGGGUUUCAGAGAAAAAAAACCAAACAAAAAAUUGAAAAAAUUAAAAAUUUUCAAACCAACCCAAUCCAACAUAUUGAUCAGUUUUGGUCUGGUCUGGUUCAAAUAUUUUUUAGCUGAAACAAUUAAUAACCAUUUUCAAAAGGUAACUAUUGACAAGCCUUUCACCGAAACCAUGUUCAUUUAUCCUGAAUCAAUCCAAAUCAGGUUCAGGUUUGAAAGGUUCGGAUAAUCACUUAGACGUCUUCGGUUCUAAUUUUAGGCCUUGUCACUUAGUCAUCCCUUAUCCUAACUUUUUAUUUCCUAAUAAAAUCUCACGGUUUUUCAUCUAUGUUCAAAGGAAAAGUUGACCUUGCAAAUGGUGCUCUAAGGAACCAAGUCAUCCUAGAACUAAUCAUCCACCUAAUCUCAUCAACUCCUUGUUGCACAAACAGCUUGUCUCACUUAAAGGGGAUUUUAAUGAUGAACAAACACCAACUCCUUGUUGCUCAAAUACAUAUGCUCAUUUAAACACAAUUUUGCAUUACCUAGAACUGACAAGGCCUAAAAUUCCUGACAUAUAAUUUUGUUUUAAAGGAACUUCAGGAUUUCUAUAUAGGAUGCUUGACCUCAUUAAAGAAAAACUGAGGACAUCCAUAACAUAAAUUAUCUUCCUUGCCCCAAAGUCAGCACAGAAAAACCCUGUUCAAUAUAAAGGUUCUGAAUGUUUUUCCUAAAUUUCAUGAGCUGGCAUUCAACACAUCAAACUCCCAAUUUAGCAUUCUUAUGCAAACUACAACUGCAAAAGGCUUGUACAUGUAGGGGAGGUAGGAAGAGCUGCAAAGAAUUGUGGCAUCUAUUGUUAUGCUGUUCAGAGUUUCUAUCUCAUCAUCCAAUCUGCCAAAAAUAUAAGAGAUCAUGUGCAUCAUCAAAAGCCCCAGCCGCUAUAUGAACAAAGCACCUAAAAAAUUAAUCACCUAGCUAAUCUAAUUCAGGAAAAUUCGGUCAAAAUCUCCUACAAUGAAACGAGUUAUUGGAAUGCAUAGAUAGGAAAUUCAGGUAAACACACACACAUACACACACACACCUGAUCAUAAAUUUCCUAAAGAAAUUCUGAAUCGUAACAUUGGUAAACAAAGAGUGACAAUAUCAUCACAUUAAAAAUGCAUUUCACUCAAAACAAAUAACAGCUCAAGAAAAAAAAUUGCAAGAAGCCAAUAGAGAAUAAAGUAAGCAGUCCAUAAACAAGAGACAGAGAGACAUUGUUCCAAUAGAGAAAAGUAAUUAAAACCCAACAACUAAAACUGAGAAAGAAUCAAACCAGGGAGUAACUAAUCCUUUUAAAGCAUUCCAAGAAUGGCAACCAAAUGUAACAUAAUCAACCUGCAAAAACAAACACAAAAAGAAUUAGAAGAAGAAAUCCCAUUAGUUAAUAAGUUAAAACAGCAGCAGCAGCAAAAAGACUAAAAUUUUAGUUAUUUGGACUUGAGAAAAAGCACUGAACCUGUGUGAAAAUGCCAUGAAAGGGGUGCUAAGAAACCAGGAACAUAAAAACUUGUAAAAGGGUCUUUUUACAAAGCAAGAAAGAAGCUAGGAAGCAAGGAAGCAUGCCAGCCUACCCUCACGAACUCUGUUUGUUAGGCCAUGUUUGUUUCCCGGAAUUCACUUUCCGGGAAACCAUUUUCCAAACUUUCCUGUGUUUGUUUGCCAUUAGAAAAAUUGAUCAACGGAAAACACUUUCCGGUCAACGGAAAACACUUUUCAAUCAACGAAAACACUUUCCCAUCAAAGAAAAAAUUGGUUUGGUUUUUCAGGAAAGUGUUUUCCCUUUUGGCUGUGUUUGUUUUCCGGAAAGUGGUUUCCGGGAAACCACUUUCCAAACUUUCUUGUGUUUGUUUGUCAUUAGAAAAGUUGGUCAACGGAAAACACUUUUCGGAAGUUGUGAAAAAUUUAGAAAUGUCAUUAUUUGUUGAUUAUAUCAAAUUUAAUCCUCAAACUUUUGAUUGCUAUAUAUAAUUUGUUUUGAAUAUUUAUUUUUCAAUUCCAUUUCUUAAAAUUUAAUUUUUAUAUUAAUUUUGCUCCUUAUUUUUAUAAUUGUUAUUUGCUUUUUCCUUAUCAUUUUUUUAUUGAAAUUUUUUAUCUGUCAAAUUUGGUCCUCAUUCUUUUGAUUGUUACUUAGUUUAUUUGAAAUAAUUUAUGAAAUGUUAAUUAUUAUUAUUUUAAUUUCUUCACCUUUCAUUUUUUUAAAAUUUUUAGAUUUGAUUUCUAUUAUUUUGAUUAUUAUUUAUUUUAUUUGAGAUAAUUUAUGAAAUUGUAUUUUUUUUCAAUUUCAUUCUCAUUCAACUUUUUAAUUUGUAAGAUUUGUUCCUCAUUAUUUUAAUAAACUUGAGAAAAUAAAACAUUAAUAAGUUAUUUUCCAGCUCAUUUUCCAUGACAUAACCAAACACUGGAAAAUGUUUUCCAACUUAUUUUUCAUUACACUACCAAACAUCAGAAAAUACUUUCCCGGAAUUCAUUUUCCCGGAAUUCACUUUCCAAAAUGAAACUACUUUCCAGCAAACAAACGGGGCCUUAAUUGUUUUUUCUCCUUUCAAGUAAAAAAAAAAAAAAAAAACAAAGAGCACCAAGAAAAUCUAAUCAGAAAUAUUUUUUUUUUAGUCUGAAAUAUUUUAUGUUGUUGUCUUGGAGAGAUGCAGAUACCGAGGAACAGUUGUGGGGCCACCAUUGGUGAGCAGUGAUACAGUGGCAAGUACGUGAAGUAACGCAUAUUACAGUGCGCAAUGAUAGAGUGAGUCUGGGUGGACAAACUUUUGGUGGUACACGUGGUGCGUAAUGAUUUGACGGCUAUGGAGAGAAGUUACAUGAGGGAAAUAAGAUGAAAAAAGUGGCCUCUCUAGAUUUUGGAAAUGUUCUCUGAAGAAAGAAAGAAAAUAAUCUCAAGGGUGGACAAAAAUGGGGUAAUAUCAGAUUUGGAACAUAAUCUUGGUUGGUGAAGAAUAACAUAAUCUGAAGAGAAAUCUAGGGCAAGCCAGUGAGAUUUGAGCUUAGAUUUUGGACCAAUUUAUAGGUGGAUGAUACCAUCAUGGAUGAUGUCUAGCUGAUAAAUGUUUAGUUACUAGCAAUUCUAUCAUAAGUUAUCAGAUUCUGUGUGUGUGAGGCUGCCAUAAAUUUCUUUCUUCUAUGAUGGAUAAAAAACGCUAAGCAAUGAACCAUUUUGUCAACCUAGUAAAAAAGGUAUUAUGGUAUUAUAGACUUAAAUUCAUAGAUAAUUAAGUAAAUUUCUUGAGGAAAAGCAAAAUUUAACUAUAGAUAAUCAAAGUGAAAAAAAAACACCUCAAAAAAAGAUGGUAGUUUCAAGAUUAAAGCCAAAAAUUCACUUUGAUUCUCAUACUUUUCAGAUAAUGACUUUUUGGUCCCUUAAGUUUUCUCACAUUUUAUUUUUGAUCCACAACUUCAUUUUUCUAUAUUCUCAUUCCCUAAUUUGAUAGAGGAGACAAAAUGUUAUUGGAUUACAAUGUUAGAGAGAGUCUCUGUAACAGCCUCAACAUUUGUAUUCAAAACAAAGAGUAAGGACAUGAUGAUUCAAAUAAGAUUAUGGAAUUUUUUUUUGUAAUCAAUAAAAAAUUCAGCAGAGUUUUUUUUAUAUUUUUAGAUACUAAAUUAUCGACUUUUCAUCUACAAUCCUCAAUUAUCAAAUUUCUUACUCAUCCUAUCAUCCAGAACUUCCUCCUCUCAUUACAUCACAACUUCUCAAUAAUCAAAUGCACAUAUGUCUAAAUAAUUCAAUAUCCCACAUUUACAUGGAUGCAAUCCAAAGAAUUAUUCUACAAAUUAUAAUUGAAGUACAUUACAUAAUUCAAAGAUUUACAAAUAAGGACCAUUAACGAAAUUAUAAUCGAAAUAAGUAUAUAAUUAAAGAAGAAAUUCAUAAUUAAGAUUAUACUACACAAAAGAGCUUUCGAUAAACUGUUGACACAUUAUAUUACAUAACAAAAUGAUAAAUUCAUUCAUUACAAAAAGAUACCCAACAAAAUAUAAGAAAAUUAAUCUAUUGUUCAGCCCGAUAAGGGGAUGUACCUGAAAAUUGAUUUAAUACAAAAAUUUAAUUAGACAGAUGAAAAAAAGAUAUCCUGCUUUCUUUCUUUCUUCCUUUUUUUUUUAAAAAAAAAUUAGUCAAAAGAUCAUUAAAUUAACUUGCUCAUGUAGUAUUAUAUAUAUAUAUAUAUAUAUAUAUAUAUAUAUAUAUAUAUAUAUAUAUAUAUCAAUUAAAUUUCAGAAUAAUCUAUGAGUUUGAGUUUGUUUUCUUUUUCUUUUUUAAUAUCAACCAAAAAUAUAAUUAUUCAUAUCACUCAAUUAACCCGACAUUACUUUCACUAAUAGAUGAUUAAUUUUCCACCAGUCUAUUCAACAAACACUAUUGUCAUCAAUCCAAAAAUUAGUUUAACGUUUCAUCCAUUCAUCAGGUACAAAUCCCAUUAACUAGGAAAAUUAAUUCUUCAUCUUGCCUAUUUGCCAGGGCACUAAUUCCAUUAAAUCAGGAAUUAGUUCAACGAUUUACCCAUUCACUAGGGUACUAAUCCCAUUAACCAAAGACUUAAUUCCUCAUCAUGCCCAUUCACCGGGACAUUAAUCCCAUUAAUUCAGGAAUUAGUUCAACGAUUUGUCUAUUCACCAGGGUUCUAAUCCCAUUAACUAGAGAAUUAAUUCCUUAUCACGCCCAUUCACCAAGGCAUUAAUCCCAUUAGUUCAAGAAUUAAUUCAUCACAUCGCAUAUCUUAUUUUCUAAAGUAAACAAUAUAAUAAUUUCAUAUUUAUCAACCAUAAUUAAUCAAAUAAAAAUACAUAUUGACCAAUAAUAAAUUCAGGUACCGUGUAAUUACCUGAUGACUAAGCUCGAGCUGAAAUUUCCUGCUGUGGUGUCGGCCUGGCAGCCUCUCUUGAAUUGACAAGUAUAUCAUAUCAUUAUUCUACUUUCCAUAUUGAAACACUCAAUAAAUAAAAUCAUUCCAAUUAUCCUUUUAUUUGCCAAAAUAAAAUCAUUUUGUAAAUUUCCUUCCUAUUCUUUCAAUUUCCACAUUGUAACACAAUUCAUUUCAUCAUUCAAAUCAAUAUAUAUAUUCUUUAAAUUUAUUUAUUUAAUUUUUACCGUAAUUUAAAUCAAAGAAAAACAUAAAAAAAUUUCAUGAUCUAUUCACUCUUUAACAUUAAUAUCAUCUCUUUCUUACACAAUCUCAUCAUCUUAUCAAAACUCUUAAAUUUUUAUUUUUCUUAUUAUUAUUUUUCCAAAAAUCCCUUCUUCAAGAACACCUAAAAUUUUGCUUUAAUUACCAUAAUUUCUUACCUUCCCUACUCACUUCAAUAAUCUUAACACAAUUUCACAAUCAAUUGUAAUUUUCUCUAAAAUAUAUCAUGAACCCUAAUUCCUCAUUUCACAAAGUUCAAUCAAUUUAAAGCAUAAAUUCUUCGAGAAUCUUAUUUAAAAGUGUGAGGACAUCUUACCAAGCAAUAACCAAAGCUUUAACACUUUUAAAUUGAGAAAUUUUCCUUGCUUGAAUUUGUUUUUCCUCUCCUGGCCGAAUGCUUAAAAAGCAAGUUUUUUUUUUUGUUUCCUUAUAGCACACUCACUUGCACUCAUAUAUAUAUAUAUAUAACUCUUUUUUUAAAUACCUUCCACAUCCCUCAAUUUUUUCUUUCCCCCUACACAUAUAUAAUUACUUAACUUUUUAAAAAUACCUUUUAUAUUCCUUAAUAGUAAAUUUUAUGAUUUUUGGGUAAAAUUUCUUGAAUCCUAAUGCCUGUUUAUACCAAAUUUUAUCCAGGUUAUUUCAAAUUUCACUCAGUUACUCGUUAGUAUUUUCAGUUUCAUGAAAUUCAUUUCCAUAAAAAUUUUAUUCAUAUUUUCAUGUUUAUUUAUUUAUAUUUAUUUUUUAUAUAUAUUUUAACACCCGAACAAAACAUUUCAAUUCAGAUUCUCGAAUAUAUCAUCAUUCUUAUAAUUUAAUUUAUCACUUUUCCUCAUUUUUCGUAAUCUUGACUUUUAUUAAUAUCAAUAAUAUUACCCGGGGUUUUACAAUCUCAGUUGGCACUGAUUUUUGCCAUAAAAAAUGGUUGAUUUUAAUGAUUUUUUUUAAUAUCUAUAUGUUUUUUUUAUAUUUUAUAUGAAUAAACUUUAUUUUCAUGAUGUGUUUAUAAAAAUAAGAAUUAUUUGUUCUUGGUAAGAAAAAGUGACCUUUAAGAUUAAAAAGAAGGAGAAAAGUGACCUUUAAGAUUAAAAGUAUCUGCUCGAAAAAACCAUUCAACAUAAGAUUGCUCUGCUAGGAAAACAUGAUAUCAGUAUCAAACUUUUGAACAAAGAGUUCAGCAUCAAGUCUCAGUCAUCUUGAGAUUUGAAUGCCCAAACAUAUUCAGAUGCUCAUAAAAUAACAUUUUUAAUAAUGCAUUAUGCAAUAGAAACAGAACAUCAAACAAAGAGUUCAGCAUCUUACGCAUGAAAGUCCACACAUUAAACCAAAAGAAACACAAAUGGCCAAGCAAACAUACGCCCUUACUUCUGGAGGCUUGUACGAUAAUGGGCAAGCAACAUUAUUUUUUUGACUAUUAAGCAUCACCAUCACCAUCACCAUCACCAUCACCAUCUUCCUCUUCCUCUACUUCUUCUUCUGUCCACCCAUUAUCUCGGGUCCACUCUCUAUUAAUGCUUGAAUCUUCAGCUACUUCAGAUACCUGUAAACCAAUCAAGAAAAGAGAAAUUCAUAAAAAAAUUACAAAGAAAAGAGAAAAUUAGCGAAAGCCAUUCAACAUAAGAUUGCUCUGCUAGGGAAACAUGAUAUCAGUAUCAAACUUUUGAACAAAGAGUUCAGCAUCAAGUCUCAGUCAUCUGGAGAUUUGAAUGCCCAAAUAUAUUCACAUGCUCAUACAAUAACAUUUUUAAAAAUGCAUUAUGCAUUAGAAACAGAACAUCAAACUGCAGAGAAAACAUGCUGAUGCAGAAAAUACUCAAGUCGUAGAAAGGAGAAUGCAUGAAAGUCCACACAUUAAACAUUAUGCCUUUCUUUUUGAAGGUUCACACACUUCAAAAGAAACACAAAUGGGCAAGCAAUAUACGCCCUUACUUCUGGAGGCUUGUAAGAUAAUAAUGGGCAAGCAACAUUAUUUUUUUGAGGUUCGCACAGUAAUGACUAAAUACACAACAUUACAUUACUCCUGUGCUGUCAACAAUUCUUCUAACUUCUUCAGCAAACACAUAGAUAGAUAAGUCGAAAUCUUCUAUGGUAAAUAAGACUGUCACAAUGUGAAGCCAAUUUGUAUCCCGUUGCCAAUGGAACAGGAGGAAUUAUUUCCCACCAAUCUAAAACAUAUUCGCAGCACCAACCUUGAAAUCAUGUAAGAGCUAACCACCAUUCAACAUGAGAUUGUUCUGCUAGGAAAACAUGAUAUCAAACUUUUGAACAAAUAGUACACCAUCAAGUCCAAAUAUAUUCACAGCUCAAAGACAUGAGUCUCCAUCUUCUUUCCACCCCAUAUUUCUGGUCCACUCUCUAUUAAUGCUUGAAUCUUCAGCUACUUCAGGUACCUGUAAACCAAUUCAAGCAUGGCAUGCUCAUUUAACUUGUAAAUCUUAUUAUUGAGAGAAACAAGAAACAAACACACUAAAAGAGAGGCAAGAAAUCAAGUCAAAUCAGCAGCACCUCUGAUUGAGCAUUCAUUGAACCAUCUGGUGUAGUAGCAAAUUUUGUGGUCAGCUUUGGACAUUGAUGGACCUUCAACUUCUCCAAACGAGGGAAUAAGAAAUAAUCACACCAUCUGAAACUAAAACAGACAAUACUUGAUAAUUGUUCUAGCGACAACUCCUUUAGAUUAGGAAGCACUAUCUCCUUCUCAACGUUGAUAGGUGAAGCUUGACCAUCCUGCCCAGGAGACUCUGGAAUUAUUUCCCUUUCACCAUCCUCUUCUCUGAUAAUAUGCUUCAAUUGACCGCAUUUACUUAUGUAAAGUCUUUGUAGCUUUGGCAGACUUCGAGCGAGGGACGGUGUGAAGAUAAAUGUCAGUUUGUUGAGAGACUCCAAAUUCAGACGAUUAAGACUUUGGAGGCUGACAUGUCUAGAUGGCCCCUUCCAUAUACANNNNNNNNNNNNNNNNNNNNNNNNNNNNNNNNNNNNNNNNNNNNNNNNNNNNNNNNNNNNNNNNNNNNNNNNNNNNNNNNNNNNNNNNNNNNNNNNNNNNAAUACCUCUUCCAAUGAUUUACAGCUGUCAACAAUCACCUCCUUUAGAUUGUUCAAAGCUCGGAGCAAUUUUGCUGGAAACGGAGUGCGAACAUCCCCACAAUCGUCUACUCGUACAAAUUUUAAUCUUUGUAAGAAGCCGUUUUGCUGCCCAUGGACGGCCAUCUUAUCAGAGAACAAUAUUAUAUUUUUUCACUCUCAUAAAAACAAUUUAUAUGAUGUAUAAAUAGGAGAAAAAAAUAGAAAAAACAGGAUUAAAUACUUUUUUUUUGUCUUAAUUAGAGAUAAGUUGAAUAAUAAUUAGAUUUUUGCGAAAAAAGGUUAAUACAACUCCUAAUAAUUAGUUUCAUGUAAAAAAUAAAAAUAAAAAUAGUAGCUAAAAUUUUUAUUUUAGUUAUAAAGUUAAUAAAUUUUUAAAGAUAUUUUAAUUGAAUUAAAUAUUUGAACACAAAAGUUAUAUAUUAAAUCUAACAGAUAUUAUGAUUUCUAUGAUUAAUUUUUGGUAUUAAUAACGCAAACAACAAUGAGGCAGUUAAUUUUCUUAUAUUUAUAUAUGUUUAGAUAAAAAAACAAAUCAUAAAAAAAAAAAAUAAGCUACUAUGUUUGUUAUAUAAUUAAAAAAAAAAUUCAAACUUGGAUUUCCUAGCAUUUAUCAAUUACUUUACUUUUAGAAAUUGGGAGGAAGAAAGAAUAAAUUAUCGCAAUUGACAAUUUAAAUUAGUGGAGAAAUAUAAAUUACGUACUUGUAGCUGUGCCAACCAAUUACCCACUUCUUCGUGGCCUUCAAUGGUUAAGUCUAUGAUGCCAUCUCUGUUAUGAGACAAAGAGACUGGGAAGACAUAUUCCAGUUUACCACAGUGAGAUAUGCGGAGAGUUUUUAAUUUUGGGAAGCGAGGAGACUCUGGAAUUAUUUCCCUUUCACCAUCCUCUUCUCUGAUAAUAUGCUUCAAUUCACCACAAUCACUUACCUGAAGUCUUUUUAGCUGUGGUAGACUUUGAAGAGUUAGAGACACGGAGACAGGGAAGACAUAUUCCAGUUUACCACAGCCUUCUAUGAUGAUAGUUUUUAAUUUUGGGAAGCAAGGAGACUCUGGAAUUAUUUCCCUUUCACCAUCCUCUUCUCUGAUAAUAUGCUUCAAUUCACCGGAUUCACUUAUGCAAAGGGUUUCUAGCUUUGGCAGACUUUGAGCAAGGGACGGUGUGAAGAUAAAUGUCAUUUUGUCGAGAGAAUCCAAAUGCAGAUGAGCAAGACUGUGGAGGCUGACAUGUCUGGUGGGCCCCUUCCAUAUGCAUUUGAGCUCAGGUAACCGGUACAGCUUUAACUCUGUUAAAGAUGACAGCAACGGCAGCUCCUUCUCCUCACCCAAUUCAAAUACCUCUUCCACUGAUUUGCAGUCCUCAAUUUCCACCCUCCUUAGAUUUUUUAAACCUUGCUGCAAUCUUGCUGGAAACAGAGUGAAAACAUCCCCACAAUCCCUCACUUCUACAAAUUCUAAUUUAUGUAAAAACAAUUGCUCAAAUGUCUUCGCAUUUAAGGAUGUACCACCCAAAAUUAAUCUUGUGGAGGUUGGGUAUCCAUUAGAAUAAUAUUUAGUAGUAUUCCCUAACAUUAAAUCAUAUUUGAGCAAGCUGGGAAAAACAAAAUCUCUGGGAAUGCAUUCAACCUUCGGUAUCCUCAAUGAUAAUACGGCUAACUGAGACAACGAAUUUAGUUCUGUUAGGCUUGCAUUCAUUCCUCCUGUGCUGUCACAUCCAACAUCAUCCCAUCCCUUAAAGCUGUCUUUCCCGAUCAACAAUUCUUCUAACUUCUUCAACCUUCAAAUCAAAUUCACAGGGAUCCUUCUUAGACUUCGACAACCUGUCACAUCCAACAACCUUAACUCCUUGAGCUCUCCUAUUUCAUCAGGUAAUUCUUCAAUGGAUAAGCACAUUAUAAAAACAAGAAUCUUAAGUCUCUGCAGCUUUCUCAACCAAAUGAGGUCCUUGCAUCCACACCUGAUCAACACCAACGAUUGAAGUUUCGUUAAGAGUUCAAGUGAUUGCAAUGACAAACACUCUCCCUCCAGAGACAAAACUUCAAUUUCUUUCAUCCCUUCAAAAAACCUCUGAGGAACAUUCAUACCAUCAUCCAGUUCUAAUAAUAGAACUUUGAGCCGUGGACAUACCAAUCCUUCAGGAAGUUCGGUUAGUUUAUUGCCCAUUAACGAAAUUGUUGUACAAGCUUCAAAGCUUUUGAUACUCAUUGGCCAUUCCUUCAACCCAAUGCCAGCCUUUACCAUGAAUCCAUAUUCUUCUGAUGAUGCUAUCUGAAUAGCAAAGUCACGAACCAAGUCAUGCAUUCUCACAUGUUCUUCAGUUUCAGUGCCCAACAGCAUGCAACAAUCUUUGAGGUUUUCGAUUGCCACGGAAACUCGUUUCCUUGCAUCUUCAAUGGGCUCCGUAUCUUGAUGUAACCCACAGCCAACUGCAUAUCUCGUCAAGUCCUCGAUUGGAAUGUCAUAAUCUUCUGGAAAUAAACAGCAUAGCACGAAACAUGACUUGGUUUCCUCGUACUUCAAAUAAUCAUAGCUCAACUUAAGACAUGUGUAAGCAUUAUUUUGUUCGUCAAUUUGUUCCAUGCGCACAAAUUGAGAUUCUUUGAGCUGUUUAGACGCUACUUCCCACUGAACUCGUGAUUUACCUCUUAGAGCCCUUCCCACUGUCACAAGUGCUAUAGGCAAGCCUUGGCAUUCUCUCGCAACCUCCCUUGCCACUGUGUUCAAGGUAGAGUCCCCAUCACGUAAACCUGCAUUGAUUCUGAAUAAAUCCCAUGCUUCAUCUUCAGGUAAGACUCUUAAAAGCACUUUUUGCUGGCACUCCAUAGAAAAACAUAUGCCUUGAACACGAGUUGUUAGAAGAAUUUUACAACCCCUGUGAUCAUCACCAAAUGGGAUCCCUAUCUCUUUCAAGUCAAUAUGUUUCCAAACAUCAUCUAGGAUUAUAAGCAUCUUCUUUCCCUGCAGUCUCUGCCAUAAUUCACUUGCUCUACCUUCUUUACUCGUUUUUUCAAAUUUCAGAUGUAAACUAUCUGCCAUUCGAUCCUGGAUGCCUAUGACAUUUGGAUUCUGGGACACCGUAGCCAUCAAAACUUCAGGAAAAAGCUGCGACUCUUUGGCUCUCCUGCCUACUUCUUUCACCAGGGUUGUUUUACCCACCCCUCCCAUGCCGUACAGUCCGAUCAUAUUGACGUUGUCAUCUUUGAGAGCUUUCAUGAUCUGUUCCAAAGCUUCUUUUGACGAUUCUGAGGGUGUGAAUUCCUUUGAUGUUAGAAAUUCUAUGGGCUGAGGAGGAGCUUUUUGGGCCACUGUUUUAAACUUUUCGCUACUUUCUCCAAGUUUUCUGAAAGUCUUCGACUUCUUGGCCAGUGCCUUGCUUAACUUGAAUUGUCGCAUNNNNNNNNNNNNNNNNNNNNNNNNNNNNNNNNNNNNNNNNNNNNNNNNNNNNNNNNNNNNNNNNNNNNNNNNNNNNNNNNNNNNNNNNNNNNNNNNNNNNNNNNNNNNNNNNNNNNNNNNNNNNNNNNNNNNNNNNNNNNNNNNNNNNNNNNNNNNNNNNNNNNNNUUUGCCGAAACCAGGUUCUCCUUUCGUUCUUUGAAUUCUUCAACAAAAUUGUAGAAACAGAACAUGCAACGGAACAGCCUUCCUACUGGUUCCACCAUGAGUUCUGCUAGCAUAGCUAUAAUGGAUCCACCAGCACUUUCGAGAGCCAUUUUCCACAGGUCUGAAAAUCAAAGAAAUAAGGAUACAGAACGUGAGAGUGAGUCACUACAAGUAAAAGAGGCUUAAAGAGAAUGGGAAUAGGAAUUUCAUUACCUUAAUUUGGGAAAAUAUGUGCGAAAAGCACUGGUAUUGAGUGUUCAAUGAAAUAGCGGGAGGAAGAAGAGGAGAAGGCCUUUAGCUCUGUAUGGAAUCCAGCUUCAAAAGCAACAAGGCAAGGUACAAGUAUAACAAUAAAAUAGUUUACAUGGAUUCUAACGGACUCUUGUGAGUUAAAGCAUUAGUUCCCUUUAAAAAUGCAUUUUGAUGACAUAAUUAAGAUAAUAUAGAGACAGUGACAAACAAAUAAAAAAAUGUGUAAAAGAACUCACCUAGCAAAGAAAGAAACGAAUGAAAGGUUCAGGAUAAUCACUUAGACGCCUCCAUGGAUGAUACCAGCUCGCUUCCAACAACAAAUAUAAUUAACCUAAGCUAUGAUCGGUCAAAGUUUUUUUUAGUUUUCUUUUUUUUUUUAAAAAAAAAAAGAUCAACAAGAGAAAAUUAAGACUUGCAGGAACGAACUCAACAAAGAAUGAAACUAAAAGAACCAUGUUUUUUAUGAUGAUCAUCUCCGUGUCACCCACUUGGGUAAUAUGAUUGACCCGAGUGUGUGACAUCCAGAGUGCGGUUACUUUUUUCAUCCCUCUUUUUUGGUUUUAUUUUAUUUCAGUUCUUCAAGUCUUUUUCUUUUGCUAUUUCAUCGAGUUGCUUUGCUCUUGAGUUGUUGUGCUUGCCCUCAAGUAUGCAUUAUGCUAGGAAUUAUAAUUACAUAUUAUAAUUACAAAUUUCAGUUUUUUAAAAAACAAAAAAAAUAUGAGAAAGGACCAAUAUUACAAUGUGAGCAAAUGAAAGGAGAAUUUUAAAUUUUCUUGUGACAUGGUGACCAAGUAAUCCAAGGAACCAAUAGAUUAUCGCCACUUGUUCAACCUUAUCUGCACAUUAAGAUAGGGGUAGAAAGUAGGAAAGAAAAAUCAUAAUCCUAGAUUUUAUUGUGACAUGGAGAUAAAGGUAAUCUCAAAAGCUAAUAGAUGGUCCUUUAUCUACCCUUAGGAAAAGAUAGAAAGUAGGAGAGAAAAGUCAUAAUCUUAGAUUUUAUUGUGAUAUGGAGAGUUUCUCUCAACUCAUUUUUAGACCUCAACUGAUGAAGAUGGUGUGUAUUUUUUUUUAAAUCAAGUGCAUGUGUUUGUUGAAAAAUUGAUAAAAAUAAAGGAGAAAGAAAUAUUUUUUUCGAACCCUGUUUGAGGUGUUUUCUACUCUUUAUAUCCUCCUCCUUUGAUGCCAAAAGCAUCAGGUUUCUUAGGCUAAUAAGGAGUCUUCAUAUAAAUCCCUCAUAAUUUGCAUUUGUUUUUUUAAAAAACUGAUUAUGCUGCUGUCGUAAUUUUUUAUUCCAACUUAGGCUCUAAUUCUGACUUGGUUUCGUAUGAUAUUUGACCAUCCUACCUAUUUUUAUCACUCAUGACAUGUUGAAGAAUUGACCUAUACCUUUAUUGGGUCCUAGGGGUCAUUGUUCUUAGGGUAGACUCUCAGUCAGAUUUGGAUGCUUGGCAUUGUCAGAUCAAGAAAACCUUUUUGACCAACCAGAUUCCUGUCAGAUUCUGUUAUCUAAAACGAUUUUAUCUCACUUCAAAUCCUUCAUCAAAGUUGUAGUCUGGGACAAGUAGAUGAAUUUGAGCUUUUGAAUUGCUUGAUUUGAAGAUAUUCCUGUUUGAAAUCUAGCAUGAAAGCAUAAAAUCCUGCCGCGAGAAGGUUUCCAGUCGAGUUUGGUUGCAAUUCUGUUAUUCAAAAGGAAUUUAUCUCAUUUUUAUCUUUCAUGAAAGUUGUAGCUCUACAAGUGUAGAUGAAUUUGGGACUUUUCAAUCGCUUGAUUUUGAUAUCAAAAGCUCAUAAUAUUCUCGUUUGAAUAUCUAACGUGAAAGCAGAGAAUUCUGUCGCGAGAAGGAUCUUGACCCGAGUUUUGCACUAAAGACUCUAUUUCCAUCACAAAAAUUAUUGAUUUGUUCUUAGGUCAUACUCUCAGUCAUAUCGCGAUGCUCGACGUUGUCAGUUUCUGAAUUAGAUCAGGAGACCCUUUUUGACCAACCAGAUUACUGCCAGAUUCUGUUCUCUAAAACAAUUUUAUCUCACUUCGAAUCCUUCAUCAAAGUUGUAGUCCUGGACGUGUAGAUGAAUUUGGGCUUUUGAAUCGCUUCAUUUCAAUAUCAAAAGCUCAAGAUAUUCUCAUUUGAAUAUCUAAUGUGAAAGUAGAGAAUCCUGCCGCGAAAAGGGUUUAUCCCAAGUUCGCAGGUCUUAUUUGAAGGAUUUUUUUGGACCAAGGACUAAAUUGAAAAGUGCUAAAAUGAGGGAUUUAAUUGAAGAAGGAUAUUGGAAGCUGGAGAGGGGGGCUGGAUCAUCAUAAAUGACGGGAUUUCUACCACACCGAAUAAGGAAAAUAAGACUUUGCAGCAUGCACCGUUACCCAUCUGAUUUCUUUUCUUUUUCUUUGCAAAUUUCUUGCUGGUUUCCACGUUUCUCUUGCUGGAUUGGAGAGCUCCAGGCCAUGUUUUUAUUGCCUCAUUUCAAAGGAAACAGCUGGUGUCUCAUGAUCCCAGAUUUGGAAGGAAAGAAAGGAGUCGCACUAUCCUCUAAAAUACUGGAAAGAAAUCAGAUAUGAUCACAGAAUCAGAAUCAAAAUAUUUUGGUUUCCUAUUUCUACUCACCCGAGAUUACACCCUAGAGUUAAUGUAAUAUUUGUUUUCUAAAUAGAGCUGCGUUUUAGGUUAUAAGCCUCCUCUACUGGGAGAAGAAAGGGAUGAAAAAAAAGAAGGGAAGCAGGACAGAAAAGAGGGAGAACAGGAGAGGAGAAAAGGGGCCAAAUCUAAACCCUCUCUAGAGGAGCGCCACCCCCCCCCCCCACUGGCUUCUGUUUUGGCUCCCAGAACAGGCCACAACGCAGAAAAGGGGGGGGGGAGGCCUUUUCUUUCAUCCUUUGGUUACUGUGAAGACUUUACUGAACGGGGAAAGAAAAGAAAAGGAAAGGAGGAGCAGAGGAAAAAACAAGAAAAGAAAGACAAGAAAAAACAUAAGAGAGGCAGGGAGUAGGAGAGAAAAAAACAGAGAACGAGGGAGUUUCUUUCCUUCAUCCUUGCGUUGUUGGGAGAUCAGGAAGGCAAGCAGUAUAAGAGAAGAAGGAGAAGAAAAAGCAAGAAAAACGAGAAAAGAAAGAGAAACCAUAAACAAGCAGAGACUGCCUUUUCGGUCUUGCUUUCAUUUUUCUGCAUAUAACAUCUGCAGAACAGGGAAGGAGAAAGUGCAGGAACCAGGGAGAGAGGGUGACGAAGACGCAGAGAAAAGAAAAAAUCAGAAAACAGACGCAAAUAUAGAACAAGAGGAAAAGGUUUGAAACAGAUGAAACAGACCGAUCAACCAUCACGCUUUCAACGUCAAGGCAGCUUCUUCGCUUCCGUUCCUAGGUCUGUUCUCUUCACCUCUCGCACCAUGCAUUUUUUUGCUUUGUGUUUGCAUUGUUCAAGUGAAUUUUAACUCACUUGAAUAGUAACGUGGUCUCUUUGCAUGCAUUUUACUUUGUUCAUUGAGAGGAUUGCGCCCUUUUUUUUGUGUCCAGCCGGGUCACUUGCAGCCAGACCUACUAUUUUUUUCUUUUAAAAAAAUAAAAGAAAGAGAAAGAGAUUUAUGAUUUUCUGGCAUAUUUAUUUAAGGUCUGAAUUUUUUUUAUGUUGUAAAAAAUAUCAAUCUCGUAUUUAGAAUACCCGGUUUUCGACGCAAUGUGACAAAUAUACAUAUAUAUCAAAAAUGUUUUCUUGUGUGUUGCAUACGGCCAAUACCCUAACAUGUUUUGAACGUUCUUUUUUAUACAAAAAAUAUUGGAAGUUUCAAAAAUGUGUCGCAUGGAUUUCUUAAACACAACAAAAAUUAUUUUCUUGCAUUUCUGGAUUUUACAACAUGUUUGUAAAACUCCAAAGGGUAUUGGCCAAUAUUCCAAAAAAAUAAAAAAUCUUAUUUUGGAGGGAAUUAAUCUAUUGUUCACCAUUAAUGUUUGGAUAAAGAAAUCUCAAAGGGAUGAAUAUCCAAAAUAUUAUUGGAAAUAACUUGUUAUUAUUCACUGUUAAUAUUUGGAUAAAGAAAUCUUAAGUGGAAAAUAUCCAAAAUAAUUUUCUAGAAAGAAUAAGUCAUCACACAUCCUUGAAAAAAGCCUUGAUUAUAAUCGAGGACAUUUUAAUUUUUUACUCCACGGUUUAUGAGCCGUGAGAGUUUAAAACACUAAGGCAAAAAUAAGCUUUUAAAGCGCCCUAAAUUUCUAAAUUUUUGUCCCUCCUCCUUGCGAUUUACGAGUUGCAAACUCUUAAAAUACUAAGGGAAAAUGAGCUUUUAAAGCACAUGGAAUCUCCUUGGAUUUCUAUCUUAAUAAAUUUAGUUGAAUCAAACCUAGAAAAACUGAUGGGAUUAGAAAAACACCAACACCAUAGCAAUUAUAAAGCAAACCAAACACCAAGCAGCUUACCUUAGGUAGGGCGUACUAGGGGUGUUAAUACCUUCCCUUUACGCAACCAGUCUCUUGCCUUAGAAUCUCUAAAAGACCAGUUAGGGUUCCUAGUGACUAAAAUAUUAGGUGGCGACUCUUUUUUCCACACAAAAAAAACCGAAAUCAAUCAAGGGUCGUCGCAAUGGUGUGACAAACAUCAUCAUUACCCAUCAACAUAACUCCUCCAUCGAACUCUUUAAGUCUUGAGAACAAGUGUUUGUUGUGGCACAUGUGAUAGGAAAAUCUAAAAUUAAAAACCCAUUCACUGGAAUGGUUUUAUGGUGAUGAGACCAUGAAUGAAGAGUCUUGUUCAUCUUCAUCUCAUGCAAUAUUCAUAGUUGGUUCAUCCUUUUUUGUUGUCCUUGUUGCUUUUAUUUGGACAAUCUUUCUUCUAGUGUCCUUCUAUCUUAAAUAAAUAGCAGACAUGCUUGGGUCCUCUUUUUUUUCCCUUUGUGAGUGUACAACGCACAGUGGUAGGCAACCUAUAUUUCUUUUAUUAUUAAGCAAACAAUAAUUCACCUAAUGGUUGGAUCAUCUAAAACUUGCUAUUAUAACGAUAGCUGGAAAAAUAUAGGGUUGGUAUAAUAAUUUAAUUUUUAAUUCAUUGACAUCUAAAAAUACUAUAAAUUUUUUUUAUAAACCACUUACCAGCUCCAAAACAUCCUUAAACCAUUCAAAAGACAAAAAAAAAAAAAACUAAAUCAAAAAAAUCUAAAAGAACUUGAAUCUAUUUUUUUCAGGUAAGAUGAAUGACAGAGAACACUUAAAUGUAACUUUUCUCCUCGAAAGAAACCCGUUUAUACAAAGAAUGAUUUUUUCAUGGUCAUAAUCUUGGCAAUCAAAAACUUUUUUAUUUUAUCAUCAUUUUUCAAUGUUUCUCUUUCUCUCAUCUCUCAAACCAGAGAUCAAGAUUAACAUCCAAUCCCCAAAUUAGAAGGGAUCAAAAUGUAACUUUGACAAAACCAAAACAUAAAAUUUAACAAAAAAACCUAGACUCUUUUAUUCUUCUUCCAUUUGGUUUCUUAACUUUUAAUUUUGUAAAAAUAAUAAAAUCACAUAAAUUUCAAUAAAAUUAAAAAUCAAUUUAAUGACAAGAAGUUUUGUCAAGAAUAUAAUAGUCUCGUGAAAAAGCAAGAAAGAACAAAUUAUAAAGAUUGAUUCCAAUGAACACAAUGUGAAACAAUUAAAUAAAACAUUGAAGAGCAUUCAAAAAGAAAACAUUGUUUAGCCCAAUUCACAAAUUCCACUAAAGAUUCCACCUUUCUCACCUUUGAUUUCUGUGUCGCCGGUCUCCGUCUUAUUUGGUUUUGGUAUCUGUCAUUGUUUUUUUUUUUUUUUUUUUUUUGGGGGGGGGGGGGGGGGGGGGGGGGAAAAAAAUUUUUAGCGGGGGAAAAAGAAAAAUAUUUGCCGCCUAUUACUUUGUAAUAAAUAAAUUAAUUCUCAAAAAAUAGUAAAUUAAACUUGCCUUCAAUUAGGAUUUGUGUUCUUCAAUUUUGAACCUUUUCUUUUAAUCCCACAAGUAGUAUUUUGCUAUUUAGUUUACUACUACAUUAUAUUUAUAUUUAGUUUCAAGUUUUUCUUAAAAAAAUCUUAAUAUAUUUUUGUGUUCUUUUCUAUAUUCUACUUUUUACAACUUUUUCUUUAAAAAAACAUUAUUUUCUACUUUUUUAAGUUUUUCUUUAAAAAAUAAUAUUUUUUUAUCAAAUCUUAAACAAUUCAUUCAUAUUUGAAUUCAUAUAUUUAUAAGAAUUUAAUUUUUGUAAUUGAUUUUUAAAUCUCAUUCCAAAUUUAUAGUGUAAAGAUUAAACUGAAUUGGUUAGGUUGAUAAACUAGCACGAAAUCCAGAAAUGGAUAAUGCUCGUAAGCCCAACACAAAGCAAUACCCAAUGGAGUCCAGCUAAAGAAGUAGAAAGGGCCGAAGGGAAUCUUUUUAUUAGGAAGCUGCUACAUUUUCAAACAAGAAGUAGAACCCUUCGGUUAUAGUCGUCAAGAAACAGAAUAACAACAAUGGACGAAGUUCAAGAAAGAGAGAAAAAAGACGAAUUCGAUGCAUCAGAGAUUGAAUACGUUAGCUAUGGUGGUGAGCAUCACCUACCAUUAAUCAUGAAUCUUGUCGAUCAAGAACUUAGUGAGCCUUACUCCAUCUUCACCUACCGUUACUUUGUUUAUCUUUGGCCACAACUUUCUUUCUUGGUAAGUGUGAUUCUUUUCUUCUUUUAUGUUGUUGGGAUUUUUUUUUUGGUGUUGUAACUGUGUUUUUGUUGGUGGGUUUUCAAUUUCAGGCCUUUCACAAAGGCAAAUGUGUAGGGACUGUUGUAUGUAAGAUGGGGGAUCAUCGGAAUUCAACUUUUAGAGGUUACAUUGCUAUGUUAGUUGUCAUCAAACCUUAUCGAGGAAGAGGCAUUGGUAAUGGCUUCUUCUUUUUUUCAUAUUGGGAUUUUGUGCACAGUUUUAGGUUGUGUUGGAUUAUAUAUGUGAAUCCUGGAUUGGUUUUUAAUGUACUAUAGAUCUAUUGGAAACAAGAAAGGAAAGGGGGUGAGGGUUUUCAAGAAAUUGGACGUGCAUUGAUAACAUUAAUGGUAGAAAUAUGGAUGUUUGGAAUGAUUAUGUGUAUAAUAAACUGGCUGCAUUUGAUUUGAACUCAAGGUCCAUUCUUUGUUUUCCUACACUUGGGAUGGCAUUUACAAAGGAUUGGAUGUGGGCUUUGAUAGUUUUUAGGCUUUGUGUUGAUAUAUCAUGUUUUUCUUGUUAAUUGUGUUGUGUAUGGGUACGUUGUAAUUUCCAGUGAAAUUCUCUCCAGACUGCAGCUACUGAACUUGUUACCAGAUCUAUUCAAGUGAUGAUGGAAUCGGGAUGUGAAGAGGUUUGUCGAGUUUUAGUUGUUGUACCUUUUGGUUUGUACUCAUCUAAAUGGAGCAUUAUUCAUACAACUAUAUCACAAAGGAAGUACGGAUUUUUUAUCCUCAAGCUUUAGUUGUACUUUCCAUGGUACCAAAUGAGCAUAUAGGAGAGUAGAAAUAACUACAUUUCCUAAGCAUUACCACCAAACGUUGGAGCUCUGUUUGGGGCUUGAAACAGCAUGGGAAACAAAGGAGAAUUAUGAAACUGCUUAAGUGGUUACCUUCACUGCCAAUUAUAGGAGAGUUGAAAUAGUUUUCCUUUCUACUCCAUUGUGCUCUUUGAUCUCAAACCAAAGAGAAAAAUAAGCUUUCCUCUCGAGUUUGACUGGCACCUUGGCAUGUGUGUAAAUGGUGAUGCCGUAUCUUUUAUUCACACCUCCAAAAACCUUUUCUUCUGAAAUUUCUUGGUGUUUGUGCAUUACUCUGUAGUAACACCAUGUCUCUUAGACACUUCAUGCUUCAUGUGUUAUUUCAAUUCUAUCUCUCCUCUUAGUUACCUCAUGCUGCAUGUGUUAUUUCAAUUCCAUCUCUCCUCUUGCUUUAAUCUUUAUUAGGGUUAAGUGAGCCAGUCCUUGGAGGUAUCCCUGCACAUGGAUAGUAGUCCAUGCAAACAAUGAAUUAUGUUGUUAAUGUGCUGCCAGUUUAUGCUCCCUGCUAGAAGUCCAAAAUAUUACAUGUCAUGUGUGAUGAUUUUGACUUGCAUUGACUGAUUGCACCUACGUGACCAAUUUAGGACUUGCAGCUGAUAUAUUGAUAUGGUUAAAUUGAACUGUCCCAGAAAUUUUCAUUUCAUUAUCUCGAGGUUGAAAUUGUGAGAAAAAAAAAUUAAAAGAAUGAUUCCAUGGAAAAAAAAAAAAAAAAAAACGAGAUCAAUGGAAAUUUACUGCUGAGAAAGGAAUAUGGUUUCAUUCAAUGUAAACGCAACUCCAUGCUUUGCUGCAGUAUCAUAGUUCUGAACGAACUUAAAUAUUGUCCCAAGAAGCCAAUAAUUUGUGAGGCCUUGGCUUUGCUGAUAUUCCUUGUGUUUUUGAAUGAUGCGUUAAUUCUAUUUCUAGUUAUUUCACCUUGAUGCAUGAAUUUGCUCUCAUUUCUCAUAUCAGGCAAAGAACAUAGAAUGAAAAGGUGGGAGAGAAUAUAGAAUCCGAAUAAACUGCUAUGACUUUAAUGUAGGAUAUCAGAACAGCUCAAAUGAACUGCAUGAUUAUUUGACUGUUUUUCCACCUUAACUGGUGAUAAGUGGUCCACUCUGGAACACAAGCAUGCCACAUUAAAGAAUAUGGUCCAUUAAAUAACUAACUACAUUCCCCCCUAUUUGCUUAUGAUUUAGCAUAUCCCAACUUUAUAUUUAUGUAUUCAAGCAUAUCACUUUCUUAACUACAUUGUUGUUGAUCUUUUAUUGUGUUGUGUUUUUCUCUUUCCUCUUCGAAGGUAACAUUGGAAGCAGAAGUUACAAAUAAAGGAGCACUUGCACUAUAUGGCCGUCUUGGUUUUAUUAGAGCAAAACGACUCUUUCACUAUUACUUGAAUGGAGUUGAUGCCUUUCGUCUGAAGCUGCUAUUCCCCCAACCAGAGUUAUACCCCUCUUUGCCUAUGAUGGCUGAUAGAGACGAUACACACGAGCAUGAUGAUUGCUAGCCAAUGGAUGAGCUUUCUGAGCUCCGAGCUCCACAGAGGCUUGGAACUAGUGGGCUUUCUACCAUUCAUUACACAGUCUCUGCGAGCUACAAGGAUGGUUUGAUAUUUGAUCUUUAGAGAGGCAGCACAGCCUCGUAACCUACACAGGGAUUCGCACAAAUGUGGGUUCUUGGUCAUGUCAUCUUUGUUCACUGAAGUCGAUGUACAUGUUUUAUUGGCCUUGUCUAAUAGAAAUGUAUCAACAUACGAGGCCGAAGCUCACAUACUGUAAUACUUGCACAUUAUAGAUGUGGCAGCUAUGACGAAAACAGCCAAUCUCUCUCUGUUCACUCUCAAAAUAUUUGAUUGAGGCGAAGAUCAAGUCUAAAAGACCAAAAAUGCUUCAGCAAUGGUUUGGUACAAAGGGUAUGAUGGUGACUUGAGACAAUAGUGGGUUACUUACCAUAACAGCCAAUGAAACACAGUCAAACCAAGAAAAUCCCAAAUGUUAAAAUAAUAUCCAUGCGUCUCUCUCUAAUGGCUGCAGGAUAUAUAACAUUUGAUUUGCGUUGUAUGGUAGGUGGGUUGCUCAAUUGAGUCAGCUGCAUGCCUAUUCUAGUCAAAAGGCUUAAGAAAGUAGCAAUACUAUUUUAAAAGUGUUUUGUUGCUACGACUUCUUGGAGGUUGCAGCACCAAUCAAAAUGUUUUUAAAAACCAUAUUCUAAUGUGUAGUUGUGUUAAUUUACAAGCACCCGCAUUGUUAAUUUGUUUGAAUUUGGUGUGUUGAAGAAAUGUCUUCAAUUUGUUAAUAUUCUCCCAAGUUUAUAUGCUCUCUAUCAUUUUAAUAACCAGAAUUAUUUUGAUAAUUAAGCAACCAAGCAUUUACGAUAUGAUGAUAUGAGUCAAUGAACACUGCACCUCUUCAGUUAAGUUGAUCUAAUUGGCAUUGUCUAAUAGAAAUGCGUCAACAUAUUAGACCUAAUACAUGUAACAUAUUAUGAAAAGUUAAAAUUAAAAUUACAUUACUGUUUUUACUGUAGCCAAUUUAAUGUUCACCCUCUCAUUUCAUUGUGGAUUUCAGUAGUAAUAUAUUUGAAAAGUUUCAAUUUAAUCUUUAAAUUUUUAUUUUGCAUAAUUGAGCUCUUUUCAGCUCAAAUUGAAUGCCAAUUUAUAUUUUUUUGGGGUGAGGGUUGAAUUAAAAGAAAGAGGGCUUAAGUGAAAAAUAAAAGUAACAUAGGUGACGGCUGUGCAAUUAUUNNNNNNNNNNNNNNNNNNNNNNNNNNNNNNNNNNNNNNNNNNNNNNNNNNNNNNNNNNNNNNNNNNNNNNNNNNNNNNNNNNNNNNNNNNNNNNNNNNNNGUUCAUUAUAGUCCCUUAUUUUUUAGCUUUGAAAGAUUUUUUUGUUUCGGAUUGAUUAUGAGUUUUAAGGUGUUUUCUUUUUUUUGUGUUUUUUAAGGCUAUAAAUUGGUUAAACAAGAAUCCAGAGUGUUUCCUAAAUAUUUUAGGUUAAAAAUAAGUUGAAAUAGGUUUUUUGGUUGAAAAAAUAAGAACCCUAUUCAAAAAAUAUUUUUUGCAUUUAUGUUUUGAUUAAUACUUAUUCUUUGCGAUUUUUUUAUUUAUUUAGUUUUUUUAAAUAACAAUUAUUUUUAAAUUAUAUUAAAUAUUAAAAAUAAAUUAAAUUUUUAUUAAUAAUAAAUAUAAAUAUUUAUGUGAAUAUAAUAAAAUCAAGUAUAAAAACAGACGAUAGAUGAUGUGAGAACUCAAUCCCAUUCCAUUUCAGAAUCAAAAUGGGGAAUAUUUCCCGGCUCAAAGGUGCAAGAAAGUUGUUCGCUGAGGCUGUGGCAUGUGUAUAUUGAAUUCUUUGUUUCGAACAGAUCCAUUAUCCCGCUUGACCAACUGAGAGAUGAUUAAUAAACAAGAGAAAAGGACUAAUCAAUGGUUUAAUUUUCAAUUUCGAACAACAUAGUACAUGCAUUGCAAAAGUCAUGAUUUUUACCAAGAGAAUUUUGAUCUUUCUUGUUGUAGAGAAAUAUUUCCCAUUUAACUUCGUAAACACAUAUCUAUAUGAUAUUAAUUAUAUAAAAAAAAAUUAUAAGAUUUGAACUUAUAAUUAUUUUGUCAAUAAAAAUACUGUUAAGUUUGCACAAGCCCCAUUAUAUUAUGCUAUUAAUUAUAUAAAAAAAUAAAGAUUUGAACUCGUAAUUUAUGUGAAUUCAUUAAAAUAUAAAAAUAUCUUAAUUUAAAAACUUAAUCUAUCGUAUAAGAUUUUAAAAUAUUAUUUAUAUUAUUUUUUAAUACUAAUAAAUAUAAAUAAUCAUGUUCUUUGCCACACUCUUGAAACUAGUGAAAACUAUUUUUCUGGGCCAUCAAACGUGGGAGAUUUUUUCCAAGAAAAACAAGAUAGGUUAUUGUCAAUCAAAAGAUUAGCGUGACUUUACACAGCUAGAGCGCAUUCUUGUUGACUAAUUAAUAUUGAAUUCAAGGCUUUGAUUUAGCAAAAAUCAAGUUGGUGAGGCAUGUGAUUCAAAUCUUUCCAAUCUCGACCAAGCCUAAUAAACCAAAAACUAUAAUAUAUAUAAAAAAUAAACCUAACCAUCUAUACUUUUCCUUCUAAAUAUUCAUACCUCUUCAACUUUAUUAUACAUUUCAUGAUAAUCACUUGAAACUACAAGAGAGGAUUACCAUACGAGCUGCCAAUGAAACACAGUCAAACCAAGAAAAAUCCCAAAUGGCAUACAAUGUCCAUGCAUUUCUCCAUAGACUACGCAGGAUAUAUAACAUAUGAUUUCCAUGGCAUGGUAGGUUAAGGUUUGCUCAAUUGAGUCAAAUUCCCAUGCAAGUCAAAAGGCAAGGAAGUAAGUAGUGAUACUUGAAUUAUUUACUAGUACAAUCUUGGAGGCUGCAACACGAUUUUAACUAAGAAAAUUGAUCCGAGUAAUUAAUUGUCUAGGUAGUCUUAAAACCUUAUAUUAUAUUGGGUCAUUUUCGUAUUAUACAAGCACACGUACGUCUAGUUAACUUGUUUGAAUUUCAUGUGGUCUCCGAUAUUAUUCUCCCAAAGUUUGUAAGCUUAUCAUUUUAAUAAUCAAAAUUACUUAAUUUGAUAAUUAGUCAACCACACAUUUUGAAUAUGGUUAAUUAAAUGAUGAUGUGAGCUCCAAUUGCAUUGAUUUAUACAAUCUUCAUGUGAACGGUGUGGUCGAGACUCUUUAAUAUACUCAUACGUGAGAUUCUUUAUAUAUAAUAUACUUAGACAUGAGAUUCUUUAUAUAUAUAUAUAGUAAUGGAUUUCUUUGAGUAGUCUACAUAUUAAUUGAGAUUAGAUUUUUUUUCUCCAGUGAUCUUAAUUGUGUAUCUACUACAUUUGCUUGAUGUGUCUCGAUGAAUUUCAUAAAUUUUCUUGAAUACUAACUCUAAAUUUUGAAUAUAAAAAGUCAAAAAAUAAAACAAAUCCCUUUUAAAUUGGCGAAGAGAGCUAGAUAUGUGGAAUGUGCAUCUUUAGAAUUCAACUUAUCAUGUUGUUGAACGGGAACAAUCUAACGUUUUGGAACCACCUAUGUGAACUUGGCAUAACAUGCAGGAGAAUUUAUUAAAUUCUUUUGAAAAUAUUAGGCUAAUAUAGGAAGUAUGUCUUUAAAAAUCACUAAAAAAAUAAUUUUAGUUUACAUGCAAGUUAUCCAUCGGAAAAGAUAUAAGUUAUUUGUGCAAGUUAGGGAAACUUUUCAUAUAUUAUAACUAGAUUAUUUCUCAUAGCUAUGCUGUGAAUUGAAUUAAAUUUUUUUAAAUGUAAAAAAAAAAAUAUCUAAGCCAUGAAGAACUAUUUAAGAUUAUUAUUAAAUCUGGUUUAGUGUGUCAAACUUGAAAACUCCUGACUGAACUCCUUAUCUAAUCAUAUUUCAAAUUAAAUCUUGUAAAAUUAUUCUAACGUGACCUAGUCGACUUAGUGGAUAUAAAAGCUAAAAAAUAAAAGAAAAAAUAAUGACCAAAAUAAAAGUAAAGAGAGAGAGAUCAGGCGCACGAGUCUAAGGACAAUAUGGAUAAUUAGUAAAAACAUAGUUUGACUUUUUUAAAAAAAUUUAAAAUAACUUUUUUUUAAAAAAAACAAUCAAACAGUGAUAUAUUGAAUCGAUCUGAGUUAACUUGUCAAACUUGUGACCAGGAUCAUGAAUUCCACUAGAUCUAAUAACAAUUAAUUAUAUGAUAAAAAAUAUGAAGACUAGUUCAAAACCAACUAAAUAUUGAAUGAAAAAAAUGAAUUUUUUUUUUAAAAUACAGCAAAAACUCAAUGUUAAAUGAUAAAACUUGAGAGAAAAAAAAUACAAGUCAUGUGCGUGAACUUGGAUUAUAACAACGAAAAAAAAAUCUUAGCUUUGUAAAGAUAUCUUAAGCCUUUAACUCAGGAAAACAAAAUGAAUUUUUUUUCUACAUUUAGUAUCAGUAAUCCAUAUUGUCAUUUUAAUCUCAUGGUUUAAUUCAAUUCGAUAUAACACAUUCAUAUACAUUACAAAUAUCAUACAAUUAUGAUUGAUGUUUCUAAUUUUUAUCAAAAUUUCAGCAGAGUCUUCUUUGUCUAGGUAACCAAACAGUUCUUCUCUUCUUCUAAAAACCUACAUAACGAUCAAGGAGAGUUUCAAAUCCCACACAUAAACAAUUUAUAUCCAGGUAUUGGGCCUCAGGCCAUUCAAUCAAUCAAUCAAUUCAUAAUAGUUCACACCUAUUAAAGUUUAUUGGGUACAUUUAAAUAAUUUAAACUUAGCUUUUCAUCAAGAUAGCAUUUCAUUACAAGAACAACAUUAUAAAUACUUAUUCAUAUUACAAUCCCCGUUCAUUUGAAUUACAAUAUACUACUAAGAACUCAUCUAACAUUGUAACUAAGAAAAUUAGAAUCUUGUCUUAGCAUGUGAUAUUCCAGAUCAUAAACAUGAAAAUUAUAGAAAUUUAAAUAAGAUAUUUAUUACAACACAAUUAAAAUAUGUCAGAUACAAUAUAUAUAUAUGAUUUUUCAUGGAGCAAACAUAAUUUCUUUGGAUAAUAAUAGAAUCGACUCAUUUGUCAUAAUCUCUACUAAUUUUAAGUAUUGUAUAGUCACCUCGUCAAGGUAAUUCCAAGCUUUAUCUUCUCAUCUAAAAGUUAUAUCUUGUUCAUAAAUCCAUCUUGGAAACUUUAUCUAUCGAAGCUCACCAUAAAGUUUUAUUAAUGGUAAUUAAAGGCCUAUUCCACGUAUCCUACCCUAUGCUAUUAAUUUAUCAAAGGUAAAUUAUCAUUUGUACUCUUUGCUCUAUAUGUUUCUUAAGGAAUUAAAUCCUUUACUAGUAUCGCCCUACAAUUUUAAAUAAAUAUAAUUAAUGAUUUAUUGAUUUCUAUUUUCCAUAAUGAAUCUUUAACAUUGAUUUAACUUAAUUUGGUUUUAGCAACAUAUCAUUCAUCUUACAACAAACUUUUAUGUACACAUGUCUUAACAUGCAUCAAUACACUUAUUUGUCCAUUGGAUUGACCAUCAUAUAGCUUGAAAUAUACAAUCAUAGAUGUCCAUGUUCUUGUCCUAUUAGGCCACCAAGAUGAUUUUCAAAUCUCUUAUCAUGUUGUACUGGAAUCAGUAUAUACUUAUGCCCUUUUACAUUAUCAAACAAUCACCAUUUUCUUCAUGAAUACACCAUCAAAACCGCAUACAUUCAACUACACCACAUUAUACAAACCAAUUCUUUAUUAUAACCCGUUUCACUAUCAUUACAAUCCUUAGAGUUCUCAUGCAUAUGUUGUCCACAACAAUAUUUGAAAUCUAUUUUCAAGUCAUUUUCACCUAGAAAACAUUGUUGUUCCCCUAAUAACUCUUUGCUCAUAUAAUAGAUUGUCAAAACAACCUACAAAUUACGCUUCGAUGCAGCCCAAAACAUAAACAUGUAGUAAUAUUAGUCAUCACACCGUGAUUGACUACCCAAUAGAUUCUAAUAUCGUUAUUGUCUAAUACUACUAGUCUUUUAACUCUAAAACACCCUAAAAUAACACAAACAAAGGGGUUUUUAUUUGUUUAGAAAUCUAUUUUCAAGUCAUUUUCACCUAGAAAACACCAUAAAAACAUUCCUAAACCAACCAUUAACUCUAAAACACCCCAAAAUAACACAAAAAAUAAAAAUCAAACUAAUCAAGAAAAUCUUAAUUGAAUCCAAUCUACUUUUCAAGCAUUGUUAGAGAAAAAGUCAUCGCUAUUUGAAAACUCAUCAUUAAAUGAAACUCGUUGAGACCAAGAACAACUACUUUUAUCGCUGAAAAGUGGUCAAACCGAUAACUUUCUCUUUUCUUAUCGUUUUUCAAUGAGUCUCUCUCAUCUAUGUAACUUGGGGUUGAGAAUGACCAAAAUAAACUUUUAGACUAAAAUAUUAAAAAUUCNNNNNNNNNNNNNNNNNNNNNNNNNNNNNNNNNNNNNNNNNNNNNNNNNNNNNNNNNNNNNNNNNNNNNNNNNNNNNNNNNNNNNNNNNNNNNNNNNNNNCUCCUCUCUCUCCUUAAAUUGGUUUAUAUCCAAAUUUCAACCAUCAUCAGCUAUAAAAGAAUCAUUGAAAAACAAAUUUGAAGACAGAAUUAAAAAAAAAGGGGACGGAAAAAAGAAAGAAAAAGGAGGGUAGUUUUUUUAGUUAAAGCUGAUGGUUUCUAGCCAAAAAAAAAGCAAUGAGUGUUGGGGUGCCACGUGUAAGGAGCCCAUUAAGUAUGUGGUGGGUGAAGUCAGCUAGAGCUAAGCAUCCAUUUUUGGUGGGGUUUUUCUGGUUAGAUUUGCCUGUUGGAGGAUCGUAGCAUGGGAUUAUAUUUGGUUGUAAAGGAAAGUGUCAAUUUAGGAGCCACCAACCAUCGACAAGUUAGUGAAAAUGGUGUCGAGUGCCGCACCCACCACCUCCUUCGAUCAAUCACCUCAUCAUCCAUGUAAUUAACCCUUUUUUGAUCUAUCACUUUUACGUUACUAAACACUUCCACUUCUAUAUUAGACGUGUGGAAUGAUUCGAUUUCUAGUUUUUUUAUUUGUGAAUCAAAUUAAUACUUGAAGCUAGUAGAUGGAUGUGUCUAAUCAACUUCCUUUGAUUCAAUUUCAUGAAAUUUUUUAUCAUAAAACAUCAAUAAAAAUGUGUUGUAUAUCUUGAACCGAUAUCUAAUAAAAUCUUAAAAGUUGGGAGUGAAAGAUAUAAUUUAUUUUAUUUUUUUAAUAUGUUUUUUAAUUAAAAAUUAUUUCAGUUUAAAACUUAAAGGAUUAUACUAUUUUAUACAUUAAAAAAUAAUUCAUAACUAUUUGGUUAUCAUGUAAAAAAAAUAUUUUAAAUUAAAAAAUUUAAAUUUUUAAAAUUAUAUAAAUUGCUCUCUUUUGAAUAACCUUUCGUAUUGUGAUGUUUCAUGGGUAAAUAAAACAUGAUAAAAUAUAAUAAGAAAGAAUUUUGCUAGGAAAAAUACAAAAAUGAGAUACCAAAUCUAUUUAUUUAAUUGAACAAAACUAUUUUUCUAUCAAUCUCACAUGUAUAUCAAACAAUAAAGGAUAAAUUAGAAAGUGGACUUGUCACUAAUUAAAUGUAUAUAUUAUGAUUUUUAUUUUCUAAGAUGAUAUAUUAGGAUUUUUUAUUAUUAUUAAUGUAGGUGUUCGGACUAACUUGCGUGUACCUCAACUAAUCUCACGAGUUUUGAAGUUAACGAUCAUGUAAAUCUUCAAUGAUCCUGAGAUUUGUAAGACUCGAACUGGUAAUAUCUAGAGAAUAAAUUUAGAAUAUGAUGAAUUAAGUUUCACUUCUCAUGAUUAAUAUAUUUAGAGUUUUGAAUACUUAAAAGGAGGUGUUGUUUUUAUUUUUAUUUUCAAAUCUAAGAACCUCAAAAACUUUUAGGAAUCUAAAAAAAAACUCAUUUUUUUAACCCCAAAACAUUUUCUAAUUAGCCUAAAUAAUGAAAAUCAAUCUGAAUAAAAAAAAUAUUGGUCUAAUAUAUUUUUUCUAGCAUGGUUAAAAGGCAAAAUCAUUUUUAUUGAACUCUUUUUUUCAAAACAAAUCCAUUGAUGUUAAAAUUAGUUUUUUUAUGACCGGAAUAUGAUUAGCUUCACCACAUUCUCCCCCUCUCAACAUACAAUAACUAAAAAUAUGAUAAAAAUGAAGUUUUAAGAUGGAGUCGUAAAAAUUUUAAACAAUAUGAUUAAAUAAAUCUGAAAAACAAAAACUUCAAGGACCAUAUUAAACUUUUCUACAACUUUGGAAAAAGAUUGCAUUAUAGGAGAAUAGUUUAAUGCACAAUAACUUGAGUCUUGCUGCACAAUAAAAUUUAUUAUGGUAAGAAUAACAAAUGUUUUAAUUUAGAUUAUAACACGAAGCAUACACAAUUAAGAUUACAACAAGGAGAUUUCAAGUAGUUAAACUUAGGUUAUAUUAGAUAUGACUUUUGUAAAUUGAUUUAAUAUAUUUUUCACUUUUGAUUUUAAUUUUAAUUUUUUUUAAGUAAGUUAAAAUAGCUUUUGAUUUAAAUUUUUUUUGUUAUAAAUUGGAUUCAAACCUUUGAUUUAAUAAAAAACAAGAAAAUUUUACUUUAGUUUGUGGAUUUUAUACUGAAUUCCUUAUUAAAAAGUUAUUUUGAAUCAUUUUUACAAAUAAUGCUUAUAACUUACGGUUAUUUUAAUUUAUUUUUUUCAUAAAUUGUUUAUAAAAAACAACUUUUAAAUUACAAUUCAAAGUAAAAUAUCAUAAUUAGUUAUGAAUUGGAUUCGAUGAAAGGAAGAUGGGAAGAGGGGAAAUGGGUAACGGGAAAUUAAAGAGAGAUGAUGAUCUGCGCAUGGCUACCUGUACCAGAACAGAUGGAAAAAACUCGAAACAACUCGGCUAGAAUUUAGGCAAGAAAUUCAGAAUGAGUCAACAUUUUAAGUGAGAUGAAAUUUGUCUCACUUUGUUCUAUUAAACAGAGGAGCAUUUAGAGGAUAGAAUAUUAGAGUCUCUAGCAAAAGCCAGCAAGGUAUAUUUAGAGCCAAAUUCGGGUAACAAAUUAUCAUAACCAACUGAUCCAUUUCGGCUCGGAGGCUUCAGAUUUGUACCAGUCAUCAACUGGUGCUCUUUGCUUUGCAGCCUUUGAGGAAGAAGUAAAAGCCUCCAAAAAUAUCAUCAUUAUUAUUAACAGAUGAACUAGACCCGUUUAACCCACCAAAAUAUAUCAUCAUUAAAAGAUGAUUUCGCACUCGUAUUUUUAGUACUGGAAAACACAAAAUCAUAACCGAAAUCAAACCCAGUGCUAUUUUGUUUUUAAUUCUUUUGAAAAACAUCAAAAAUGUCAAAAUCAUCAUCAAAAUUCUAUAAUUUUGAAUUGCUAAAGAGAGUUUCGUGAUAAUCCAUGAAAGACCUAUCAAAAGAAUUGGAAAUGAAGGUUAAUUUAGAAGAAUAUGAGGAGGGUUUCUGGUUUGAUGGAGGGAAAUUCAAAUAACAAAACUGGCUAUAUGUUUCUUUGAGGAUGAAACAUGCAAGAGAUUCCACCACCAGGACAGACAACAACACNNNNNNNNNNNNNNNNNNNNNNNNNNNNNNNNNNNNNNNNNNNNNNNNNNNNNNNNNNNNNNNNNNNNNNNNNNNNNNNNNNNNNNNNNNNNNNNNNNNNUAUUCAACUUUUACCUACUUUUCUUCGCUUAGAAUUAGAAAAUCCAUACUUGCAUUUAAGAGAAUUUGAAGAAGUUUGUAACACCUAUAAUGACUUAAAUUGUAGCAUAAACACCAUCAGAUUAAAGUUUUUUCCUUUUUCAUUAAAAGAUAAAGCUAAAACAUGGCUACAAAAUCUUAGGUCAGGAUCCAUUCGUGCUUGGAAUAAAAUGCAACAACAAUUUUUAAAGAAGUUUUUCCCUUCUCAUAGAACAAACUCUUUCAAAAGAUAAAUCACCAUUUUCAAUCAAAAACCAGGAGAAAUAUUUUACAAGUGUUGGGAUAGAUAUAAAGACUUGCUUAAUACCUGUCCUCAUCAUGGUUUUGAAACAUGGAGAUUGGUUUCACAAUUUUAUGAAGGGUUAACACCUAAAGAUAGACAAAUGAUGGAAUUGAUGUGCAAUGGAACUUUUGAAAACAAAGACCCUGAUAAAGCAAUGGAGUACCUAGACUUGAUAGCUGAAAAUGCUCAAAAUUAGGACACUACAUGCACUUGUGAGGCACCAGGUAAAACUUAACCUCAUACAUUUAGUGGAGGCAUGUAUAACCUUAGGAAAGAUCAUGACCUCCAAGCCAAAUUUGCAUCUUUAGCUAGAAAAGUUGAGGCACUAGAAUUAAAAAAGAGUGGUCAAUUAAAAUCUGUUCAAGAAAUUGUGUGUCAAACUUGUGAAACUAAUGAACACUCAACCAAUGAUUGUCCAACUUUGCCUUCUUUUAAUCACCAAAAUUUCAGUUGGAAGAGUAGUAACAAUAAUGCGCAAACUUCACAACCACCAUUUCAAACACAUCAUAAUUUUCAAAAUUCUCAUGGAUAUGCACCUCCUUAUGUUCCCCAUCCUAGAAGAAAUCUUGAGGAAAUAUUGGAUGCAUUCAUUGAAAAGCAAGAGACAAUCAACACUCAACUUGCUUAAAACAUGACAGAUUUUAAAGAUACUCUUGCAAAAUUCACAUCUGCUCUAAGUUUUCAGGAGAAAGGUAAGUUCUCAUCUCAACCACAGCAAAAUCCCAAUGGGAAAUACAAUGCAAAUGCAAGUAGUUCUAGAAGCCAACACAUAGAUCAAGUCAAAUCAGUCAUUAUUAUCCACGGUGGUAAGGUUAUUGAAAAACCAAUUUUUGAACCUUGUGAGAAAGAUGAUGAGUCAAUCUCUAAGGGUAAUUAAGGAAAGGGUUAAACCUGAACAUUGCAAAGAAAAGACUAAUUCCCCACUAAUACUUCCAUUUCCUCAUGCUAUGACCAAACAAAGGGAAGUCAAUCACGAUUCUGAAAUUUUUAAAACUUUCAAAUAGGAAGAAAUCGAGGAUGAAAAAGGCACCGAAAAUAUUGUCGUGGAUCAUUUGUAAAAAUUGACAAUAGAUUCGAUAUCUGACAUCACACUAAUUGAUGAUUACUUUCCAGAUGAAUCUUCACUUUCUAUUGCUUCAAUACCUUGGUCUGCUAAUAUUGAUAAUUUUCUUGCUUCAAGAUUUUUGCCAGCUCAUUUGGAUACCCAAGAUAAAAGAAAGUUCUUGAGCGACAUGCAGAACUUUUAUUGGGAUGACCCUUACUUAUUCAAAUAUUGUCCUAAUCAAAUAUAUCAAAGAUGCAUUUCUGACAAUGAGGUAAGUGGUGUCAUAAAAUUUUGUCACUCUGAAGCAUGUGGGGGUCAUUUCUCAUCAAGAAAGACGACUGCAAAAAUCUUACAAUGUGGAUUCUACUGGUCCAUCAUGUUCAAAUACAAAUAUGCAUUCUGCAAAACCUGUGAAAAUUGUCAAAAGGUGGGAUUUAUUUCAAAACAUAGAGAGUCUUUAGAUAAUCUUCUAUUGACUCUUAAGUCUCAUCGUAAUGGAGAUGUGCAUCGUGCAAUUCAUGAUUUAUAGCCCUAUUUUCAUAAAGAACAUGAUCGACUUAGUCUUGAGAAUCUAACUAAAAAAGACCCUGUUUGUCAGUUUUUAAGAAAACUGGAUGGGAAGCGUAUCCCUGACCCAUAGAGAGUGUUUAAGCCAUUCUUGGACGUAAAAUCAAGGGAAGAUGUGAGCCACGAUCACAACUACGAUUUAAGCCUUAGGUUGCAAAAAUUUAUGUAUUUUGGUUUUAUUAAUAGCAUAAUAUUUGUGUUCUGUUGUUUCUUAUAUUUGUUUAAGUGUGUUUUAGGUUUGUUUGUAGUCGCUAUUUUAGGUGAUGUCUUCUAUAUUCUAUCUUUCUGCCUUAAAACAUUGAGGACAAUGUCUCCUUUUGUUUGGGGGGAGAGGGUAGUAGUUGACAAAAAAAAUAUUACUAAUUGUGUUUUCUAUUAUUAAAAUCAUUUGCAAAACUGUUGUUACUAGGAUGGCAGAGUAAAUGAGGAACUUUAAUAACUCUUGAGACGCAUCUUAGUAAAUAUUUUUAACAAAGUCUAUCAGAAUACUUCUUGAAAUAUUCAGGUUUACAAACUCUUGUAUUGUUAUCACUUGAUUCUGCUCAUAUACUCAUUUAAUAAAUAUUCCUAAACCUUUAUUUUCACACACACACUUUAACAUAUGAUUGUGGGUUGCACAUUGGAUUAUUACAUUAUUUAUGUUCUUUUGUUAAAGGUAACAACUAAGGGAAAGGGAAUAUAUAAUAUUCAAAAAAAUAAACAAAACAAAAACAAAAGCAAAUUGAUAAUAAAAUGAAUAAAUAAUGAAAAAGUAGAUAAGUUUGGAUUCGUAGCUCUUACUUAAGCAAUUAAGCCCGAAGGGGUGUUUUAACACCUAGUNNNNNNNNNNNNNNNNNNNNNNNNNNNNNNNNNNNNNNNNNNNNNNNNNNNNNNNNNNNNNNNNNNNNNNNNNNNNNNNNNNNNNNNNNNNNNNNNNNNNGCUUGUUACAUGGGUUGAGGAGAAAGCUUAAGAGAAUCAAACAUUGCACUAUCUACGUAUCAGUAUCUGCAACCCGAGUUACUAAGCUCGUAGGGGUGUCUCAACACCUGAUGCCCUUAGACCAACUAGUUUGGUAGUCAUUAGCCGAAAGCUCGUUACAUGGGUUAAAGAUGCAUUGUGUUUUAAGUUAUAUGUAUAUAUACCAAAAUAAUAAUAAUAAUAAUAAUAAUAAUAAUAAUAAUAAUAAUAAUAAUAAUAAUAAUCCCAACUCAAUGAAGUUAACCUUAGAAAAAUAUUAGAACAGAACAUUGUUUUCUUCCAAUAAAAGCCCCAUCAUCCAUGUUUUCAUAUAUUAAGCACAUAAAAAGAAGGUUUAUUAAUAUCUUGUUUAAGAAGUAUAAAGCAGAUAUAUAAAUGAGAGUUUGUUUAUUUGGAUAGAUUAAUGGAAGUUAAAUGAUAAAUGUCUUACUUUGUGGAACUUUCAAAUUGUUUUUCUAUUUUAACACUUUGAUUACUAGGGACUAGUAAUAAGCUGAUUGAGGGGUGUAAUUAGUACUUAAAAGUGCAUUUUCAUUAAGGUUUUAUAUUAUCAUAUUGCACUAAAGUAUCAUUAAAUUCCCUAACUAAAACAUGUUUUACAAUAACAAGAGUCAUAAAUUGAUUAAACAAGAGUCCAAGGGUGUUUCUUAGAUAUUUUGGGUUAAAAAUAGGUUGAAAUAGGUUUUUUGGUUGAAAAAAUAAGAAUCCUAUUCAAAAAAUAAUUUUUGCAUUUAUGUUUUGAUUAAUUCCUCUUCUUGGUGAUCGAUUUUUUUACUUAUUUAGUUUUUUUAAAUAACAAUUAUUUUUAUAUUAUAUAAAUAUUAAAGAUAAAUUAAAUUUUUAUUAAUAAUAAAUAUAUAUUUAUGUGAAUAUAAUAAAAUCAAGUAUAAAAACAGACGAUAGAUGAUGUGAGAACUCAAUCCCAUUCCAUUUCAGAAUCAAAAUGGGGAAUAUUUCCCGGCUCAAAGGUGCAAGAAAGUUGUUCGCUUAGGCUGUGGCAUGUGUAUAUUGAAUUCUUUGUUUCGAACAGAUCCAUUAUCCCGCUUGACAAACUGAGAGAUGAAAAAGGAAAAAAAAACCAUGAUUAAUAAACAAGAGAAAAGGACUAAUCAAUGGUUUAAUUUUCAAUUUCGAACAACAUAGUACAUACAUUGCAAAAGUCAAUAUUUUUAUUUAUAGAAUUUUGAUCUUUCUUGUUGUGGAGAAUUUCCCAUUUAACUUCAUCAACAUAUAUUAUGCUAUUAAUUAUAUAUAUAAAAAAUUUAAACUCAUAAUUAUUGUGAAUUCGUUAAAAUAUAAAAAUAUCUCAAUUUAAAAACUUAAUUUAUUCGAAUAAAAUUUUAAAAUAUUAUUUAUAUUAUUUUUUAAUACUAAUAAAUAAAUAAUCAUGUUCUUUGCCACACUCUUGAAACUAGUGAAAACUAUUUUUAUGGACCAUCAAACGUGGGAGAUUUUUUCCUAGAAAAACAAGAUAGGUUAUUGUCAAUCAAAAGAUUAGCGUGACUUUACACAGCUAGAGCGCAUUCUUGUUGACUAAUUAAUAUUGAAUUCAAGGCUUUGAUGUAGCAAAAAUCAAGUUGGUGAGGCAUGUGAUGCAAAUCUUUCCAAUCUCGACCAAGCCUAAUAAACCAAAAACUAUAAUAUAUAUAAAAAAUAAACCUAACCAUCUAUACUUUUCCUUCUAAAUAUUCAUACCUCUUCAACUUUAUUAUACAUUUCAUGAUAAUCACUUGAAACUACAAGAGAGGAUUACCAUACGAGCUGCCAAUGAAACACAGUCAAACCAAGAAAAAUCCCAAAUGGCUUACAAUGUCCAUGCAUUUCUCCAUAGACUGCGCAGGAUAAAUAACAUAUGAUUUCCAUGCAUGGUAGGUUAAGGUUUGCUCAAUUGAGUCAAAUUCCCAUGCAAGUCAAAAAGGCAAGGAAGUAAGUAGUGAUACUUGAAUUAUUUACUAGUACAAUCUUGGAGGCUGCAACACCGAUCAACACGAUUUUAACUAAGAAAAUUGAUUGAGUAAUUAAUUGUCUAGCUAGUCUUAAAACCUUAUAUUAUAUUGGGUCAUUUUCGUAUUAUACAAGCACACGUUCGUCUAGUUAACUUGUUUGAAUUUCAUUUGGUCUCCGAUAUUAUUCUCCCAAAGUUUGUAAGCUUAUCAUUUUAAUAAUCAAAAUUACUUAAUUUGAUAAUUAGUCAACCACACAUUUUGAAUAUCGUUAAUUAAAUGAUGAUGUGAGCUCCAAUUGCAUUGAUUUAUACAAUCUUCAUGUGAACGGUGUGGUCGAGAUUCUUUAAUAUACUCAUACGUGAGAUUCUUUAUAUAUAAUAUACUUAGACAUGAGAUUCUUUAUAUAUAUAUAUAGUAAUGGAUUUCUUUGAGUAGUCUACAUAUUAAUUGAGAUUAGAUUUUUUUUCUCCAGUGAUCUUAAUUGUGUAUCUACUACAUUUGCUUGAUGUGUCUCGAUGAAUUUCAUAAAUUUUCUUGAAUACUAACUCUAAAUUUUGAAUACAAAAAGUCAAAAAAUAAAACAAAUCCCUUUUAAAAUGGCGAAGAGAGCUAGAUAUGUGGAAUGUGCAUCUUUAGAAUUCAACUUAUCAUGUUGUUGAACGGGAACAAUCUAACGUUUUGGAACCACCUAUGUGAACUUGGCAUAACAUGCAGGAGAAUUUAUUAAAUUCUUUUGAAAAUAUUAGGCUAAUAUAGGAAGUAUGUCUUUAAAAAUCACUGAAAAAAUAAUUUUAGUUUACAUGCAAGUUAUCCAUCGGAAAAGAUAUAAGUUAUUUGUGUAAGUUAGGGAAAUUUUUCAUAUAUUAUAACUAGAUUAUUUCUCAUAGCUAUGCUGUGAAUUGAAUUAAAUUUUUUUAAAUGUAAAAAAAAAAAUAUCUAAGCCAUGAAGAACUAUUUAAGAUUAUUAUUAAAUCUAGUUUAGUGUGUCAAACUUGAAAACUCCUGACCGAACUCCUUAUCUAAUCAUAUUUCAAAUUAAAUCUUGUAUAAUUAUUCUAACGUGACCUAGUCGACUUAGUGGAUAUAAAAGCUAAAAAAUAAAAGAAAAAAUAAUGACCAAAAUAAAAGUAAAGAGAGAGAGAUCAGGCGCACGAGUCUAAAGACAAUAUGGAUAAUUAGUAAAAACAUAGUUUGACUUUUAAAAAAAAUUCAAGAUAACUUUUUUUAAAAAAAAACAAUCAAACAGUGAUAUAUUGAAUCGAUCUGAGUUAACUCGUCAAACUUGUGAUCAGGAUCAUGAAUUCCACUAGAUCUAAUAACAAUUAAUUAUAUGAUAAAAAAUAUGAAGACUAGUUCAAAACCAACUAAAUAUUGAAUGAAAAAAAUGAAUUUUUUUUUAAAAUACAGCAAAAACUCAAUGUUGAAGGAUAAAACUUGAGAGAAAAAAAAUACAAGGCAUGUGCGUGAACUUGGAUUAUAACAACGAAAAAAAAAUCUUAGCUUUGUAAAGAUAUCUUAAGCCUUUAACUCAGGAAAACAAAAUGAUUUUUUUUUCUACAUUUAGUAUCAGUAAUCCAUAUUGUCAUUUUAAUCUCAUGGUUUAAUUCAAUUCGAUAUAACACAUUCAUGUACAUUACAAAUAUCAUACAAUUAUGAUUGAUGUUUCUAAUUUUUAUCAAAAUUUCAGCAGAGUCUUCUUUGUCCAGGUAACCAAACAGUUCUUCUCUUCUUCUAAAAACCUACAUAACGAUCAAGGAAAGUUUCAAAUCCCACACAUAACAAUUUAUAUCCAGGUAUUGGGCCUCAGGCCAUUCAAUCAAUCAAUCAAUUCAUAAUAGUUCACACCUAUUAAAGUUUAUUGCGUACAUUUAAAUAAUUUAAACUUAACUUUUCAUCAAGAUAGCAUUUCAUUACAAGAACAACGUUGUAAACAUUAUAAAUACUUAUUCAUAUUACAAUCCCCGUUCAUUUGAAUUACAAUAUACUACUAAGAACUCAUCUAACAUUGUAACUAAGAAAAUUAGAAUCUUGUCUUAGCAUGUGAUAUUCCAGAUCAUAAACAUGAAAAAUAUAGAAAUUUAAAUAAGAUAUUUAUUGCAACACAAUUAAAAUAUGUCAGAUACAAUAUGUAUAUGAUUUUUCAUGGAGCAAACCUCCAUAAUUUCUUUUGAUAAUAAUAGAAUCGACUCAUUUGUCAUAAUCUCUACUAAUUUUAAGUAUUGUAUAGUCACCUCGUCAAGGUAAUUCCAAGCUUUAUCUUCUCAUCUAAAAGUUAUAUCUUGUUCAUAAAUCCAUCUUGGAAACUUUAUCUAUCGAAGCUCACCAUAAAGUUUUAUUAAUGGUAAUUAAAGGCCUAUUCCACGUAUCCUACCCUAUGCUAUUAAUUUAUCAAAGGUAAAUUAUCAUUUGUACUCUUUGCUCUAUAUGUUUCUUAAGGAAUUAAAUCCUUUACUAGUAUCGCCCUACAAUUUUAAAUAAAUAUAAUUAAUGAUUUAUUGAUUUCUAUUUUCCAUAAUGAAUCUUUAACAUUGAUUUAACUUAAUUUGGUUUUAGCAACAUAUCAUUCAUCUUACAACAAACUUUUAUGUACACAUGUCUUAACAUGCAUCAAUACACUUAUUUGUCCAUUGGAUUGACCAUCAUAUAGCUUGAAAUAUACAAUCAUAGAUGUCCAUGUUCUUGUCCUAUUAGGCCACCAAGACGAUUUUCAAAUCUCUUAUCAUGUUGUACUGGAAUCAGUAUAUAUUUAUGCCCUUUUACAUUAUCAAACAAUCACCAUUUUCUUCAUGAAUACACCAUCAAAACCGCAUACAUUCAACUACACCACAUUAUACAAACCAAUUCUUUAUUAUAACCUGUUUCACUAUCAUUACAAUCCUUAGAGUUCUCAUGCAUAUGUUGUCCACAACAAUAUUUAAAAUCUAUUUUCAAGUCAUUUUCACCUAGAAAACAUUGUUGUUCCCCUAAUAACUCUUUGCUCAUAUAAUAGAUUGUCAAAACAACCUAAAAAUUACGCUUCGAUGCAGCCCAAAACAUAACACAUGUAGUAAUAUUAGUCAUCACACCGUGAUUGACUACCCAAUAGAUUCUAAUAUUGUUAUUGUCGCGGGUGCGUGACGUCGCGGCGAAUAUUCCACUUUUAAAAUCUAGGAAGUGUGUAUGGUAUCUAUCUGGCAAAUGUGGGGAGACAAGAAAAUAUUGUCUUUUGUUGGUAGAAAAUGGAAUGGGAGUCGCCACCUAGUAUUUUGGUCACUAGGAACCCUAACUGGUCUCAGAGAUUGGGUACGGGGACUGGUUGCGUAAAGGGAAGGUAUUAGCACCCCAAAUACGCCCUACCUAAGGUAAGCUGCAUUGUUUAUUUGUCUGAUAAAAUUCAAGGUCUCGUUGUGUUUCCUAGUUGUUGGUCCGUCUAUGGUUCAAGAAAAGUCCUCCUCAAUAAGGAGGUCCUUAUCUUAUCGGGUAAAAACCUAAUCCUUCUAACGUCUAUGUAUGUUGGUCCGUCUAUGGUUCAAGAAAAGUCCUCCUCAAUAAGGAGGUCCUUAUCUUAUCGGUUAAAACCUAACCGUUCUAACGUCUAUGAAAAACCAUAUUUUUAAUAUCAGGAAUACGUCUUACGUAUAAAUUCGUAAUCCCAUGUACUAAAAGAAGACAAAAAGAUUUUUUAGAAUUUUUGAAAUAUUGGCCUAGUUCUCAUGGCUUGAAUAAACUGGUUAUUAAAGCCAAAAUGCAUGCUAAUACAUAUAUUGUUUUGAAAUUUUCUUUGUUGUGUGAAAAAUAUGAUGUUAUAAUAUUUAUAUAUAUAUAUUGGAGAGACUAGGCCGUAUGCAUGAAAACAAAACAUUUUUUAAAAUAUUUUAUUUAUUUUUUUAUGUCUUGACGAAAACCGGGUAUUUGAAUACCGGAUUUGUAUCUUUACAGUAUAAAAAUACAAAUCGAUAUUGAUCAAAAUACAGUAAUAAACUUGCAGAAAAUCACAUAUUUUUUUGGAAUAAUUUUCGAAGAAAUUAAUUAAUUUUUCUAUAUAUAUAUCUAGAUAUAAAUAAUACAAAAUACAAUACAAUAUACAUCGUAUAUAAUAUAUAAUUGGGCUGGGCUGGGCCGGCCCAACGAACUAGGCCGGACUCAGCCCCAAAAUGUGUUGGGCCGAUCUCGGGCCAAGAGGUAUUGGGUCGAUCUCGGCCCAAACAAAAUCUAUUUUAUCAUGGGCCGGAUCCAGCCCUGCCAGCAGGGCUGGGCUAGGAUCAGUCCGGCCCACAGAAGGAAACCCAUAUUGCUGGGCCAGAACCAAUCUGGCCCAGCCUAAUUAAAAACCAACGGGGGGAAUUAUUUCCCCCCCAUCCUGCAUGCAGAACGCUGUUCGUUCUGCAUGCAGGAGAAGAACCAAACCGAUGCACAAAGAGGGGGGAGAAGAGCACCUGGCGUGGAAGAGGCGGUGCGUUGCUGGUAUGUCCGCGGUGCUGCGGUGGAGGCUGGUGGCUUCACUGGCGUGCACUGGUCCCGGUUGGAAGAAGAAGGAGCAGAUUCCUACAGAGGAGAAGGAAAGCUCUCGGCUGGAGCUAUUGGUGUGACUGAGGAAGGAGCUACUACUCCGGUUGCUGCUGGGCGUCGCUGGAGGAAGGAGGACUGCUGUUGGCCGGUGAAGAAGCUGGAAGGCGGAGGCUUGCUCCUGUGGAGGUUGUCACUGCUGAGGAGGCCGCGGGAGGCGUUGCUGGGGCUGUUGAAGCUGCGAUGAAGGAGAAGCUGAGGUGAAGAUCUGUUGCUGGCGUUGUGUUGAUGGGAGGGAGAGGGGACAAUGUUUCUUUGGGACUGCUGGAAGAGAAUGAGAGGAAAGGGAGGGGGCUGCCCCGGUUUGGCUUUGCAAGAGAGGGGGUUGUCCCUUGUUGCUGGCUGCUGAGGGGAAGAAGAAAAUCAAGGGGAGGGGAGAGGUGUGUGAGGGCUGUUCGGGUGUGUGGGUCUGUGGGGGGCUGGACUACGGCCGGCUGUCACUGGUUGAGGGAGAAGAAGCUGGAAAAAGAAAACUGGUUGCAGGAAAACCGGGCUGGAAAAGCUUAUUUUGUGCCAAUUUUGAGCUCCAUCCCACCAACCCUUUGAGCAUGAAAAUUGCUCCUAUUUAUAGGGCUGGAAAGAGGGUAAUCUUGUCUUCAACGGGGAAAAAGUCUCAGCCCUUGAUUCGACUCGAGUAAUCCAAACCAUUAGUUCAAAGUGUGCACCUCGAACUGCCAAAUUUGCAGACUACCCGAGGUGCACGAUUUGGGCCAAAAAACGGAGCCGUUCCAAACCUUUUUGACCCGACCGGACCACUCCCCAUGAUAAAUGGGUUCCAGGUGGAUAUGUUGGUGCAUGCUUUGUCGGAUUUGGGGGCCAAACGAGGCAGAAAACACGCCUGGAAGUCGGCCACUCGGGCAACUCGGUGGGGAAGAAAAUGAACAGUACCGGGCGACGCGUCGCCUGGUUCCUGCCCCUUCUUCUUCUUUUUUUUUUUAAAAUGCAAAAACGGUGCCGUUUUGAUAAAAAUAGGGAUUUCUUUGCCAAUUUUCAAUUUAGUCCUCCGACUUUCAAUUUCGUUCAAGAUUAUUCCCUAAUUGACCCUAAAACUUCUGAUUUGAUGCAAUUUAGUCCCGGCAUAACUUCAUCUUCGGCCCCAGAGUUACGCGCCUUUUGCAAUAUGGUCCUUGGUCUCGGAUUUAUGCAAUUUCAUCCCUAAUUGACCAUUAAACUUUCAAUUUCUUCAAUUAGGCCCCUGAACCGAAUAAUCGCAGCCCCUCCAUUUACGCGCCUCUUCCAAUUUGGUCCCUGGUUUCGGAUUUUCUCAAUUAAGUCCCCAAUUGGCCCUUAAACUUCAAUAUUUAUGCAAUUAGACCCCUGAUUUGACCUAAUAAAUUCCUAAAAAAUAUAUUUUGGCCCCAGAACUUAAAUUUCUUCUAAUUAAAGCCCAAAUUGACUUAAAAAUCAAUUUUUCUUACAAUCAAAUCUCCUAUAAAUUCAUUUAAAAAUCCAAUUAAGUCCAUAAACAUCCAAAUUUGGGCUUUUCUCCUCAAAUUUCAAAUUUUCCUUCUCAACAGGGCUAUCCUCCUUCAAGAAUAUACUGUCAAAAAAUCCAAUCUUUGUAUUUUUAACCUCAUUGACCAAUUUUCCAACCAUUUUCUGAGCGCUUCUGCCUUCUGUUUUUUCUAACCUCCUUUGGCUAUAUAUUUUUAUAUAUAUUUUGUGGGGACCCAAAAAUGGGUUACAACAGUUAUUGUCUAAUACUACUAGUCUUUUAACUCUAAAACACCCUAAAAUAACACAAACAAAGGGGUUUUUAUUUGUUUAGAAAUCUAUUUUCAAGUCAUUUUCACCUAGAAAACACCAUAAAAACAUUCCUAAACCAUCCAUUAACUCUAAAACACCCCAAAAUAACAGAAAAAAUAAAAAUCAAACUAAUCAAGAAAAUCUUAAUUGAAUCCAAUCUACUUUUCAAGUAUUGUUAGAGAAAAAGUCAUCGCUAUUUGAAAACUCAUCAUUAAAUGAAACUCAUUGAGACCAAGAACAACAACUUUUAUCGCUGAAAAGUGUUAAACCGAUAAUUUUCUCUUUUCUUAUUAUUUUUUAAUGAGUCUCUCUCAUCUGUGUAACUCGGGGUUGAGAAUAAGAAAAAUAAAUUUUUAGACUAAAAUAUUAAAAAUUCUAAAACUUUGAAAUUAACAAUGUAUUUUCUUCAUGUUUUACAUUUCACUCCUCUCACUUUUAAUUUGGUUUUUAUUAUCAAAAUUGUCGCACGUGAGCGACGUCGCGGCGAUCGUCCACCCACAAAUGUAAUGGGGGGAUAUAUAUCUGGUCAAUGUAGGGAGAUAAGGAAUUCGUUGUCUCUUAGCAGUGAAAAAUGGUGUGGGAGUCGCCACCUAGUAUUUUGGUCACUAGGAACCCUAACUGGUCUCAGAGAUCGGGUACGGGGACUGGUUGCGUAAAGGGAAGGUAUUAGCACCCCAAAUACGCUCUACCUAAGAUAAGCUGCAUCGUUUUAUUGUCUGAUAAAAUUUAAGGUGUUUUCGUUGUGUUUCCUAGUUGUUGGUCCGUCCAUGGUUCAAGAAAAGUCCUCCUCAAUAAGGAGGUCCUUAUCUUAUCGAGUAAAACCUAACCGUUCUAAUGUCUAUGUAUGUUGGUCUGUCUAUGGUUCAAGAAAAGUCCUCCUCAAUAAGGAGGUCCUUAUCUUAUCGGGUAAAAACCUAACCAUUCUAAUGUCUAUGUAUGUUGGUCCGUCUAUGGUUCAAGAAAAGUCCUCCUCAAUAAGGAGGUCCUUAUCUUAUCGGGUAAAACCUAACCGUUCUAAUGUCUAUGUAAAAAAGCUAUAUUUUUAAUAUCAGGAAUACAUUUUACGUAUAAAUUCUUAAUCCCAAAUACUAAAAGAAGACAAAAAGAUUUUUUUAGAAUUUUUGAAAUAUUGGCCUAGUUCUCAUGGCUUGAAUAAACUGGUUAUUAAAGCCAAAAUGCAUGCUAAUACAUAUAUUGAUUUUUGAAAUUUCAUUUGUUGUGUGAAAAUAUGCUGUUAUAAUAUUUAUAUAUAUAUAUUGGAGAGACUAGGCCGUAUGCAUGAAAACAAAACAUUUUUUUUUUGUAAUUAUGUAUUUUUUGAUGUUUUGACGCAAAUCGGGUAUUUUAAUACUGGGUUUGUAUUCUUACAGUAUAAAAAUAUAACCAAAUAUUAAUCCACUUUGAUAAAACAAAUGCAGAAAAAUUAACAAUAUUUUUAAAGAUAUUUUUAGAAAUAUAUAUAUAUAUAUUUUUAAUUAUCAUAUUUUAUAUAUAUAUACAUAUAUACACACAUAUAUUAUAACAUAUUAUAAUAUAUAAUAUAUAAUAUAAAAACAAAUCGGGCUGGGCCGGCCCAAGUAAAUGGGCCGGACUCAGCCCAACAAAGAAAGGUUGGGCCGAUCUCGGCCCAGACUGGGUUGGGCCGAUCUCGGCCCAACAGGCCAUCAUGCUUCUUCUGUGACGGGAUACUGUACACAACAGUGACUGAGAUACUGUACACAAAUAGUGACGGGGUACUGUGCACAAAUAGUAACCGGGUUACUGUACAUAAGCACAGUAACCCGUUAAUUAAUUAGGUGGCUACUGUGCACCUGCACAGUAACAUGUUAAUUAAUUAGACCUGCAUAGUAACCGGGGGAAUUAAUUAGCCGGUUACUGUGCCCCUGCACAGUAACCAGCUAAUUAAUUUCUUGCUUGCAGAACGUGCACAGUGCACGUUCUGCAUGCAAGAAGAUGAACAGGGGAAGAGUUACCUGCGACGAUGAGCUUGGGUAGAGGAGCUGACAGUGGUGCUGGUGGUGGUUUUGCUGGUGGUUGCUGACCGAAGGUUGGCUCUUCCUCUUCUCUACUGCUUUCUAUGUUAUUUCUCCUCUCCUCUCUCUCUUCUGUUUUUUUUCUUCCUCCUUCCUGUGUCUGUUCUCUUCUCUAUUUAUAGGAAAAAAUGGAGCAGGUGCGCCUUCAAUCACGCAACGGCUGGUCGGCCAGUGACCCGUUCGGUGGUCUAAAGGUGUGGGGACGAGGAGAGAGAGGCGGGACUUUUUUUGAAAAUGGUUUUUGUCUUCUGUUGUUGUUCAACGGGGGAAGGAGGAAGAUGAACAGUGUCGUUCAAAACGACACCGUUCUGGCCUUCCUCUUUUUUUUUUUUUUUAUAUGAAACGACGUCGUUUUGGAUAAAACGCGUCGUUUCAUUUAAAUGAGCCAAACUUCAAAUCAGUCCUCUAUCAUUUCUUGUUCAUUUCAAUUGUAUCCCUGCCAAAUUCGAUCUCCGCCCCCAUAGUUGGCCGCGUUGUUCACUUUAGUCCUUGGCCUCUGAUUUAUGCAAUUAAGCCCUCAAUUGAUCAAUAAACUUCCAAUUUCUUCAAUUAGGCCCCUGAACCAAAGUAAAACAGCCCCCCUCUAUUUACCCGGUUUUUCCAAAUUGGUCCCUGGUUUCGGUUUUUUUAAUUAAACCCCUAAUUGGUCAUUAAACUUCAAUAUUUAUUCAAUUAAACCCCUGAUUUGACCCAAUAAAUUCCUAAAAAAUAUAUUUUGGCCCCAGAACUUAAAUUUCUUUCAAUUAAAGCCUAAAUUGACUUAAAAAUCAAUUUUCUUGCAAUCAAAUCCCCUAUAAAAUCAAUUAAAAAACCAAUUAAGUCUAUAAACAUCCAAACUUGGGCUUUUCUCCUCAAAAUUCAAAUUUUCUUCUCAACAUGGCUCUCAUUCUUCAAGAAUAUACUGUCAAAAAUCCAAUCUUUGUAUUUUUAACCUCCUUGACCGAUUUUUCUGACCAUUUGCUGAGCGCUUCUGCCUCCUGUUAUUUUUCUAACCUCCUUUGGCUAUUUAUUUUAUUUCAUUUAUUUGGGGACCCAAAAAUGGGUUACAACAAAAAUUUCAAACCAUCAUCAGGCUAUAAAAAGAAUCAAUUGAAAAACAAAUUUUGAAGACAAAAAUUAAAAAAAAAGGGACGGAAAAAAAAAGGAGGGUAGUUUUUUUAGUUAAAGCUGAUGGUUUCUAGCCAAAAAAAAAAAGAAGCAAUGGGGGUUGGGGUGCCACGUGUAAGGAGCCCAUUAUGUAGGUGGUGGGUGAAGUCAGCUAGAGCUAAGCAUCCAUUUUUUGUGGGGUUUUUCUGGUUAGAUUUGCCUGUUGGAGGAUCGUAGCAUGGGAUUAUAUUUGGUUGUAAAGGAAAGUGUCAAUUUAGGAGCCACCAACCAUCGACAAGUUAGUGAAAAUGGUGUCAAGUGCCGCACCCACCACCUCCUUCGAUCAAUCACCUCAUCAUCCAUGUAAUUAACCCUUUUUUGUUCUAUCACUUUUACGUUACUAAACACUUCCACUUCUAUUAGACGUGUGGAAUGAUUCGAUUUCUAGUUUUUUUAUUUGUGAAUCAAAUUAAGACUUGAAGCUAGUAGAUGGAUGUGUCUAAUCAACUUUUUUGGAUCCAAUUUCAUGAAAACUUUUAUCUCAAAACAUCAUAGAAAUAAGUUGUAUGUCUUAAAGGAUAUCUAAUAAAAUCUUAAAAGUUGGGAGUUAAAGAUAUAAUUUAUAUUAUAUUUUAAUAUAUUUUUUAAUUAAAAAUUAUUUCAGUUUAAAUUAAAUUUACAAAAGAUUAUACUAUUUUAUACAUAAAAAAUUAUCAAUCACCUCAUCAUCCAUUUUUUUGAUCUAUCACUUUUACGUUACUAAACACUUCCACUUCUAUUAGACGUGUGGAAUGAUUCGAUUUCUAGUUUUUUUAUUUGAGAAUCAAAUUAAUACUUGAAGCUAGUAGAUGGAUGUGUCUAAUCAACUUCCUUUGAUUCAAUUUCAUGAAAUGUUUUAUCAUAAAACAUCAAUAAAAAUGUGUUGUAUAUCUUGAACCGAUAUCUAAUAAAAUCUUAAAAGUUGGGAGUGAAAGAUAUAAUUUAUUUUAUUUUUUUAAUUAAAAAUUAUUUCAGUUUAAAACUUAAAGGAUUAUACUAUCUUAUACAUAAAAAAGUAAUUCAUAACUAUUUGGUUAUCAUGUAAAAAAAAUAUUUUAAAUUAAAAAAUUUAAACUUUUAAAAUUAUAUAAAUUCUUGCUCUCUUUUGAAUAACCUUUCGUACUGUGGUGUUUCAUGGGUAAAUAAAACAUGAUAAAAUAUAAUAAGAAAGAAUUUUGCUAGGAAAAAUACAAAAAUGAGAUACCAAAUCUAUUUAUUUAAUUGAACAAAACUAUUUUUCUAUCAAUCUCACAUGUAUAUCAAACAAUGAAGGAUAAAUUAGAAAGUGGACUUGUCACUAAUUAAAUGUAUAUAUUAUGAUUUUUAUUUUCUAAGAUGAUAUAUUAUGAUUUUUUUUAUUAUUAAUGUAAGUGUUCGGACUAGUUUGUGUGUACCUCAACUAAUCUCACGGGUUUUGAAGUUAAUGAUCAUGUAAAUCUUCAAUGAUCCUGAGAUUUGUAAGACUCGAACUGGUGAUAUCUAGAGAACAAAUUUAAAAUAUGAUGAAUUAAGUUUCACUUCUCAUGAUUAAUAUAUUUAGAGUUUUGAAUACUUAAAAGGAGGUGUUGUUUUUAUUUUUAUUUUCAAAUCUAAGAACCUCAAAAACUUUUAGGAAUCUCAAAAAAACUCAUUUUUUUAACCCCAAAACAUUUAAUUAGCCUAAAUAAUGAAAAUCAAUCUGAAUAAAAAAAAUAUUGGUCUAAUAUAUUUUUUCUAGCAUGGUUAAAAGGCAAAAUCAUUUUUAUUGAACUUCUUUUUUCAAAACAAAUCCAUUGAUGUUAAAAUUAGGUUUUUUAUGAUCGGAAUAUGAUUAGCUUUACCACAUUCUCCCCCUCUCAACAUUCAAUAACUAAAAAUAUGAUAAAAAUGAAGUUUUAAGAUGGAGUCGUAAAAAUUUUAAACAACAUGAUUAAAUAAAUCUGAAAAACAAAAAAUUCAAGGACCAUAUUAAACUUUUCUACAACUUUGGAAAAAGAUUGCAUUAUAGGAGAAUAGUUUAAUGCACAAUAACUUGAGUCUUGCUGCACAAUAAAAUUUAUUAUGGUAAGAAUAACAAAUGUUUUAAUUUAGAUUAUAACACGAAGCAUACACAAUUAAGAUUACAACAAGGAGAUUUCAAGAAGUAGUUAAACUUAGGUUAUAACCUAAGUUUUAAUAUAUUUUUUACAUUUGAUUUUAAUUUUAAUUUUUUUUAAGUAAGUUAAAAUAGCUUUUGAUUUAAAUUUUUUUUUUGUUAUAAAUUGGAUUCAAACCUUUGAUUUAAUAAAAAACAAGAAAAUUUUACUUUAGUUUGUGGAUUUUAUACUGAAUUCCUUAUUAAAAAGUUAUUUUGAAUCAUUUUUACAAAUAAUGCUUAUAACUUACGGUUAUUUUAAUUUAUUUUUUUCAUAAAUUAUUUAUAAAAAACAACUUUUAAAUUACAAUUCAAAGUAAAAUAUCAUAAUUAGUUAUGAAUUGGAUUCGAUGAAAGGAAGAUGGGAAGAGGGGAAAUGGGUAACGGGAAAUUAAAGAGAGAUGAUGAUCUGCGCAUGGCUACCUGUACCAGAACAGAUGGAAAAAACUCGAAACAACUCGGCUAGAAUUUAGGCAAGAAAUUCAGAAUGAGUCAACAUUUUAAGUGAGAUGAAAUUUGUCUCACUUUCUUCUAUUAAACCGAGGAGCAUUUAGAGGAUAGAAUAUUAGAGUCUCUAGCAAAAGUCAGCAAGGUAUAUUUAGAGCCAAAUUCGGGUAACAAAUUAUCAUAACCAACUGAUCCAUUUCGGCUCGGAGGCUUCAGUUUUGUACCGGUCAUCAACUGGUGCUCUUUGCUUUGCAGCCUUCGAGGAAGAAGUAAAAGCCUCCAAAAAUAUCAUCAUCAUUAUUAACAGAUGAACUAGACCCGUUUAACCCACCAAAAUAUAUCAUCAUUAAAAGAUGAUUUCGCACUCGUAUUUUUAGUACUGGAAAACACAAAAUCAUAACCGAAAUCAAACCCAGUGCUAUUUUGUUUUUAAUUCUUUUGAAAAACAUCAAAAAUGUCAAAAUCAUCAUCAAAAUUCUAUAAUUUCAUCAUUAAAAGAUGAUUUCGCACUCGUAUUUUUAGUACUGGAAAACACAAAAUCAUAACCGAAAUCAAACCCAGUGCUAUUUUGUUUUUAAUUCUUUUGAAAAACAUCAAAAAUGUCAAAAUCAUCAUCAAAAUUCUAUAAUUUUGAAUUGCUAAAGAGAGUUUCGUGAUAAUCCAUGAAUGACCUAUCAAAAGAAUUGGAAUUGUAGGUUAAUUUAGAAGAAUAUGAGGAGGGUUUCCGGUUUGAUGAAGGGAAAUUCAAAUAACUAAACUGGCUAUAUGUUGAUGAAACAUGCAACAGAUUCCACCACCCAGCGGACAACAACAUUGAGAACAAAUCCGUGUGAGAAAUCAAUUUUAAUAGUCAUUUUAUUUUUUAAUUUGAGAGAAAUCACAAAUUCUUCACUGUUUAUUACUGAAAAAGAAGAGAGGGGGGAAGAAAUGAUGUCUUCAGAUGUUUCUGAAUUAUAGGAUGCUAGGGUAAUUUUUUUAUAUAUAAAUAUAUAAAUAGAAGAUUGUGUUAAAAAAUCAAAGGGAGCUUUUACAAGAAUACUAUUAUCUUUUUUCUUUUCUCAAAAUCAAUAAAAAGAAUUUCACUGAGAGAAAAAUAGUAUAUCAUCAAUCUAAUGACUGCAUUUAUCUUUACAAUCUUCCAAAGGAACAACUUUAUGUUAAGAAGAGGAGAAAUAUUAUAACAAAAUAAUUUUUAUGGAUUCAAACUAGUGUUAUAGACUCUUGUGAGUAAAAGUGUCAAUUCUCAUAAAAAAAAUUGCAAUUUGAUGACAUAAUGACUAAUACAGAGACACUAACAAACAAAUAAAAAUAAUAAUUUGUACAAAUACUCACCUAGCAAAGAGAGGAACGGAUAAAAGGUUCACCACGGUCAAUUUUUUUUCUUUUUCUUGGUUAAUUUUUUUUUUUGAAAAUGAUGAAUAAUGGGAAAAAAAGAAGAAGAAAAACUUGCAAAGAAGCACUUAUAAUGGAACAAGGUUAUGAUGACAAUCCCUGUAUCACACUCUCAAAUAAUAUAAUAUAUCCAUUAUAUUUUGCAUUAUAUAUAUAAACUAAAAGAGUUAGGCUUUUUGAUGGCAUCCAAGUGUAGUUGCUUUUUUCAUCCCGCUUUUUUUGUUUUAUUUUAUUUCAAUCAUUCAAUUUUGUUUCUGUUAUUUUAUCAUGCUUCGAGUUGUCUUUUUCAAUUUGAUUUGGUGCCAGCUUGGGAAUCACCAUUUUAAUUGUGGUUGUGAUUUCUAAUUGUUUGAUAGUAUUUCAAAAGCUGAUAUUAUAGCCUCUUCUAUAUGUUAUUUUCAGAAGUUACAAUUUAUAGCUUUUCAAAAGCCAUAAUUGCCUGUUUGUUUCUGCGUUUAAAAAACGUUUUUUAAAAAAAAAUUAAAUUUUUUUAAUUUUUUAUUAACUUUAAAUUAAUAUAUUUUUACUAUUUUUAAAUCAUUUUGAUGUGCUGAUGUCAAAAAUAAUUUUAAAAAAAUAAAAAAACAUCAUUGGCAUACAUUUUAGCACGAAAAGUUAUUUGAAAAACAACCGCAACCACAUUGUCAAAUUUCCAAAUAGAUUCUUGAUAGAGGGUUGUUUUGAUCUUGAGUGUUGUGCUUGCAAAGGAAUUACAAUUACUUUACACAUUAUAAUUAUAAAUUACUGUUUAAAACAAUUAAGAGAAAGGACCAAUAAUAUAGAGUGAGCAAAUGAAAGCAUAAAUUUAGAUUUUAUUGUGACAUAGAGAUUAGGUAAUCAUGAAAGUUGGUAAUAAUAUACUGUGAGCAAAGGAACCUGCUCGAAAAAACCAUUCAACAUGAGAUUGCUCUGCUAGGAAAACAUGAUAUCAGCAUCAAACUUUUGAACAAAUAGUGGAGCAUCAAGUCUCAGUCAUCUUGAAGUAUGUCGACAACAAGUCACAUAAGCAUAUGCAAUAGAAACAGAGCAUCAAACUGACAGAGAAAACAUACUGAUACCCUUAUUCACACAGAAAACAUACUGAUAGAUAAGUCGAAAUCUUCUAUGGUAAAUAAGACUGUUACAAUGUGAAGCCAAUUUGUAUCCCAUUGCCAAUGGAACAGUAGGAAUUACUUCCCACCAAUCAAAAACAUAUCUGCAGCACCACAGCUCAAAGACAUGAAUCUCCGUGAAAUCGCCUAUUGAGGAGUUGAUCGUGUAACAACCAACCAACCUUGCCUCAAGCAAACACGAAGAACAAAGACCAUCCAUGCAUAUUUAAUUCACCCAUUAAAAGUUGAAGGAUAAGGAGAGAAGAUAAAUAAUCAUAGCCAUGUUACCUAGUCAGGGCAAGGAUGAAUUAUUAGCAUGUUUCUCAAAUCCCAAUCCCAAACUAAUCAUUUCUCUUCAUUUUGUUGUGCUCAGCGAAGGAACUACCAAAUCUUACUGAAAGUAUUUAAGUGAAGACAACAAAUAGAUGUGUACUGUUUUAUUUGAACUGAAAAGAAUUGAUUGCUUACAGAUCAUUGCAAUCCUUACAAAUAUAUAGUAAACCAAACAAACUGAAUUGCUAACUUAAAGCACCAAAUCAUGCAAAAUGCUACCAUCAUUACCUUCAAAUCUAUAGUUAAUUCCAUUUUUCUAUAAAAGACAAAACCAUCAGUAUCCAAUAGUUGCCGACUUCACCACGGGUUCAACAUUUUUUUGACAAGUUGGGAUUCGAUACUAAUGAGCAUAUUUUCUUAAGUUGAAAUAGUGCUACCCAAUCUAGGUUACAGUGGGUUGAUGAAUUAAAGAGCAGUUGUUAUUUGACACUGCAAUUAGAUGGCUCAUAUUUGAUUUACGGAGCUAUGAUAUGGGAAUCGUGCUUGUAUCACAUAUAAAAAUAUUUACAUAGUAACAAGCAUUAUUAAAGAUGGUACACUAGUAAGUUUCCAAAUGCUAUCAACAAAUAUUAUAACCUCUUAAUUUAUACAAGGAUUGAGCUAAAUUGCAUACAAGCAAUCCCUAACUUUGGUAGUUUCUUUGUGUUAAAAAUGGAGACUUCUUGGUGUUUGCCGGAACUCCAACUUGGGUAUACCUUUUGUGAACAAGAAACAAGGUAAAAACAUCUUUCAACGAUAUCAAAUCAUUUAUUCAUAUAAAGUAUUAGUGUUGUCAUUUAAUUUCACUACAUUGAAGAAAAUUCUGAUUUGAUACCAAUUCAUGCUUGGCACGACUGUUACAUGACACCUGGGAUGCUCAGCAACACUACAUCCACAAUCAUGACAACGAACACUGAUGCAGCCUCGAAAACAUCAAAACACUAUUUGCUUUGGUAGUAGUAUUGACUGCAAACUUGGUUGACCAACAGAAUCCCUGCCUUCAGCCAACCCCAAAUUUGACUAUCAUCGUAUAAUAUUGAUCGUCACAUUAUAUUUUCCAACUUUUAAUAGGAUUUUAAGGACAAGUUACAGUUGAAAGCUAAUAUAACAACCUUCUUAAAUUCACAUCCUACCGACCAUUAUGGCUAUUAGCUUCCAACCAUUCUCCAUGUUUCACUUUUCUUCAAGUAUUUUCACCAAAAUAAAGCUUCAACCUUUAAAGUUUUGCUUAUAAAGUCAAGAUCCAUGGGGAUUAUUUAAGAUUUUAUGGGAAGCAUUUCAAAUAUUUUAUGUUUUUUUUUUUUUUAAAUAUUGUUAUAGACAUAGAAUCAACAAGAUUGUGUGACAUUCUAUAUUGAUUUUGUGAUAUUUUAAUCACUAAAAGUAUGGUUUCAGAAAGAUAAAAACCAAACAAAAAAUUGAAAAAAUUAAAAAUUUUCAAACCAACAGAAUCCAACAUAUUGAUCAGUUUUGGUCUGAUUUGAUUCGGAUAUUUUUUAGCUGAAACAAUUAAUAACCAUUUUCAAAAGGUAAGUAUUGACAAGCCUUUCACGAAACCAUGUUCAUUUAUGCUGAAUCAAUCCAAAUCAGGUUCAGGUUGCUAACUCAAACUAACAUAAUCCAAAAUUGAAUGCACACAGACUCUGGGUUGUUUCAGUUUAAUGAUUUUUAGAAAUGUCAAACUGAAACCGAACCGAAAUAUAUGAAUAUUUCUAACUGAGACGCCCCCAAAUACUAAAAAAAUGAUUGGUUUUGUUUUGUUUAGUUUGGUUAUAGCAGAUACCCCUAACAAUCUGCUUUUUCACUCGACAUCAAACAACAAGCACUAAUAUUAUGUCUGUAAGUAAAUUACUAUAAAGUAUAAAAAUAUAUGUGGAUAAUUGAAAAUUUGCUUAGAGUUGCUAAUAAUUCACAACUGCAACAACCAACACGACCAGGUAAUGCUUGGGAAUGGGAUCAUGUAAUGCCCGGGAAUGGGCCUUGGUGCACAAUCAUGAUUGUAACCAUGAUUUAAAAUCAUUUCCACACUAGACUAUCCAAGACAAUUGGUAUUGGAUUGUUAGCAACAAUUCAGUUUAUAAUAAUAAUAAUAAUGUUGAUUCUUUUAUCUCCUACUUAAUGCAAGUGUCCAUCGUGUGCUGAAAUUGAUUGUUUACCUCAUAUUUCUUUUAAAGGUAGAGAUUUCUUGGUUGACAAUGGGAAAAAGUAAUCGCAUGGUUAUUUUCCAUAAGAUUCAUUUGAGUAAAUAUUCUCUAUUGGAGGUCAAUUUCAUCGAAGCAAUUACUUCAAGGAACACAUCCUAACUAUCAACCUCUAAGUAGUCAUCUCCCUUAUCCUAAUUUUUUAUUUCCUAAUAAAAUCUCACGGUUUUUCAUCAUGUUCAAAGGAAAAGUUGACGUUGCAAAUGGUGCUCUAAGGAACCAAGUCAUCCUAGAACUAAUCAUCCACCUAAUCUCAUCAACUCCUUGUUGCACAAACAGCUUGUCUCACUUAAAGGGGAUUUUAAUGAUGAACAAACACCAACUCCUUGUUGCUCAAAUACAUAUGCUCAUUUAAACACAAUUUUGCAUUACCUAGAACUGACAAGGCCUAAAAUCCCGGAAAUAGAAUUUUGUUUUAAAGGAACUUCAGGAUUUCUAUAUAGGAUGCUUGACCUCAUUAAAGACAAACUGACGACAUCCGUCCGUAACAUAAAUUAUCUUCCUUGCCCCAAAGUCAGCACAUAAAAACCUUGUUCACUAUAAAGGCUCUGAAUGUUUUUCCUAAAUUUCAUGAUAUGGCAUUCAGCAUUCUUAAGCAAACUACAACUGCAUAAGGCUUGUACAUGUAGGGGAGACGUAGGAAGAACUGCAUGAAUUUGAUCUCAAAGGGGUACCACCUCAUAUGCCUACAGGAGAUACAUGACCAGUGAUGGUUGUUCUAUCCACAAAAUUAGCUAACAUACGACUAUUUUAUUCAACUACCAUUUCAGGAUAUGAGUUCUCCUAGCCACACUCAAAAGCCCUAGCCGCUAUAUGAACAAAGCACCUAAAAAAUUAAUCACCUACCUAAUCUAAUUCAGGAAAUUUUGGUCAAAAUCUCCUACAAUGAAACGAGUUAUUUGAAUGCAUAGACAGGAAAUUCAGGUAAACACACACACACCCCCCUGAUCAUAAAUUUCCUAAAGAAAUUCUGAAUUGUAACAUUGGUAAACAAAGUGUGACAAUAUCAUCACAUUAAAAAUGCAUUUCACUCAAAACAAAUACUAGCUCAAGAAAAAAAAUUGCAAGAAGCCAAUAGAGAAUAAAGUAAGCAGUCCAUAAACAAGAGACAGAGAGACAUUGUUCCAAUACAGAAAAGUAAUUAAAACCCAACAACUAAAACUGAGAAAGAAUCAAACCAGUGAGUAACUAAUCCUUUUAAAGCAUUCCAAGAAUGGCAACCAAAUGUAACAUAAUCAACCUGCAAAAACAAACACAAAAAGAAUUAGAAGAAGAAACCCCAUUAGUUAAUAAGUUAAAACAGCAGCAGCAGCAAAAAGACUCAAAUUUUAGUUAUUUGGACUUGAGAAAAAGCACUGAACCCUCUGUGAAAAUGCCAUGAAAGGGGUGCUAAGAAACCAGGAAAAUAAAAACUUUUAAAAGGGUGUUUUUACAAAGCAAGAAAGAAGCUAGGAAGCAAGCCAGCCUACCCUCACGAACUCUGUUUGUUAAUUGUUUUUUCUCCUUUGAAGUGAAAACAAAAAAAGAAAAAAAAAACGAAGAGCACCCGGAAAAUCUAGUCAGAAAUAUUUUAUGUUGUUGUCUUGGAGUGACGCAGAUACCGAGGAACAGUUGUGGGGCCACCAUUGGUGAGCAGUGAUACAGUGGCAAGUAUGUGAAAUAACGCAUAUUACAGUGCGCAAUGAUAGAGUGAGUCUGGGUGGACAAACUUUUGGUGGUACACGUGGUGCUUAAUGAUUUGACGGCUAUGGAGAGAAGUUACAUGAGGGAAAUAAGAUGGAAAAAGUGGCCUCUCUAGAUUUUGGAAAUGUUCUCUGAAGAAAGAAAGAAAAUAAUUUCAAAGGUGGACAAAAAUAGGGUAAUAUCAGAUUUGGAACAUAAUCUUGGUUGGUGAAGAAUAACAUAAUCUAAGGAGAAAUCUAGGGAAAGCCAGUGAGAUUUGAGCUUCGAUUUGGGACCAAUUUAUAGCUGGAUAAUACCAUCAUGGGUUAUCAGAUUCUGUGUGUGUGAGGCUGCCAUAUGUUUCUUUCUUCUAUGAUGGAUAAAAAACGCUAAGCAAUUAACCCACCUAGUAAAAAAGGUAUUAUGGUUAUGAUAAAAACUCUACAGCCUGUGAUUCUAUUUUUGAAGAUAUUCUUAUUAUAUUUAUAAUUAUAAGAAUCUUUAAAAAAGACACGGGUAAAAUAUUAUUCUCACAUCACUAUUCACUGGUGUUAUCGGCUUAAAUUGAUAGAUAAUUAAGUAAAUUUAUUGAGGAAAAGCAAAAUUUAAAUAUAGAUAAUCAAAGUGAAAACAAAAGCGCAAAAAAAGAUGGUAGUUUCAUGAUUGAAGUUAAAAAUUCACUUUGAUUCUUAUUUUUUUUUAAUCAAUAAAAAAUUCGGCAGAGUUUUCUCUAUAUUUUUAGGUAUCAAGUUAUCGACUUUUCAUCUACAAUCCCUAAUUAUCAAAUUUCUUACUCAUCCUAUCAUCCAGGACUUCCUCCUCUCAUUACAUCACAACUUCUAAAUAAUCAAAUUCACACAUGUCUAAACAAUUCAAUAUCCCACAUUUACAUGGAUACAAUCCAAAGAAUUGUUCUACAAAUUAUAACUGAAGUACAUUACACAAUUCAAAAAUUUACAAAUAAGGACCAUUAACGAAAUUAUAAUCGAAAUAAGUACGUAAUUAAAGAAGAAAUUCAUAAUUAAGAUUAUACUACACAAAAGAGCUUUCGAUAAACUGUUGACGCAUUAUAUUACAUAACAAAAUGAUAAAUUCAUUCAUUACAAAAAAAAAAAUACCAAACAAAAUAUAAGAAAACUAAUCUACUGUUCAAUCCGAUAGGGGGAUGUACCUGAAAAUUAAUUUAAUACAAUAAUUCGAUUAGACAGAUGAAGAAAAGAUAUCCAUAAAAUUCUUUUUACUUUCUUUCUUUCUUCCUUUUUUUUUUUUUUGAAAAUUUAGUCAAAAGAUCAUUAAAUUAACUUGCUCAUAUAGUAUUAUAUAUAUCAAUUAAAUUUCAGAAUAAUCUAUUAGUUUGUUUUCUUUUUCUUUUUUAACAUCAACCAAAAAAAUAAUUAUUCUCAUCGCCCAAUUAACCCGGCAUUACUUUCACUAAUAGAUGAUUAAUUUUCCACCAGUCCAUUCAACAAGCACUAUUGUCAUCAAUCCAAAAAUUAGUUUAACGUUUAAUCCAUUCAUCAGGGUACAAAUCCCAUUAACCAGGAAAAUUAAUUCUUCAUCUCGCCUAUUAAUUUGUCAGGGCACUAAUUCUAUUAAAUCAGGAAUUAGUUCAACAAUUUACCCAUUAACCAAGGACUUAAUUCCUCAUCACGCCCAUUCACUAGGACAUUAAUCCCAUUAGUUCAAGAAUUAAUUCAUCACAUCGCAUAUCUUAUUUUUUAAAAUAAACAAUAAAAUAAUUACUAAUUUAUCAACCAUAAUUAAUCAAAUAAAAAUACAUAUUAACCAAUAAUAAAUUCGGGCACCGUGUAAUUACCUAACGACUAAGCUCGAGCUGAAAUUCCCUGCUGUGGUGUCAGCCUGACAGCUUCUCUUGAAUUGACAAAUAUAUCACAUCAUUAUUCUACUUUCCAUAUUGAAACACUCAAUAAAUAAAAUCAUUCCAAUUAUCCUUUUAUUUAUCAAAAUAAAAUCAUUUUGUAAAUUUCCUUCCUAUUCUUCCAAUUUCCACAUUGUAACACAAUUCAUUUCAUCAUUCAAAUCAAUAUAUAUAUAUAUUCUUUAAAUUUAUUUAUUUAUUUUUUACCGUAAUUUAAAUCAAAGAAAAACAUAAAAACAUUUCAUGAUCUAUUCACUCUUUAACAUUAAUAUCAUCUCUUUCUUACACAAUCUCAUCAUCUUAUCAAAAUUCUUAAAUUUUUAUUUUUCUUAUUAUUAUUUUUCCAAAAAUCCCUUCUUCAAGAACACCUAAAAUUUUGCUUUAAUUACCAUAAUUUCUUACUUUCUCUACUCACUUCAAUAAUCUUAACACAAUUUCACAAUCAAUUGUAAUUUUUCAUAAAAUUUAUCAUGAACCCUAAUUCUUCAAUUCACAAAGUUCAAUCAAUUUAAAACAUAAAUUCUUCAAGAAUCUUAUUUAAAAGUGUAAGGGCACCUUACCAAGCAAUAACCAAAGCCUUAACACUUUUAAAUUAAGAAAUUUUCCUUGCUUGAAUUUGUUUUUCCUCUCCUAGCCGAAUGCUUCCUUCUCUUUGAAAAAGCAAGUUUGUUCUUUUUUUUUUUGGCUUCCUUACAACACACACUCACUUGCACUCAUAUAUAUCAAUUUUUUCUCCCCCCCCCCUCCCCUUCCCCCCCACACUUACACACAUAUAAUUACUUAACUUUUAAAAAAUGCCUUUUAUAUCCCUCAAUACUAAAUUUUAUGAUUUUUGGGUAAAAUUUCAUGAAUCCUGACUCCUGUUUAUACCAAAUUUUACACGGGUUAUUUCAAAUUUCACUCAAUUACUCGUUAGUACUUUCAGUUUCAUGAAAUUCACUUUCAUAAAAAUUCUAUUCAUAUUUUUGUGUUUUUUUAUUUAUUUUUAUAUAUAUAUUACUAUUUAUCUGGUAUCAGAGCCUAUUGGGAUCUGGGUGGGAAUAGUAACAUAAAAGCCAGUAUUCUUAGAAAGAACAAGAGACCAUUAGACUAUAGGUAUGCAACUGAAUGGUGUAAGUCCCGUUUGAGUUUUAGGGCAAUAAAUCCAUAUAACUUGCAGCGUGUUCCCUAGUUUAUCUUUCCUUUCUAUGGAUUCCGUCUUUCACAGGACUACUUCUCUUUCAGCUUCCUCUACCUCUGAAUCUUCUGAAAGCAGAAGAAUAGUACAAAGUGAAGAGAUAACUAUUGAAGACUUUACAAAAAACAUUGAUGACUGGAAAAUUCCAAAAAUUUCUCAAACUCAGAUUUAUCAAAAAUCUAAAUAUGAUAUUUUCAAAACAGAUUUUACUAUCAAAACUGAAGAGCGAGAUAUUCAGCUUACCAAACCUUUUGAAACCAUUCAACUCCUCUCUCAAAAAUCCUUACAAAAACAUCUAGCCCGAAACUAUAAAUAUAUUCAUGUUGGCCUUGUCCAGAUUGGAAUAAAACCCCUUACAAAAGAAGGCUUAAACACCUCUAUUCUAGCUGUCCUCCGUAAUGCUAGAUUUCAAAACUUCCAAGACUCCCUCCUCAGUUCUAUUGAGUCUAGUCUUUGCAGUGGGCCGAUAUCAUUUGACUGUUAUCCAAACAUAACCAUACCCCUCAAAGACAAAAAUAUCUUGCAGAGUAUGCUACUACAAAUAAAGACCCACAACUAUGACAUGCUAAAAGGAUCUAUCCCUGUUGCUCUCAUAUUCAAAAUCCAUUACAAAGCCAUGUUCUCAGCCUUUGCCAGCAAAGACAAAUUCCAAUCUCAAAAAGGUGAAACACUCCUACUACAAACAGAUUUAUCCCGCUCAAACACUGUUGUCCCAAAAGCAAUCCAAUGGAAAGACAUAUCCCUACCAGAAGAUUGGAUCCUUGAAGGUGCAGCACCACCAGAACUACCACCACCACCUCAACCCAAUGUCCAAAUUAAAAAUAUUACCCAAUAUACAGAUGGAAAAGUGAAACUGUCUUUCCACCGACACUCUACAAGUUCCAGAUUCUCAGAAGCCUCUUCCUCUUCCAGUACAAUAGAUUUGGGAAGAAUUUCCAAAAUCCCUUCUGUUAUCAAUAUCCCUUAUCACGAAAACCUUCCAAGAAAAUCUACAUCCGAUAUCCCUUCUCCUAGUUUCCAAAAUGCAGACUAUACUACAAAUAUACCAAAACCUGUCUAUACAAACCUUGAGCAACCAUCUCCUCCAACUUCACCGACCUUUUCAGCUAUUACUGAAAAUAUCCAAAACGAGCUGAAUGUUUUGACUUCAGAGAAACAUUUCGUUCUUGACAAAACACUUUUCAAAAAGGAUUUCUAUUCGGCCUGUAACUCUACAAAACGAAUUUGGUUUUUUCAAAACUUUCUCGAGCAAAGAAGUGAAAUACAAAAACAAUUUUAUAAUUUCAUUGAGCUACAUAAAAUACAAAUUCUAUUCUUUGAUUGAUUCGAAUUAUAUUAUGCAUCUGAACAUCACAUUUCAUAUCCUUUUGCAUCAAUUAAGCAUGCAUGCCCGGUCACAUCCAGGUCAAAAACCCAUGUAUGGAACCUCACCAGUGGACCUACAGUUGAGUCUGAACAUCCACAUUUGAGAAAUAUCCAAAUAACCCAUAAUAACCAGACUGUCGAGGCAGCCCCUUACAAAAUAUCCACUGAUGACACCCUUUCCAAUACAAAACACAUCAUUAACCAAAACAACUUUACAAACACCAACCUUAAUACCUUGGGAAAACAGCUUACACGGCUUGAGAAACAAAUACAAAGAACUGCUACAAGUUCAGCUGGCAUUAAAACCUCAACCGACUUAAAGCUAAAAAACCCAGUCUUCAAACCCUACCAAAUUACAAAAACCAGCCAAACACAGAUCCAAGAAAACCAAACAGAUUUUCUUAAAGCUAUUAAAACGCAUCUACAACACCUUGACAGUUCAUCUUUAACUGUCCCUGACACACCACAAAUAACCAACCCUUCUACCUCUACAAAUCAAGUCAACACUUUACAGAAUAGUCCUCAGGAAUCUUCUGAUGAAGGUACUUCUCCACGAAAACCUCUUACCCUAAACAGACUUACCUGGCAAACUCCCAAAACAACCAUUGCCCCAGACAUUUCCAUAACUACUGAACCAACUAUUCUUACUCAACACAAGUAUAAUGCCUCUUCCCUCUAUGAAUGGAAUAUAGAUGGAAUGUCCGAAUAUAAUAUCCUAAACACUCUCCAACAAAUGACCAUGGCAGCGAAUGCUUACAAAACCCAGACAGGAACCCCAGAUAAAGCUAUUGCUGAGCUCCUUAUUAAUGGUUUCUCCGGCCAAUUAAAAGGAUGGUGGGAUUACCAUCUCACUGACACUGAUCACCUGCAUAUCCUAAACUCCUUCCAAACAUAUGAGGACCAAACACCCAUCCUUGACCCAUUCGGAAACACCAUCCAAGACGUUGUGUCAACCCUUAUUCUUACAAUUUCCCUACAUUUUGUUGGAGAUCCUUCACAUUUGAAAGACAAAAAUGUUGAACUCCUUUCCAACCUUAGAUGCAAGAAACUAAGUGACUUUCAAUGGUACAAAAACACCUUCCUUACCCGUGUCAUGCUUAGGGAAGAUUCAAACCAACCCUUUUGGAAAGAAAAAUUCCUUGCAGGACUACCUAUUCUCUUAGGAGAAAAGGUUAGAAACAAAAUCAAAGAUACCUUCACAACAAAAACCAUCCCAUAUGACCAGCUCACAUACGGUGAACUUGUAAGCAUUACUCAAAAGGAAGGUCUGAAGAUCUGUCAAGAUCUUAAACUCCAGAAGCACCUAAAGUGGGAAAUGAAACGUACCAGGCAAGAACUUGGUAGUUUCUGUCACCAGUUCGACCUUUCCACCAAAAAACCCUCCUGUAACGGAAACUGUUCACAUCCCAAAAAAUAUUCAAGCCAGAGACCUCCUUAUAAACGAUCACUACAUAAAAACCGACAACAAUUCUAUUCUAAACCAGAUCAACCUUACUACAAAAAGCCCUAUAAAUUUACCAAGCCCCACAAACCUUUCCAGUCGAAACCUAAAACAAAAUUUGAUCCCAAAAACAUUACCUGUUAUAAAUGCAACCAGAAAGGACAUACAUCCCGUUUCUGCAAGGUCAAUACUAAACUUCAUGAACUCCAAAUAGAUGAAGACACCAUCAACCAAAUACAAAAUCUCUACAUUGAGGCUACAGACACUGACCACUCUCCUUCAGACACUUCUGAAGAAGAAUUCCAAAUCGAUGAAAUAGCAACCACCAGUGCUACUUCAGAUGCCUCUACAAAUUCCAAACAAUUCAACGUCUUGACCCAAGAUCAAGAGUUCAUUCUUGAGGCUAUCAAACGACUUGAUGAUCCUCAACUUCAAAAAACCUAUUUGGAUAAAUUAUUGAAAGACUUCAGCCAACCGGAGCACCCCCAGUCUAACCGCUCUAUAUUAACUUCUGCCAGCACCAAUACCUAUGAUCUUACAAAAAUUCUUGGCAGAAAGAAAUCCAAAACCACAGUCACCAUUCCAGAACUACAGUCUGAGAUAAAAACCCUCAAAUCAGAAUUGCAAAUCCUCAAACAAGCCCAACAGAAAGACUCUGCCAUACUACAACAUCUUCUGUCCAAAAUUGAAAGCCCGUCUGAUACUGAGUCUGAUACAGAGGAUCAAACCAUUGAAUCUCAUGCAUUACCACAUACACUUACAAAUAUUGAGCAUAUUCCAGAUGAUUUCUUAAACGUUCUAACCCAAAUAUCUUCCAAGAAAUAUUUAAUUCGAAUUACUCUUGUUUUCUCAGAAGAUUUCAAGCUUGAUACUAUUGCCUUAUUUGACACAGGUGCAGAUUUGAACUGUAUCAAAGAAGGCGUGGUUCCAAAAAGAUUUUUACAAAAUACCUAUGAAAAACUCUCUGCUGCUAACAAUUCCAAAUUACACAUUGCAGGCAAAACCCAAGCCUCUGUUUUCAAUAACGACAUUUCUCUUAAAACAUUUUUUGUUGUUACAAAAGACAUCAAUCAUACCAUCAUUCUUGGCACUCCAUUUAUUGACAUGAUCACUCCAUAUCAAGCACGUCAUAACUGUAUUACUUCCAAAAUUAAUAACACCAAACUUGUUUUUUCAUUCUUAGAAAAAUCUAAGACUAGGAAUUUAAAUUUAAUUAAAGCAUGUUCCAUACAUACCUGUCAUAUCAAUGCACUAAUUCAUGGGAAACAAUUCCAUCUACAUGAUUUACAAAACCAUGUUUCUUUUUGUCGUAUCAACAAACAAUUACAAAGUUCUGAUUUACAAAAGAAAAUCAUUGAUUUCCAAAAUAAGAUUGAACAACAGAUAUGUUCAGACUUACCCAAUGCUUUUUGGAAGCGAAAACAACACAUCGUUGAUCUUCCUUAUGAAGAUACAUUUUCAGAAAAACUAAUCCCUACAAAAGCAAGACCUAUACAAAUGAAUGCUGACUUAGAACAGCAUUGCAGACUUGAAAUCCACGAUCUCGAGUCUAAAGGUCUUAUCCAAAAGUCUAGAUCACCCUGGUCGUGUGCGGCCUUUUAUGUCAAUACAAAUUCUGAAAUUGAAAGGGGCACACCAAGACUUGUGAUCAAUUACAAACCUCUCAAUUCUGCUUUAAAAUGGAUCAGGUAUCCAAUCCCAAACAAAAAAGAUUUAUUACAAAAAUUGCACUCCGCAUUCAUAUUUUCUAAGUUUGAUAUGAAAUCUGGAUUUUGGCAAAUCCAAAUUGAUCCCAAAGAUAGGUACAAAACUGCUUUUACAGUUCCUUUUGGCCAAUAUGAAUGGAAUGUCACUCAAAAAUACACCAUCCGAAUUUCAACGCAUCAUGAAUGACAUAUUCAAUGCACAUUCAAAAUUCUGCAUUGUUUACAUUGAUGACGUGCUCAUUUUUUCACAUUCCAUAGAACAACAUUUCAAGCAUCUACAUAUAUUUUUUCAUACUGCCAAACAAAAUGGUUUAGUUGUUUCUAAAACAAAAAUUUCUCUUUUUCAAACCCGUGUCCGUUUCCUCGGUCAUUACAUCUGCCAAGGUACCGUAAUACCAAUAGAGAGAUCUUUAAACUUUACAAAUAAAUUUCCUGACAAAAUCACUGAUAAAACCCAAUUGCAAAGAUUCUUAGGAAGUCUUAAUUAUGUCUUGGACUACUAUCCCAAUAUUAGUCGUCUAUCCAAACCCUUACAUGACAGGUUAAAAACCAACCCCAUUCCUUGGUCUGACCUCCAUACCAAUCUAGUCAAACAGAUUAAGAAACAGGUCCAAACUAUUCCUCUCCUCCAUUUAGCUAACCCUUUAGCCCCUAAGAUUGUUGAGACUAACGCCUCUGACCUAGGGUAUGGUGGAAUUCUUAAACAGUUACAAGAUAACAAAGAACAAAUAAUCCAGUACACAUCUGCCCACUGGAAUGACUGCCAGAAAAAUUACUCUACUAUUAAAAAGGAAAUCCUUUCAAUUGUUCUUUGUAUUACAAAAUUUCAAAGUGAUUUAUUAAACCAAAAAUUUCUCUUACAUGUUGACUGCAAAUCUGCAAAAGAAGUUCUCUAAAAAGAUGUCCAAAAUCUUGCUUCCAAACAAAUCUUUGCCAGAUGGCAAGCCAUUUUAAGUAUCUUUGAUUUUGAUAUUGUUUACAUUAAAGGAGAAUCAAAUUCCAUCCCUGAUUUCCUAACCCGAGAAUUCCUUCAAAACAGGUCUUGAUGCCUCCUAAAGCAAAAGCCAAGGACAAGGGAAAAGCCCCUCAAACACAGCCUACAAAACCAGAGAGCCCCAAGCCUUCUACAAAACUCAUGUCUUCCGCCAUCCUCGCUGCCAAGCCUAUCAAAUCUUGGUAUGAGGCAGUUAUUGAAGAUGAAGAAACUACAAAACCACCACAAGUACAAACAGACGCAGUUCAACAUUGGGUUGACACUAUAUCCAAAUCGCCAGAAUUACUCCUGGCAUUGCAAAAAGUAUCCCAACAAGCCUCCAGUGACUCCGUGUCUCAAACAGGUAGUAUUUCCAAAUCACUUUCAAAACCCCAAGGAGGCAUUUUAUCUUCAAAACCCCUCCUUUCCUUACAACAAACAAGUUUUCCAAAAACCAAAUCCAAAUAUAUUUUCAAAAAUGCUUUCCAAAACAUUUUAACUAUGGAAGAAGGAUUUUACCAUGAAAACCCUUCCAUUGCUGCUUCAAAAAUAUUCCCUCCAAAAUGGCACUAUAAACCUUGAAAUCUAGCUCAACCACAAUCCUAUUAUGCAACUAUCCUUGAAAUUACCGAUUCUAUCGAAUUCAAACACUUCAAAUUACAUUCUGAUCACACUGAACCAGCUUACUCUACAUGCAUUAUUCACAAAGUCAUCCACCCUAAAGAUUGGGGACAACCCCUGCAUCAACCUCUCUCCUUCCCAAUACAAUACCGCACAAGCCCCCAAGACUUCAAUACCUCCUACACAUAUUGGGAUUACCAACAGGCAUGGUUUAAUGCCUUCCUCAUACAAAAUCAAAAUCAUAGCCAUUCUUGGCUCUUCUACUUCCACAAUACCAUGAAUACUACAAAUCUCUCCCUCUGGUUCCUUCAAUGGUGGGACUUUUAUGGUUGUCAUGUUGAUUACCUUAAAGAACAUCCUUUAGUUGAAAAUGGUUAUCUACAUUUCAAAAACAAUUUCCAACCAGCUCCCUCUGAAAGAAAGUUUUCUUCCCUCCUUAUCUUCUAUACAAAAUUUUUUGUUCCGUGGGUAUGUUCAUGGUUCUUUGAUUAUAAUUUACAAAACGGACAUCCAGUACUUAUUCGCAAAUUCAAAAUCAAGUGGUGGGAUUCCUUUGCAGCUGAGUCCAAAAGUUCAAAAUUAGCUGUUACGGAAUGGUUACAAAAACAUCAAACAACUCCCAUCAUCGAUCCUCAUCCUCAAUCAAAGUUCUUAGCCAGAAAGGCCCAAACGGCAGCUCUCCUUGCCUCUGCUAGAACUGAGGAAGAAUACCUACAAAUAGUACAAGGAAUUAUGCAAAGCCAAGACCCAGAAACAGUCUUGUCCCAAUCCAGCUCAUCUGGCUCAACAUCUCCUGCCAUUUCCCUCGACAAUGAUAAUGAAGAUGACUGUUUUGGUAUCCUGCCAUCUAUCACGUGACGUUAAAAAAAAAUAAAAAAAAAAAGAGUAUUUCAGGUCUUUUUAAGGCUCAUCUGUUUAGAGCCCAUUUUGGUCUUUUUUAAUGCUCAUCUGUUUAGAGCCCAUUUUGGUCUUUUUUAAGGCUCAUCUGUUUAGAGCCCAUUUUGGUCUUUUUAAGGCUCAUCUGUUUAAGAGCCCAUUUCUUUUAGACUCAGAUGUUUUGAGUCGUUUUUCGGCCUAUCUGUUUUAAGGCCUUUUUCUACAAAAGUUACUAGUUACUACAAACCCACCAAUCAAGUGUCGGUGGCAAGACGACAACAAACGAAGCUCAACCAAAAACGUGGACAAUUUCCAUUUUGUCGCCAUCCAAUCAAGGCAGACAGCACCACAUGGGCUUCUAUAGGUUCUGCCAAAUGCCACAUAGGUUCACAUGGGUCCUGAAGAGCUUCUCCAACAGGACAAUUUGGCCUCUUCCAUGCCAACUCGCCUAUAAAAGGCCACUUCAAAACCCUUAGAGGGCGGACUAAUCUUUCCCCUAGAAAAAAUUUACUCUCCCCUAAAAAUUUGUAACCCAUUCUCCUCUGUAACCAAUAUCUCCUGUCUUAAUUUUGUUACAAAUUUAAGUAAGAUAAUCUUAUUUUUAUCUACGUUUUUGUUAUAUCUGUUGUUGUUCUUUUUGUUACUUUUAAGUAUGCUCUGUGUUUGAUCAAGGAUCCUGACAUUGUUGGUCUUGCCUUGAUCAUUCGCAUCAGAAAUCUGUUUAUAUUGUUCUUUUCUUUGUUCUUUUAUACAAUCAGUAUAUAGGCUGGAAACCUAUGACCCGAUCUUUUAAAGAUCAUUCUCAGGUAUAACAACGCCACGUACUGUUUACUAUUUAUCUGUUUACUAUUUAUCUGUUCCUGUUUACUAUUAUAUAUAUAUAUAUUAACACCCGAACAAAACACUUCAAUUCAGAUUCUCGAAUAUAUCAUCAUUCUUAUAAUUUAAUUUAUCACUUUCCCUCAUUUUUCGUAAUCUUAACUUUUAUUAAUAUCAAUAAUAUUACCCGAGGUUUUAUAGUCUCAGUUGACACUGAUUUUCACCAUAAAAAAUGGUCGAUUUUUGUUUUAAUGAGUUUCAUUUGAUGAAGAGAGUUUCAUUGAAUUUUUUUUUUCCCUUGAAAUUGCCAAAAAAUUUAUGGUUUUUGGGCUAUUUUAUUAGUUUAUUACAUCAUAAAGACCAUUUUUAGGUGUUUUGGUGUGAACUUUGCUUAAAUUUGCAUUUUCGGGUCAAAAACACCCUGCUUAAUUUUCUAGUCACCUCUCCAAUGGUCAAGAACAGGAAAGUCUCGGUAGGUGACAUGUCGCUUUUUUUUUCAAAAUUAUUUGGAGCAUUUUCAAAUAAAAAAAGGCCCAUAUGUACCAACCCUUUUUAAAAUGGGCUUGAUGUGUAGGCCUGACUUACUAGGCCCAAAAGCACUUGAUCUAUUUCUAUUUUUUAAAAAAUUUUGUUUUCUUAAUUGAUAUUUUUUUUUAUGUAUUUUUAAUGAAUUUUUGAAUUUAUAUUUAAAUUAAUACUUUUCUCUCUAAAUAUUUAGAUUGUUUAUUUAGUUUUUUUUUUAAAUAUAGGUUAUCUUUUACUUAUCUUUUAUGUAUUUAAUAUCUAGAAAAAAUUAUUUCAAUUCAUCUAUAUGGUUUUUUUAUAUUUUAUAUGAAUAAACUUUAUUUUCAUGGCGUGUUUAUAAAAAUAAGAAUUAUUUGUUCUUGGUAAGAAAAAGUGACCUUUAAGAUAAAAAAAAAAAAAGAAGAAGAAAAGGAGAAAAGUGUGUAUGAAGAGGAAAGUUAAGGUUAAGUAUCAUAUUUAUGUAUCUUUUACUUUUAUGAAAAUGAUUAUCAUUUUAUUUUAUAAUUUGAUUGGCAUUAAGAACUCUUUAUUAGUUUAUUAGUUCAUAUUUUUGUAAGAUUUGUUUUUUACAUUUCUCAAUUAAGAGAAUCGUAAUACAAUGAAAUGCACUUGAAACAUUGUCCUAUUUUUCUACUACAUUAAAAAUUAACUUAAGAUCCUAUAUGUGGCACGAUGCGUUAACAACUAUUUUUUGUAUUUAUAAACACUUAUGGUCCUUACUUUAUUUUUAUUAUAUGUAAACAUCAACUUUUUUAUUCACAAUUAUAAUUUUCUCUUGAUUUUUAAAAAUACAUUAACAACAUUUAUACAUUUUUCUUUUGCGUUCAAAACAUUAUCUGACUCGUAGCAAAAUGAAUUAAAUAAACAUGUCAACACUUUUUUUUUGUAUUUAUGAUUAGGAUUUGUUUUUGUUAAAAAUGCAAUUGAAAAGCAUACAAAUUUAUUUUUUUGCUAAAAACAAUUUUGUGAUCCAUAACAAAGUACGAGUUAAAUAACUACUAAUAUGGCUAUAGUAAGUCUUUUAGUAUAUAUGGAUGUAGGAAGCAAUGUGUUAUAUUAUUAGUUAGAUAUAACUUACCUAUUCAUUAUUAAAAAAACAUAAAAUAAAUAAAUAUAUUAAUAGAAACCUAAAAGAGAUCGGCUGAAAUAUAAUAUUUUUGUCCUUUUUUUAUUUUGUUUCACAUUUCUCAAUUAAGAGAAUCAUGAUAUAAUGAAAUGUAUUUGAAACACCGUCCCAUUUUUCUACUACAUUAAAAAUUAACUUCCUACAUGUGGCGCGUUGCGUUAACAAUUGUUUUUGUAUUUAUUAACAUAUAUGAUCUCAAGUUUAUUUUAUUAUAUGUAAAUAUUAACUUUUUUUAUUCACAAUUAUAUUUUUUCCUCUCGAUAUAAAAAAAAUACAUUAACAACACUUAUACAUCCAUUCUUUUGUGUUGGAAAAUAUUAUUUGACCCAUAGCGAAGCGAGUUAAAUAAACACGUCAAUAUCUUUUUUUGUAUUUGUGAUUAGGGUUUAUUUUUUUUUUGUUAAAAAAAUACAUUUGAAAAGCAUUUAUAUUUAUUUAUUUUGCUAAAAAACAUUUCUUACCUUUAGUAAAGUGUGAGUCAAAUAACUACUAAUAUGGCUAUAGUGAGUGUCUUUUUAUACAGUAUACUUGGAUGUAGGUAGCAAUGUAUUAUAUUAUUAGUUAGAUAUAACUUACCUAUUCAUUAUUAAAAAAAACAUAAAAUAAAUAAAUAUAUUAAUAGAAACCUAAAAGAGAUCGGCUGAAACAACAUAGUCUCCAAGAGGAAAUAUUGUGAAUUCACACAAUGUUUACUUUCUUUUUUUUUUGUCCUUUUUUUUAUUCAGUUAUCUUUGAUGAUGAAUUAAUAAAGAUUUGAGAUGGUUUAAUUUCACAAAAUUUUCUUUUAUUGUUUGUAAGAAAUUGAAAAUGAGAAGAUCAAAAUUAAAAUAAAUAAAAAACCAAAUUUUUUUUUAAAAAAAAUAUGGUGUCAACUUUGCUUUUUAUUUUUUGCUUUUAAUCAUCUAUUUUUUUUAUAUAAAAAAAUAAUCUUUCAAUAUUGUGUUAAUUAUUUAUUUAUAAAAAAUUAAUCUUUCAAUAUUGUGUUAAUUAGAAUUUGAAAUUGGUAAUUUUAUAUGAGCAUCUAGAACUAAAUAAAAAGCCGCACCAUUGGUUUGGUGCUCAACUUUACAAAUAAAAAAAAAAAUCGAUUGUAUUGUUUUAGAAAAAAUAAAAAGAUCAAAACUAAAACACGAAAAAAGAAAAGAAAAAAAGGAGGCCUUAAAAAAACAAAUUGUGUCAGCACCUCCAUGCAUUGUAAUUUUGAUAAAUCUUCUUUUUGGUAAUGAAACUUUUUUAUUCAAAACUUUUUGAUUCAAAACUUUAUUUUACUUGUAUUUUAAUUCUUGAGGAUGAGAAAGAAAAGAGAAAUUCAUCAAAAAAUUACUAAGAAAAGAGAAAAUUAGCGAAAGCCAGCAAGGUAUCUGCUCGAAAAAACAAAUGGGCAAGCAAACAUACGCCCUUACUUCUGGAGGCUUGUGCGAUAAUGGGCAAGCAUCAUUGUUUUUUUGGGGGCUUGUACGAUAAUGACUAAACACACAACAUUACAUUACUUCUAGCUUCUUCAGCAAACACAGAUAGAUAAGUCGAAAUCUUCUGUAUUCCCAUUGCCAAUGAAACAGUUGGAAUUACUUCCCACCAAUCUAAAACAUAUUCGCAGCACCAACCUUGAAAUCAUGUAACAGCUAACCAACCUUGCCUGAUGCAAACAUGAAGAACAAAGACAAUCCAUGAUUUAAUUCAACCAUUAAAAUUUGAAGGUAAAGGAGAGGAUAAAUAAUCUUCAGCUAUAUCACCUGGUUUGGGCAAGAAAGAAUUAUUAGACUACCAAUCAUCACCAUUCUUUCCACCCCUUAUCUCGGGUCCACUCUCUAUAAAUGCUUGAAUCUUCAGCUACUUCAGAUACCUGUAAACCAAUUCAAGCAUGGCAUGCUCAUUUUUACUUGUAAAUCUUAUUAUUGAGCCAAACAAGAAACAAACACACUAAAAGAGAGGCAAGAAAUCAAGUCAAAUCAGCAGCACCUCUGAUUGAGCACUCAUUGAACCAUCUGGUGUACUAGCAAAUUUUGUGGUCAGCUUUGGACAUAGAUGGACCUUCAACUUCUCCAAACGAGGGAAUAAGAAAUAAUCACACCAUCCGAAACUAAAACAGACAAUACUUGAUAAUUGAUGUAUCGACAACUCCUUUAGAUUAGGAAGCACUAUCUCCUUCUCAACGUUGAUAGGUGAAGCUUGACCAUCCUGCCCAGGAGGCUCUGGAAUUAUUUCCUUUUCACCAUCCUCUUCUCUGAUAAUAUGCUUCAAUUGACCGCAUUUACCUAUGUAAAGUCUUUCUAGCUUUGGCAGACUUCGAGCGAGGGACGGUGUGAAUAUAAAUGUCAGUUUGUCCAGAGACCACAAAUCCAGAUAAGCAAGACUUUGGAGGCUGACAUGUCUGGUGGGCCCCUUCCACAUGCAUUUGAGCUCAGGUAAACCUGACAGCCGUAACCCUGUUAAAGAUGACAGAAGCGGCAGCUCCUUCUCCUCCCUACUUCCUUCAUCAGGCUCACCUAAUUCAAAUACCUCUUCCAAUGAUUUGCAGCCGUUAAUGUUCACACUGCUUAGAUUUUUCAAAGCUCGCAGCAAUUUUGCUGGAAACGGAGCGCGAACAUCCCCACAAUCGUCCACUCGUACACGUUCUAAUCUAUGUAAGGAGCCGUUUUGCUCCCCAUGGGCGGCCAUCUGAUCAGAGAACAAUAUUAUAUUUUCUCACUCUCAUAAAAACAAUUUAUAUGAUGUAUAAAUAGGAGAAAAAAACAGGAUUAAAUACUUUUUAGAGAUUACAUAUUAUUGUUUUAGUUUUGUUCUUAAUUAGAGAUAAGUUGAAUAAUAAUUAGAUUUUUGUGAAAAAAAGGUUAAUACAACUCCUAAUAAUUAGUUUCAUGUAAAAACAAAAACAAAAAUAAAAAUAGUAACUAAUAUUUUUAUUUUAGUUAUAAAGUUAAUAAAUUUUAAAAGAUAUUUUAAUUGACUUCAAAAUUUUCAACACAAAAUUUAUGCUCUUAUAUAUUAAUAAUUUAUUUGUGAAGUUAUUUGAUGUACUUUUGUAUAAAAAACAUUUUUUAUUACGUGCAAAGUUGUUUAAGUGGACAAACUUGUCUAAUUUUUAUCCAGAUAGAUUACCUCCAAAGUAGUCAAUUUGCUCAGCAGAAGACCCCUCAAGUCAGGCACGGAUUCCAAGCGUAAUUCUUUCAAAUUUGUGAACCCCUGCAUCAAAAGAAAUUUUGUGCACUUUUGAACUAUAUAAUUUUGGUAAAUAGAUGAACGAAUUGUCCAUAUAAAACUUCAGCAAAAAAACUUAUCAACAAAAGGAUAGAAGUAGACAUGGCAACAAGGCAUGGGAAUAUGAAAUCAGAAGUUGCAGAUGGAGGUUUAUCUUCCUCUUCAAAUACUUCUAUUAAUUGGGGGAAGAGCCUCAAUAUCACUUAAACUGGGAAAGCAUAAAGAUUGAAAAAUCAAGGUAGGAUUUCAUUACAAUAAUUAAUUUCUUACUUCUUAAGCCCUGCAUCAAGAGACAAGGAAUGAUAAAGUUAGACAACUCCUUUUAAAUUUAGUGAAUGGCUAAAGGAUUUAUCUCCACUUAUCAAUUACUUCAGUUUCAGAAAUUUGGAGGAGAAAUCAACCUGUAUUGAAGUUGACAAUUUAAAUUAAGAAGAAAAAAAAAUUAUAGGAGAAAUAUAAAGGACGUACUUGGAGCUGUGCAAACAAAUUUCCCAAUUCUUUGUGGCCAUUGAUUUUUAGAAAUCGCAAAGAAGGCAAUUGGGCAGCAAGAUUCGUUGGACCAAAAAAGCUGUAAUUUGAUAUGGAAGAAAGAACCAAGUCACUUAAUCGAGGGAACUUGAUGAUGCCAUCUGUGGUGAGUGCGUCUCCUUCUCCACUGUAAAAUAUUUGCUUUAAAUUGUCAGUACGAUCAAUCGUCAUCAAUUCCAGGUUCGGAAGGCUCGGAGACACAGAGACAGGGAAGACAUAUUCCAGUUUACCACAGUCUUUUAUGAAGAUAGUUUUUAAUCUUGGGAAGCAAGGAGACUCUGGAAUUAUUUCCCUUUCACCAUCCUCUUCUCUGAUAAUAUACUUCAAUUCACCGCAUUCACUUAUCUCAAGUGUUUCUAGCUUUGGCAGACUUCGAGCGAGAGACGGUGUGAGGAUAAAUGUCAGUUUGUCGAGAGAAUUCAAAUACAGAUAAGCAAGACUUUGGAGGCUGACAUGUCUGGUGGGCCCCUUCCAAAUGCAUUUGAGCUCAGGUAACCCUGACAGCAGUAACUCUGUUAAAGAUGACAGCAGCUCCUUCUCCUCACUGCUUCCUUCAUCAGACUCACCUAAUUCAAAUACCUCUUCCAAUGAUUUGCAGCCGUUAAUGUUCACACUGCUUAGAUUUUUCACAGCUCGCAGCAAUUUUGCUGGAAACGGAGUGCGAACAUCCCCACAAUCGUCCACUGCUACAGAUUUUAAUCUUUGUAAGAAGCCGUUUUGCUGCACAUGGACGGCCAUCUUAUCAGAGAACAAUAUUAUAUUUUUUCACUCUCAUGAAAACAAUUUAUAUGAUGUAUAAAUAGGAGAAAAAAAAAAGAAAAAACAGGAUUAAAUACUUCUUAGAGAUUACAUAUUAUUGUUUCAGUUUUUUUUUUCUUAAUUGGAGAUAAGUUGAAUAAUAAUUAGAUUUUUGCGAAAAAAGGGUUAAUACAACUCCUAAUAUAAUAUAAAUUACGUAAACCAUGAGGCAGUUAAAUCUAACAGAAAAUAUAUUUCAAAUGAGGCAGUUAAAUCUAACAGAUAAUAUGUUCUUCCAUAUGAUUAAUUUUUAAUAACGUAGACAACAAUGAGGCAGUUAAGUUUCUUAUAUUUAUAUAUGUUUAGAUAAAAAUAAAAAUAAAAAUGAGCAUUUAUCAAUUACUUUACUUUUAGAAAUUGGGAGGAAGAAAGAAUAAAUUAUCGCAAUUGACAAUUUAAAUUAAGUGGAGAAAUAUAAAUUACGUACUUGUAGCUGUGCCAACCAAUUACCCACUUCUUCGUGGCCUUCAAUGUUUAGUUUCUGCAAAGAAGGCAAUUGAAAAUCAAAAUUCCUUGGACCUAUAAAGCCGUAAUUUGAUCGGAGCCCAAGAGACAAUUGUCUUAGUUGAGGGAACUUGAUGAUGCCAUCUGUGGUGAGUGCAUCUCCUUCUCCACUGUAAAAUAUUUGCUUUAAAUUGUCAGCAUAAUAAAUCGACAUCUGUUCCAGGUUCGGAAGGCUUGGAGACAUGGAGACAUGGAGACAGGGAAGACAUAUUCCAGUUUACCACACCGUUGUAUGAAGAUAUUUUUUAAUUGUGGGAAGCAAGGAGACUCUGGAAUUAUUUCCCUUUCACCAUCCUCUUCUCUGAUAAUAUGCUUCAAUUCACCGCAUGCUGUUAUGUUAAGUGUUUGCAGUUGUGGUAGACUUUGAGCGAGGGACGGUGUGAAGAUAAAUGCCAGUUUGUCCAGAUACCCCAACUCCAGAAAAUUAAGACUUUGGAGGCUGACAUGUCUGGUGGGCCCCUUCCAUAUGCAUUUGAGCUCAGGUAACACUAACAGCCGUAACUUGGUUAAAGGUGACAGUAGCGGCAGCUCCUUCUCCUUACUGCUUCCUUCAUCAGCCUCACCCAAUUCAAAUACCUCUUCCAAUGAUUCACAGUUGUCAAUAAACACCUCCUUCAGAUUUUUUAAACCUUGCCGCAAUCUUGCUGGAAACAGAGUGAAAACAUCCCCACAAUCCCUCACUACUACAGAUUCUAAUUUAUGUAAAAACAAUUGCUCAAAUGUCUUCGCAUUUAAGGAUGUACCAGCCCAAUAAAAUCUUGUCGAGGUUGAUGAAUAAUACUCAUAGCCUAAAGCAUUCCCUAAUGUUAUAUCAUAUUUGCGCAAGCUAACUGGAAAAACAAAAUCUCUGGGAAUGCGUUCAACCUUCGGUAUCCUCAAUGAUAAUACGGCUAACUGAGACAACGAAUUUAGUUCUGUUAGGUUUGCAUUCAUUCCACCUGUGCUGUCACAUCCAACGACAUCCCAUCCCUGAAAGCUGUAUUGCCCAAUCAACAGCUCUUCUAAUUUCUUCAACCUUCCAAUCAAAUUCACAGGGAUCCUUCUUAGCCUUUGACAACCUGUCACAUCCAACAACCUUAACUCCUUGAGCUCUCCUAUUUCAUCAGGUAAUUCUUCAAUGGAUAAGCACGACAUAAGACCAAGAAUCUUAAGUCUCUGCAGCUUUCUCAACCAAAUGAGGUCCUUGCAUCCACACCUAAUCAACACCAACGAUUGAAGUUUCGUUGAGAGUUCAAGUGAUUGCAGCGACAAACGCCCUCCCUCCAGAGACAAAACUUCAAUUUCUUUCAUCCCUUCAAAAAACCUCUCUGGAACAUUCAUACCAUCUUCCAGUUCUAAUAAUAGAACUUUGAGCUGUGGACAUACCAAUCCUUCAGGAAGUUCUGCUAGUUUAUUGCCCAUUAACGAAAUUGUUGUACAACCUUCAAAGCUUUUGUUUCUCAUUGGCCACUUCUCCAACCCAAUGCCAGCCUUUACGAUGAAUCCAUAUUCUUCUGAUGAUGCUAUCUGAAUAGCAAAGUCACGAACCAAGUCAUGCAUUCUCACAUGUUCUUCAGUUUCAGUGCCCAACAGCAUGCAACAAUCUUUGAGGUUUUCGAUGGCCACAGAAACUCGUUUCCUUGCAUCUUCAAUGGGCUCCGCAUCUUGAUGUAACCCAUAGCCAACUGCAUAUCUCGUCAAGUCCUCGAUUGGAAUGUCAUAAUCUUCUGGAAAUAAACAGCAUAGCACGAAACAUGACUUGGUUUCCUCGUACUUCAAAUAAUCAUAGCUCAACUUAAGACAUGUGUAAGCAUUAUUUUGUUCAUCAAUUUGUUCCAUGCGCACAAAGUGAGAUUCUUUGAGCUGUUUAGACGCUACUUCCCACUGAACUCGUGAUUUACCUCUUAGAGCCCUUCCCACUGUCACAAGUGCUAUAGGCAAGCCUUGGCAUUCUCUCGCAACCUCCCUUGCCACUGUGUUCAAGGUAGAGUCCCCAUCACGUAAACCUGCAUUGAUUCUGAAUAAAUCCGAUGCUUCAUCUUCAGGUAAGACUCUUAAAAGCACUUUUUGCUGGCACUCCAUAGAAAAACAUAUGCCUUGAACACGUGUUGUUAGAAGAAUUUUACAACCCCUGUGAUCAUCACCAAAUGGGAUCCCUAUCUCUUCCAAGUCAAUAUGUUUCCAAACAUCAUCUAGGAUUAUAAGCAUCUUCUUUCCCUGCAGUCUCUGCCAUAAUUCACUUGCUCUACCUUCUUUACUCGUUUUUUCAAAUUUCAGAUGUAAACUAUCUGCCAUUCGAUCCUGGAUGCCUAUGAAAUUUGGAUUCUGGGACACCGUAGCCAUCAAAACGUCAGGAAAAAGCUGCGACUCUUUGGCUCUCCUGCCUACUUCUUUCACCAGGGUUGUUUUACCCACCCCUCCCAUGCCGUACAGUCCGAUCAUAUUGACGGUGUCAUCUUUGAGAGCUUUCAUGAUCUGUUCCAAAGCUUCUUUUGACGAUUCUGAGGGCGUGAAUUCCUUUGAUGUUAGAAAUUCUAUGGGCUGAGGAGGAGCUUUUUGGGCCACUAUUUUAAACUUUGUGCUAUUUUCUAGAAUUUUUCUGAAAGUCUCCGACUUCUUGGCCAGUGCCUUGCUUAACUUGAAUUGUCGCAUGCAGUUUGGGCACCAAGUAAAGCAUUUGCCGUUUUUUCCUAUUUCAUUUUCCAAGGGCUUCGCACCUUCAAUUUGGUUGUUUGCAUCUUCCAGCCACUUUUUGACAUCUUUGUAAGUUUUUUCAGCAUUCCUUUCAGCAGCUUCGACAUCGUCUUGCAGACGUUCUUUUGCCGAAACCAGGUUCUCCUUUUGUUCUUUGAAUUCUUGAGCAAAAUUGUUGAAACAGAACAUGUAACGGAACUGCCUUCCUACUGGUUCCACCAUGAGUUCUGCUAGCAUAGCUAUAAUGGAUCCACCAGCACUUUCGAGAGCCAUUUUCCACAGGUCUGAAAAUCAAAGAAAUAAGGAUACAGAACGUGAGAGUGAUCACUACAAGUAAAACAGUCGCAGAGAGAAUGGGAAUAGGAAUUUCAUUACCUUAAUUUGGGAAAAUAUGUGCGAAAAGCACUGGUACUGAGUGCUCAAUGAAAUAGCGGGAGGAAGAAAAGGAGAAGUCCUUUAGCUCUGUAUGGAAUCCAGCUUCAAAAGCAACAAUAAAAUAGUUUAGAUGGAUUCUAACUGACUCUUGUGAGUUAAAGCAGUAGUUCCCAUUAAAAAUGCAUUUUGAUGACAUAAUUAAGAUCAUAUAGAGACAGUGACAAACCAAAAAGAAAGAAACGAGUGAAAGGUCCAGGAUAAUCUAAGCUAUGAUCGGUCAAGGUUUUUUUUUGUUUUAUUCUUUUUUAAAAUAAAAAAAAAAAAACAGGAAAAGACUUGCAAAGAAAUAGAAUUACUGGAAUGAACACAAUAAAGGAUGAAACUCAAGCAAUUAAAAAUAAAUUAUCUAUGAUGAUCAUCUCUGUGUCACACUCAAUGAGGUAAUAUGAUUGGCCUAUUACAAUAUUAAAUAAAUAAAUAAAAAAGCUAAAAGAACUAGGUUUUUGGUGGCAUCUAGAUUGCGGUUACUUUCUUCAUCCUUCUUUUGUGGUUUUAUUUUAUUUCAGUCCUUCAAAUCUUUUUCUUUUUCUAUUUCAUCGAGUUGCUUUUGAGUUGAUGUGCUUGCCCUAGAAUAUGCAUUAUGCUAGGGAUUACAGUUACAUUACAUAAGAAAUUAUAAUUACAGAUUAUAAUUAACAAUUUCAGUUUUUUUUUAAAAAUAAAUUUAUGAGAAAGGACCCAACGUGAGUAAAUUAAAGGAGAAUUUUAAAUCUCAAGGAUUUACAUGAAAGUGUUUUUUUAGAUGUAAAACAUUUUCCAGAAAUUAUGAAAAAUUUAGAAAUAUGAUAUUAUUUAUUGAUUAUAACAAAUUUAGUCCUAAAAAAUUUAAUUGCUAUAUAUUUUGUUUAGAAUAUUUUUUUUUCAAUUUCACCCCUUAGAAUUUGAUUUUUAUACUAAAUUUGGUUCUCAUUUUAUGAUUGUUAUUUGCUUUUUUCUUUUUAUUUUUUUAAUUGAAAUUUUUUAUUUAUCAAAUUUGAUCCUCAUUAUUUUGAUUGUUACUUAUUCUAUUUGAAAUAAUUUAUGAAAUUAUAAUUAUUUUAAUUUCAUCAUCUUUUAAUUUUUUUUAUCUUUAGAUUUGAUUUUUAAAAGGCUUUUCAAAAAAAAAAAAACAGAGAGGAAAGGUACGGUUGAAAUAAGAUAGGGACGUGGAAAUAGAGGGAGAGGUUGUUGGAGGCAGAAAAGGAAAGACUACGAUAGUAUUUUUCUCUAUAUUUUGAGUUUUAGUUGUUAACAGCCAUGCUCGUUUGAUUUUAUUUUAUUUUAUUUUUAUUUAUUUUCUACAUGCUCUUGCAAAUAAGGCAGGAAAGGAGGACCUGAAAUCACGGCAGCAAAUAAGGAGGGUAAUAGCGUGUUUGUUUUUUAUUUUUUAAAUUAUUUUUUUAUAAAAUAAUGUUUUGUAUUCUAAAUUAAUUUUUUUUUAUUUUUAUAUUGAUAUUAAAAAUAAUUUUUUAAAAAUAAACAAAUAUUAUUUUAAUAUAUUUUUAAAAUAAAAAAAUAUUUUAAAAAACAACUAGUUAUUCAAACACUUAAAAUGAAAAUCUUAAAAUCACAGCAUGAUAAAAGGGGAAAGAAAGGAAUGGGAUAAAGAAGGAAGAAAGCCAGUCUUGUAGAAAAUAGAAGAUGAAAAUUAGUAUGAAAAGGAGGCUAUUUGUUUUUGUAGUGUUAGAGUGGUUUUUAUAAUUAUAUUUAAUUUAUAAAAAUAUUUAAUUAAUAUAUUUUUUAAUAUUUCUUGUUAUUUUAUAUAUAUAUAUAUAUAAUAUUUUAAUAUGUUUUUAAAUAAAAAAUUAUUCAAAAAAAUAUGUGUCACAAUACUAAAUUAUAGUAUAUAUUAAAAGAUAAAAGAGUUUUCUGUUCAUUAUUAUUUACCGAGACUUAUUUUAUUGUGGAUGUGGAUGUUAAUAGUGAAUUUUUUUAAAAAAAUUUCAAUUUUGUAUUUGGAUUUUUUUUUUUUUUUACAUAAUUGAAUCUCUUUAUGCCAAAAUUAAAACUCAAUUGUAUUUUUUUUUAAGGAUAAGAGUUGAAUUGAAAGAUAGAUAACUGAAAUGAAAAACUCGAUAAAAAUAUAUAGUGACACUGUAAUUGUUUGCAAAGUUCAUUUUAGUUCCUUAUCUUUUUGAGCUACUAAGUAACAUGUCCCUAUAAUUUCUCAACAUUACAUUUUAUACAGAAUCUCGGAUUAUGCUCUUGGAACUAAACUGAAAUUUUCACAAAUUGAAGGACCAAACUGAAAUUUUAUGAUCUUCAACCUCAAACCCAGAAUUUUCAAAGAUCACCUAUUGAUAUCAAGAUUUCUAACUCAAAUUCAUUAUUAAAACAAACCAUAACUCAAAAUCAUUAUUUUUACUUAAAAUCUUUCAAAAUCAACUAUAUAACUCAUUAUCAAUAACAAUCAACACAUAAUAUUCAAAUUAAUUCAUCAAUCAAACCCAAAACACAAUCUUCAAAACUCUAAUAUUCAACAAAAUAGAAAAUUAAAGCUAAGGAAAACACAUUUAUACACUUCAAAGCGUAACUCUUACAUUUUAACUUAUUUUCUCCAACUCUCUUCUCCUUUCUUUAUCUUUUCCUCUUUUUCUCUUUUUCUUUUUUCACUCUCACGGUUUUCUCUCUAAGAAUUGAGAGCUUUUUAUUUUUUUUUAUUUAUAUUUAUCAAUUAUUUGUUCAAUUACUACCGUUCAUUUAUUUAUACCUCCUUGCCUCCAAGAAUUUUGUAGCCUUUUUCUAUUCUCUUUUAUUUUCAAAAGAUCACAAUAAAAUUGUAUUCUUUUUAUUAAGCUGUUAAUUUAUGCAGCUUUAGCUCUUGUUCUCUUUUCAUGUUUGGCAACUCUGAUCUGAUCCAUUUCUUUGCAUGAUAUAUAAGAGCAGGUUCUUACCUCUUGAAGUCUGCUGGAUAAACCUAUCAGCAGAAGAUCAUGAACCGAUCCCAAAUCACAGCUUCAAUCCCCACCACAACCAAUCUCCUCUUUCCCGUAGUCUUCCGUCCUCAAUUGGGAAAUGAUCCAAAAUCAACAACCGGUGCGGAGAUAGUUUGAGUGAAAAGAAACGGCUGAAAGAUGAAAUGUGAAGGUUAUGGUGAGAAAUUGGAUGACAAACUUACUUUGUCCUACUAAUGCUUUUGCUUUCAUUGUUUCAAAAAGUAAAAGAGACAUAAGCAUAAUCAUAAGAAUCCUGUUUUUUCUAUUUUUUUCUCCUAUUUAUACAUCAAAAAAUGGCAGUUUUUCUUUUCCUUUCUUUUUAAAAUCUUAUGCCUUUGGGUGAGGAAAGUAGUGGAGCAUUAGACUUUUUAAAAGACAACAAAAAGAAGCAAUGUCUCAUCUUUUGAUAUGGUGGUACAAGAUACACCAUGGUAUGGUGGUCCUGCAAUAUUAGUUUGUUGAUGAAGAUAUCGAAAGAUUCCAGUCUCCGUUCUAGCUAAUGUUGGAUGCAAGGCUGAAGUUAAGAUUAUUUUAGAAUAUUUUUUUAAUCGGUGGUUUGUGUGGAGUAAUUUACGAUAAUUUAAUCUUUAAAAAAAAUUAGAUUUUUAAUUAAUAAAUUUUUAAGUAACUAUAAAUUUAUUUAAUGAGAUCUUCAGUAAUAAUUCUAGUUGGUUAGGCAAUAUAAACAGUUUUCACAAAGAUUCUACUACUGAUGUGUCCAUAUUACACAGGAACAGAAUGCUAGAGAAUAACUUUCUUUUUACAAAAAAAAAAAAAAAAGGUCGAGAAUUUUCCUUAAAGCAGACACCCAUGAAGAAGAGAUAGUUGCCUUAGCCAAGCUUCUCACUUUACAAAAUUGUAUCGUAGUAGUUUGCACCCACUAGGAAGUCCAGAAUAGGAAAAGAAAAACGGACGCUUAGCGGACCCACAAAAGUUUAAAACACUUGCAUUUCUUUUUUAUUUUCAAAUUAACAUGGUAAAUUUUGUAUGUUUAAAAAUAUCGUAAUGAAAAACACAGCAUUCGAAAAAAAACACAAUUGAAAUAAAUCUAGAUUAUCCUUCUAUUGUGUAUCAAAUUUAUGAUUUUUAAUGGUCAGGGAUUUUAAAUCCAGUUUGGUGUACGACCCGAUCCAAUAAAUUCGAGUCACGAGUUUUGAUCGGGUCACCCGAGUCAACUUUUUUUUUUAUAUAUAUAAAUCAAAAUAAUAUCGUUUUUUAUUAAAAAAAAUAGUCAACAUGUUACAAUUAGAUUUUUUACCGAUUCUUUCCAGGUCAACCGGAUUACCAAGUCACUUGACUUUUUAUUUUUUUUUAUUUUUUUUAAACCCGACUUGAUUCCAAUCCUGAAUCUAACCUGUAAGGUCAGACCAGGUUUUAAAAAUAUGCUAUUUGACUGAAAAGGAUGUUACACCCCCAUGUUUUUUUGGUGAAGAAUUGCAUGACGUAGUGUCAGAGUAUUGUGAUAUUGUGUUAUAAACAGAAGUUUUCUGGUUUUGGUUUAACCCACAAUUAGAUAAAACAAAGUAUUUUCUGGGAGCUUCCUUAUUGGAAGAUCAAUCUGCUCCACCAUAACCUUGAUGUCAUGCACAUAGAAAAAAAAAACAUGUUUGAAAACAUUUUUAACGGUCAUGAACGUGAAGGGAAAGACAAAGAACAAUAUCAUGGCUAGAAUGGAUAUAAUAUUUUUUUGUAACCGUAAAAAUAUGGAGUUGGUUUUUGAUGGGUCACGGGUCACAAAGUCCAGAGCAAGCUUCGUCUUAGAGAAGAAUACACAACUACUAGUCUACCUAUAGCUUAAAAGCCUGUGUUUUCCCGAUGGACAUGCCUCGAACAUAUUAAGGUUGGUUAAUCUAGAGAAAUUCAGAUUGUAUGGAAUGAAGAGCCAUGAUUGCCACGUGUUUUUGCAAACACUCAUUCCAUUAGCUUAUCUUGAUUUAUUGCCAAAGGACAUAUGUGAUACACUCAUGGAGAUCAGUCAUUUCUUUAGAGAUAUGUGCUCCAGCAAGUUGUAGACACAUCACAUUGAGAAGCUUGAAACAAAUAUCAUUGAGACAAUAUGCAAACUUGAGAUAAUAUUUCCUCUAUUGUUUUUUUGACUUGAUUGAGCAUCUACCAAUACAUUUACCGUAUAAGGCAAAAGUUGGAGGCCCAGUCCAAAAUAGAUGGAUGUAUCCAUUCGAGAGGUUAGAUAUUAGAGAUGCAAUGCAAGUAUUAAUGUAUUUUCAUUGUUUUUCUUAAUUGAAAAUGUUUGUUUAAUUUGAUGUAGGUACUUGUUCAAUUAAAAAAAAAAAGAAGUUAAGAAUAAGGUGCAUGUUGAGGCUUCGAUAUGUGUGGCCUAUAUUGUUGAGGAGAUCUCAACAUUUAUAUUAUACUAUUUCGAGCCUCAUCCGGGAACGAAAAUCAACCGCGUUCCACAGCAUGAUGAUGGUGGUCAAGUGCCUUCAAGUUCGAACUUGUCAAUAUUCUCCAAUCCUGGAUGACCCACAUCUAAAAAUGUUGUAAGGGGAACAUAUUUGUCUAAAAUAGAAUUCAAACAAGCACAUAAUUAUGUGUUAUUUAACUGCAAUGAACUGAGACUUUUUAUUUAUUUAGUAUAUAUACUACUUAAACUUUGUUGUAAAUGGACUAUUUAUCUAUUGUAAUAUCACAAAUUUGUACAUUUUUGAAAACCUCGUAGGCAAUGUUGACAAUAUUUACUAACUCACAACUGACGGAAUCCCUUCAAUUACAAGAUGAACAAUUUUCCAGGUGGUUCAGAACAUAUGUAAGUACUAUGACAAACUCAUCAUGUAUCAUUGUACUUAAUUUCAUUACAGAAUUCUCAUUUACUGUUCAUUGUUGUAGUUUGUUGCUACCCAAUUUUGACCCAUGUUUUUGAUAAAUUUUCAAAAAAAAGCAAAAAAACAAUGAAAACCCCAAAAAAUGCAUUUUUGAUAUGUUUGCAUCGUUUUUAGCAUUUUCAAUGUCAUCUCAGAAGAAUUUAAAUUUUCAAAGGUAUUUUGAACACGUUCAACUUUUAAUGUGUUAAUUUUACAAUCACUGAUUUUUCUUGUUGGGUCAACAUUGAUAUUGCUUGCUUUCAAAAAUACAAAAAAAAAUAAUUCAAAAUUGACAAAAAAUAAAGAAGUUGAGGGACCAAUGUGUUUUGGGGACCAAGCCACUUUGCCUAUAAAUAGAGGUCACAACACACGCAAAAGGAGGAGAAAAAUUUUACAGGGGAACAAUUUUAAGACAGAGAAAUUUAGGGCAACAAAAAAUAAACCUAAACCUAAAUUAUUUCUCCCAAGCCAGCCGACUGCCUCCCUCCCUUUGCAAAAAAGGUCGGCCGCCGCUUCCCCCAGUUUUGGUUCCCUUUGGCUCCUUCUUAAACCUUCAGCCCCUCCAUCACUAGGGUUCCCAUUUCCACGAUCUCCCCUAAGCUGGCCCCUGACCCAUUUCCGGGCAUUGCCAGCAGUGGCGCUGCAUGGAGCAAAUGCGCCGUCAUUAUUCUGGCAGAUUCCAGAAGGCUUUCCACUGAUCUUGUAGUUUCUGGGGGCUUAUUUUGUAAUUUUUGAAUUGUAUUUGAUACAUUUAAAAUUUUUGUUAUUUUGAAACAUGUCAAAAUGAUGUGUGAGUUGAGCAUAAUAAAAAAAAGUGAUGUUAGUGUGUGUGUUUGUGUUUUUUUUAUGUAUGUUUUCUUUUAAUGUUAAAAUUAAAAAAAAAGGUGAAAAUGUGAUGUUAGUGUGUGUGUGUGUGUUUGUAUUUUCUUUUAUGUAUGUUUUCUUUUAAUGUUAAAAUAAAAAAGACAAAAAUAUUAAAAAGAAGAAAAAAGAAUUAAGUGUUUAAUUUGUAUAUGGUCAAGUAUUUUAAGGACAAAUAAAAUCAUGUUGUACUUAUUUUGAUUAUUUUAAGGACAAGUAUUUUUUAAUUUUUUUAUAUGCUAGAUUUGAUUUUUAUUAUUUUUAUUUUUAUUUAUUUUAUUUAAAAUAAUUUAUAAAAUUAAAUUUCUUUUUUAAUUUCAUUAUCUUUAUUUUUUAUUUUUAUAAUAAACUUGAACAGAAAAACUCAAAUAUUAAUAAGUUAUUUUUCAAUUUAUUUUUUAUGACAUGAACAAACAUUUGAAAUUAUUUUUUAACAUAUUUUUUAAUUUAUUUUUCUUAACACUAUUAAAUAUAAAUAAAUAACUUACUUUGUAAGAAUUUAUUUUCUAUAAAAACUACCUUUUAAAAGAAACUACUUUAAAUAAACGGGGCUCAAAUCUCACUCUCAUGGCUUUAUUUUUCAAGUUUUAAGAGAUAGAUAGACCUUCAUAACCGCAUGUGGUUAUUUAUCAUGAUAUUACCUUCUUCUGGAGUUAGGACAUGAUGAAAAUAGGCAAACAGAACCUAAUAAUUUAGUCAUUCUCAAUGUUUUGGAAGAUUUUUGCGAAAGAAAAAUUAUUACAAAUUUCCCUAGUCAUGAUCAUAUCCAUGACAUCUGACAAAAUUAUUAUAAACAGAAUUUUUUUUUGCAAACAUUUAGAAAAAAGAGUUUAUUAUUUGGUGAAAAACAACUAGUCAUCACCCAAAGAAACCGAGUGAAUGAGAAAAAAAGACAAAUAGCUAGAAAACAAUCAACAGAUCCAAGAACUUUCUGUAUGGUUUCCAAGAAAAUAAAAAGAAACGAGCAGCACAUGUUUUGAGUCUAGUGUAUUAACCUAGAAGGAUUAAAAUCAAUAAUUUCUUCUAAAUGAUCAAAACAUGUUGUUUUGAAAAGACCAAAAAUAUCAAUUAGAAAUCUUAUCAAGUUUUGACUAGAUUACAAAUCAAUUCAUCAUCAAAUCAAUCGGGUCAACCUAUAUUAAUGUUGGGUUAACUUUUUUUUUAUACCCAACCCGAGCAAGCUGACGGAUUGUUCAAGUCAAGUUUAAUAACAAUGUUUUCAUCUAUUUAACUAACCCUUUUAAUCUAUAUAUUUGCGUUGAUGUAUUUUUUUUCAUUCCACAGUAAAAGAAAAUCUCUUGAUUUCUCAUGAACAAUCUUAAAACUGUUCUUCAAGAUUCUGAAGGAAAAGACAUUAAAGAAGCUUCUUAUGACAUGCAGUUUCAACGAAAACUCCUUCACGCUAUUUUCCAAGAUACUUCUACCCACUAGAAACCUGGAAAAACUUAAAUAAUAUCAGCAAAAGUUUUGUUGUCAAUGAACAUGGCAGUAACAGGUUGGGAAUGUGUCAGCAUGCGAAGUGCCAAAGGGUAAAAGUAUUAUUAAAGAGGCGUGACACAAACGAAGCUACCCCUUACCUACUCCUGGGAAGGAAUAUAUGUCAGACUAUACAGCUUUUUCAAUUCAUUAAUGUCGUUCUCUGUUUGUCUUCUAAAACCUACUCCCAUCAUAUACAUGUAUUAUAUUCUUAAAAUUGCUCUAUGGGAUUGCAGGUCAUGCUCGUUUGAUUGCUUUUUUUUAUAUUCUUUUCAUGCCUUGCAAAUAAGGCAGGGAAGGAGGACCUGAAAUCACGGCAGCGAAUAAGGAGAGAAAUAGCCCGUUUGUCUUUGCUUCUUUCUUUUAGUAUUUUUGAAAAAUAUUAAUUUUUUUACUUUAAAUUAUUUUUUUAUAUUUUCAUAUUAUAUUGAUAUAUUUCUAAAUAAAAAAAUAUUUUAAAAAACAACCGCUAACACACUCUUUUUAAAGCUAUUAAGUAACCAGUCCCUAUAAUUUUUCAACAUUGCAUUUUGGUACCAUCCAUUUUUUUCUUGUGUUCAUACUUAAAACCUUCUUAAAGGAUUCUUAUUAAUAGCUUUAAAACCUCUCUCUCAAGAUUAAAAGGUUAGAAAUAACUUUAUGCUCUCUAAAUCUAACAAAACCACCAAGUACCCUUAAAAUCAAAACCAUCAGUUUAGUACAAGAACUUUUAGCUGUUAGCUUUUAUCCAGAACCUUUUACUUUGAUCAAAUGGUUAAACUUUCAUUAAUUUUUGAGGGAAUCCACAAAAAAACCUAGAAAAACCUAUAAAUACUCUUGAAAAUUAGAGCUGGAGAGGAGGAGAAAAUGAGAGAAAAAGAGAGGAAAAACGUGAGUAAAUAAUUUGUUAAUAGACUCUAUUACGAAGAUUCAAGAGCCUAAUAUAAAAGGUCUAACCAGCUUAAAAAAAAAAAAAAAAAAAGGAAAAGAAGGAAGGAAAAGAGAAGAAGAAAAUAACAACGUAAUUUUGAACUAAAAAGGCCUAAUUUCAGUGAAAGUUAAGAGCAUUAGAGACUAGACCGUGCUUAUACCGAAAGCGACUCUCAUCGUUGAAGGAAUGCAAACGGUUGUUAACGAGACACUUAUGUCGUUCCAACAUUCAAAGGUUGUUGAAUCUAGUACUGGUGCUCAUUCUGGAUCUAGUACCAAAAGGAGAAUAUAGAAAGAGAUAGUAGUGAAUUAAUUAUCUUUCAUUCAGUAGUAGGAUAAAAUUUAAUUAUCCUAAUACAAGACUUAAUACAAUUUCAUAGUUGUGGAACACUAACUAGAUAUAAAGAAAAAGUACAAAUUACAACAAAAAAUACAGGUUUUGAAGGUUGAUGACUCUCUCGACCAACUACGGUUUCAAAUACGAUGUGCACUAAGACUAACACUACUCUGUUAGCAUGAGCAUUCUAGCUGGCAUACCAUAAGUUCAUAUCAUAAUCAAACAAACAAAUUCAUAUCUCAAGGCCCAACUCAUGACAUUAAUAAAAUAAGAAGCUAUCAAUUCAGAAGUCAAUUUAGAAGUAUAUAUUGGCUUAUAUCAAUAAUUCAGAUUCAAUAAUUGAUUAUGUUUUAUCAUAACAAAGAUAAUAAUCAACAUAUAUAUUAUCAAGAAGCACAAUCCAAUUCAUAUUAACAACUCAAAUAUUUAUAUUAUUUCUCAUGCAUAUGAAAUUGACUUAAAAGUGAACAGAACUCAAAAGCAAAUACCGAAGAAAAUCUUACUGAUAUUCCGCAUGUAGAAUAUCAAGAUUAUCUAAAUACAAAGGAGACAUAUUAUAAAAUGACUCGAAAAGAACAUACAACCUAUUUAAUACACUUAAUUAAGGGUCUAUUUCAUAACCCUAUAUAUUUUUUUUUAACUAAACUAGUUAUUUUUCCCAAAAACCAAAAAAGUAAACGGUUUUCCGGAAAUCUAAUUCAUAAUAAAAAAAAUAAUGAGACUUGAUAAUAAUUCACUAAAUAACCAUCAAUUAUUUAUCAAAACAAUAUGAAAAAGCUAAUAUUAAAGCUAAGGACCAAUCUGGAAUUUUAUCAUAUUUUUAGGGGUCAAAUUAUAAUUUUAUCAAAUUGGAAGACCAAACUAAAAAUAUCAUAAAUUCAUGACUAUACUGGAAUUCUGCCCAUAAUUCAUCCUCAAUUCUGCCCAGAAUCUCAAAUUAUGCUCCAGGGACCACUAUAGAAUUUUAUCAAAUUUUUAGGGUCAAGUUGUAAUUUCAUCAAAUUGGAGGACCAAAGUGAAAAUGUCAUAAAUUCAUAACUAUACUGGAAUUCUACCCAUAAUUUAUCUUUGAUUCUGUCCAGAAUCUCGGAUUAUACUCCAGGGACCAAUCUCUAUUUUUUCCAAAGUUCAGAGACUAAAUUGUAAUUUUCACAAAUUGAGGGACCAAGCUGAAAUUUCAUAAUCUUCAACCUCAAACCAGAAUUUACAUAGAUAACCUACUGAUAUAUCAAGAUUUCUAACUCAAAUUCACCAUUUAAAUAAACCAUAACUCAAAAUCAUCAUUUUUACCUAAAAUCUUUCAAAAUCAACUAAAUAACUCAUUACCCAUAACACUCAACCCAUAAUUUUUUUGUAAUGUAAUUGUAAUUCCUAGCAUAAUGCAUAUUCGAGGGCAAGCACAACUACUCAAGAGCAAAGAAACUUGAUGAAAUAGCAAAAGAAAAAGACUUGAAGGACUGAAAUAAAAUAAAACCAAAAAAGAGGGAUGAAAAAAGUAACCGCAUUCUGGUUGCCAUAAAAAACAUAGUUCUUUUAGUAUUUUUUUUUAAAAUAUUGUAAUAGGUCAAUCAUAUUACCCGAGUGUGUGACACAGAGAUGAUCAACAUAGAAAAUUACUUUUAAUUGCUUCAACUUUCCUCGUCUAAAUAAAAGAUUAAGAGUUUUCAUGAUUGGGAGGAUGUUAUAUAUUUUGGGUUUUGAUGGUGAUUGUGAAGGAUUUGUGAGAUGAAUUAUAGUUUGGAAGUAAAAAUUAGUGACUUAUGAAGCAUAUAGAGAAGAUGAGAAGUAUUAGGGUUUUUUUGAGUGAGAUCGAGAUGUUAUUUGAAUCGGGAUGAAGAAAGAUAUUUGAGAGGAAAUGUGAUUUUAAGAAGUAUAAUUACAAGAAUUGUAAUUUAAUGUAUUCAAUUGUAGUUUUCAACACACCUCUACUAAUCUUUGCCAUUUGUAUGAAGAUAUCGAAAGAUUCGAGUCUCCGUUCUAGCUCAGGUUGGAAGCUAGGCCGAAGGCUAAGCUUCUUUUAAUUAUGAAUUGUUUAUGCAAAGGAAACCCAGAAGCUUGAACAAACAGAAAUGCCUUGUUGAUUUCUCUGCUACUACUCAUUAUUUCCAAUAUUAUUCCAUUAUCUUACCCGAAAGCAAUUAUACAAGAAAUUUCAUUAUCCCGCCCCAAAAGGCAAUUUAUUACAAGGACUUCCUUUAACCUCCUUUAAGGCAAUUUAUUUGAUGAAAAUAACCUCCUUUAAGGCAAUUUAUUUGAUGAAAAUUCCUUUAAUCCACCUCAAAGACAAUUUAUCUUAGGGAAUUCCAACGACCCAGGCAAUUUAUUUCUUGGAAAUUCCUUUAACCCGCCCUAAUUAAGGCAUUUUAUCUAAGGGAAUUCCAAAAUCAAUUUAUUUAUUGGACUCAGGAUUCUUUGAUACUAUUUAUUUAUAUAUAAUUUAACAACACUUUUAUCUUACAUUUAAAAAGAAAUUCAAAAGUAAGGAUAACCCUUACCUAGAGCUCCUGUGGUUCUUGCUCCCGAGAGAAUUGGCUCCAUUCCUGACAAAUCUAUUACCAAAAACCCAAGUUUCAACCAAUCAAUAACAUCAACACCCAUUUUAAUUCAAUGCAAUAAGUUUUUCUUAACCAAUUUACUUGAUGCAAGUUCUUAUAAUCAAAGUGACAGUAUUCAGGGUGAAGACAAGCAGAAGGGCGUGUAUUAAUUUUAUUUUUUAAUGUUGAGUUUUUUUAUUGAAUUUUAUUUGUCAAUAUUAAAUUAAUUAUAAAUUAAAUUUUAUAUAUUUUUUUAUCAUAUAUAAAAAAACAAAGUAAUCUCAUCUUUUGAUACGAGUGGUCCAAGAUUCACCAUGACAUGGUUGUAGUUUUUUUUUUUGCCUUUUUCUUUUAAAAAUGUUAUGUCAUUUAAUUUAUAAUUAUAAAUUAAAUUCUUUUUAUUGGUCAUUUUAAAUUUUUUUACUUUUUUUAUAUAUAAUUUUUUAAUUUUAUAUUUUAUUAAUGUUGAGUUUUUUUAUUAAAUUUUAUUUGGCUAUAAACCAGAACUUUUUAUUUUUUAUUUUUUGGACAAGCAGAGACAAAUUAAAUAAACAAAGUAAUCUCAUCUUUUGAUAUAGUUGUAGUUUUUUAUUAUUUGUUUUUUGCCUUUUUCUUUUAAAAAUGUUAUCUUUGGUAAGGAAUCCUUGGUUCCCAACGGCAACUGUAGCAGAGUUGACGGUUGCGUAAAAACAAAUCUCUAAACUCCACCGAAAGUAGUGGAGCAUUAGAGUUUUAAAAGACAAAACGGGAACAAGUGGGAGACGGAGAAAAAGACAAUAGUAGGUGGUCUAAGAUACACCGUAUAUAUGAUAAUAAUAAAACAAGUGUUUAGUUCCCGUUUGUUUGCUGGAAAAUAGUUUUUUUUUAAAAGUAAAUUCCGGGGAAAGUGAAUUCCGGGAAAGUAUUUUCCGAUGUUUGGUAGUGUAAUGGAAAAUAAGUUGGAAAACAUUUUCCAGUGUUUGGUUAUGUCAUGGAAAAUGAGCUGGAAAAUAACUUAUUAAUGUUUUAUUUUUCUCAAGUUUAUUAAAAUAAUGAGGAACAAAUUUUACAAAUUAAAAAGGUGAAUGAGAAUGAAAUUGAAAAAAAAAAAAUUUCAUAAAUUAUCUCAAAUAAAAUAAAUAAUAAUCAAAAUAAUAGAGAUCAAAUCUAAAACAUUAAAAAAAAUAAAGGUGAAGAAAUUAAAAUAAUAAUAAUUAACAUUUCAUAAAUUAUUUCAAAUAAAAUAAGUAACAAUUAAAAGAACGAGGACCAAAUUUGAUAGAUAAAAAAUUUCAAUAAAAAAAUGAUAAGGAAAAAACAAAUAUCAAUUAUAAAAAUAAGGACCAAAAUUAAUAUAAAAAUUAAAUUUUAAGAGAUGGAAUUGAAAAAUAAAUAUUCAAAACAAAUUAUAUAUAACAAUCAAAAGUUUGAGGAUCAAAUUUGAUAUAAUCAGCAAAUAAUGACAUUUCUAAUUUUUUCAUAACUUCCGGAAAGUGUUUUCCGCCCAAAUUUUCCAGGAAAACACUUUCCUGAAAACCAAGCUAAAUUUUCCUUUGACUGGAAAGUGUUUUCCGUUGACCAAUUUUCCUAAUGGCAAACAAACACAUGAAAGUUUGGAAAGUGGUUUCCCGGAAACCACUUUCCGGAAAACAAACACAGCUAAAAGGGAAAACACUUUCCUGGAAACCAAACCAAAUUUUUCUUUGACUGGAAAGUGUUUUCCGUUGACUGGAAAGUGUUUUUCGUUGACCGGAAAGUGUUUUCCUUUGACCAACUUUUCUAAUGGCAAACAAACACAGGAAAGUUUGGAAAGUGGUUUUCCGGAAAGUGAAUUUCGGGAAACAAAUAUGGCCUAAAACAACUCUGAAAACAAAAUUUUUUAUAAUUCAUAAUUUAUAAACACAUGCGAUAAAAUAAAUCAUACUGCAUGUUUUCAUUUGGCAUUUAAUUCCAUGAACAUGAUUUUUUUAGAUUAAUAUGGAUAUCCGGGUCAGCUUGUGUAUCUCGACUAAUCUCAUGAAUCCUAAAAUUAACGAUUAUAUGAGCAUUUAGCGGGCCUGGAGUUUGUGAGAUUCAAACUAAUAAUUUUUAGAGAACAAAUUCAGAAUCUGACCAGUUGAGCUACACUUAUCGGAAUUUCAUUAACAUGAUCUUACUUUUCAAUCAAAUUGCUGCGACCAUAUUAGACUUGUAAUCAGACCAUUAAUUGACUGUUCUUGACUAGCUAUUGUUUCUCAUUGGCAAGAGUCAUUGCCAAUUAUCAUAACAUGUUAGUGAUCUAUUACAACUAGUCUAGCAUCGACAGAGUUGUUAUUUAACCAUUAAAUCAAUUUAUAAAACAUUAUUGACUAGCUAUCUAACACUAGCAACUAAUCACUGAUAAUAUUUAUGCAAAACUUGUAGCUUAAUACGAACUCUCAGAAAUGUGGGUGGGGCAACUCAAAGUACAGGGAGAGUGGUAACCUCUGAUAUAUAACAGAGAAAAUUAACAACAGAAAUCUAGAUACUUCAAUAAAUUAACACACUGACUAAUAAAUCCCCCCCACCAUCAUCCAGUUAUCACAGGUGCAUCUACAAUGAACAGUUCUCGAGAAGAAACUCAAGAAACGCAUAUAAAGCUACAUGAUGACAUAAUAGGAACCUGCAUUGCCUCCAUUCCAUGAUGAAAGUUCAAGAAAUUCUACUUCGAAACUCAAGACAAAGUCUCUCAGACUACAUAUUAGUGGGAUUUCUAUAAACAACUGAUUCUAUUGCAAAGCAACAUUAUGAAAAACUGAAUAUUUCACACAUAGUCUAAUAAAAGUAGGUUCCAUUGUCAAUUCCUUAACAUUUUCCGAACAAAUCACAGUUGCUCCUCGUUUGAUACUUUCUUGAAGGUUUCUUUUCUCUUAUUACCAAUUUCUGUGAGUUUGUGAUUUUUUAUCUGUACCGUAUCAUCCGAUCAAUUACUAGCUAGAACCACACAACUAAUAUGUAAAUUCACAAAUUCCCUACAGUUCAUAUUGCCAACAAACUCCUCUUGCCAUUCCCUAAUUGCACUGAGCCAGCUAAUCUGGAUGAAAGUUAUCGAAGAGGGGAAAAGACAGAUGAAGAUCUGCGCAGGGCUACCUGUUUUGAGAAUUAUGGAUUUUUAUCACUAAAUCAGAACGGCGCCAAUUAUAAGUUCAAUAAGAAAAAAUCUGUAACAGAACAGAUGGAAAAAACUCGAAACAACUUGGCUAGAAUUUAGAAAAGAAAUUCAGAAUGAGCCAAGAUUUUAAGUGAGAUGAAACUUUGUUCUUUGAAAAAAAUAAUUAAUAUGAGAUAUACUUUUCAUUUUAGUGAACCUUAAAGCAGAGCCAACAGUUAAGUAAAAGUUAUCAAUAGCUGUGUAAACCAUUGAAACUGUUACCGUUGGUGCACCCUCGAUUACACCAUGGAUUCACAUAGUGCAAUUGUUAUUUUUUAAAAAAAUUCAAUGUUAUUUUUUUAUUAAUUUGAACCUUUUUUUGUCAACAUGUUUCGCAAUUGGCCUUGGUAUUUUGUUUUCAUUUUCUCUAUGUUGCCUUCUUCUGUAGAUAAAAAACAUCAUGUCUUGGGGCUCGUGCUUGAUAGUGCAAAAUUAAUGACACAAUAAUCAAAGAACACAAAAAUUUUUAUAGGCAAAAGGAAUUGAAGAUGUAAACCCUAGAAUUCGUAAGUUUAUUUUCUCUAAAAUAAUAAUAAUAAAAAUAAUAAUAAAGUCUAUCUUUUUAGGAGGUUUACAAAGCCUUAAUUAAAUAGGUUAAGAACCUUACCCCAACUAGGAAGCAAAAAUAAAAAUCCAAAAUUAUAAAGGAAAGAAGCAUAAAAUCCGAAAUAAAUAAGAAAUCUAAAAAUAAUAAGGAAAAUCACAAAAAUUACCAAAACUAGAGGCCUCAAUGAGAUUUUUGAUAUCUAAAGAUCCGAUGGUCUGCAUAAAAAUUUGAGCACAAUCCAACAAUUAAAUAAAAAAUUAUGACUCUUUUGAGUUGUUAUUCUAGUCUAGCGUGACCAAACCUUCUCUUAGGCUUAAACAUGUUUCAUUGGUCCAUAAAUACAUUUGCUAGGCUAUCAACAUAAUUUAUCUAGGACAAAUCUUAAUCUAGUUAUGACAAACUCACACCUAACUGCUUAGAAUCACUAAUUAUUAUAGGAUUGACUACAUCAAAAUUGGUCGGUUUUUUUGUUUUCAAAGAGAUUUAAACUUGAUGUAGAUGAAAGUUAUAAACACAAUAAUCAAAGAACACCAAAAAAUGUAUGAGCGAAAGAGACUGUAGAUGUGAACCCUCAAAUUCCCAAGUUUAUUUUCUCUAAAAUAAUAAUAAUAAAGUUUGUCUUCUUAGGAGGUUUACAAAACCUUAAAUAUGUUAGGAACCUUACCUCAACUAGGAAACAAAAACAGAAACCCAAAAUUACAAAGGAAAGAAACAUAAAAUCAAAAACAAGCAAGAAAUUAAAAAAAUAACAAGGAAAAUCACAAAAACUACCAAAACUAGAGGCCUAAACAAGAUUUUUUAUAUCUAAAGAUUCGAUGGUUCACGUGAAAAUUUGAGCAUGAUCAAAUAAUCGGAUAAAAAAUUAUAAUUUUUUUAGCUUUUAUUCUAGUUUGACGCGACCAAACUUCUUCUUGAUCCUAAACUUGUUUCAUUGGUCCAUAAAUACAUCUCCAUGACUUUUUUUUUUUGUUUCACUAUAAAUGAAGUUUGACCAUCAUCAUAUAUGGUUUGACUUAGCCGUAUUGGUUUUCAAUUAUAUCAACUUUAUAUAUUAUGGGUUUACAUUUACUAUUUUUUUUAAAAUGCUCACAAGUCCAUUUUUCACACCUCAAACUCAUAACUGCAGCGAUUCGUAGGCAACGAAACUAAUUAGAGACUAGAGAGUAAACAUGCUACUAAAGUUUGCAGGUGAGGGUAUAGAUUAGAUUAUUUGUUGUGUUGUUUCAAAUAUUAGAGCAGUCUCAACUCAUUAAAUAAACAAGUGGUGCAUUGAUCCUUGGACUCAAAUCAUAUAUACACGGUGAGCUCAUUUGUGUUUUUAUUAUUUGUUCCUCCCUGUACUUGUAGCAGGAGAGAAGCUGCUCUCAACUUUGAAGGAAUGCAAACAAUUGUUAAUAUGAAACAUAUUAUGUACAAAUUAUAAUAUUUGUAAGAAGCCGUUUUGCUGCCCACCGGCGGCCAUCUGAUCAGAGAACAAUAUUAUAUUUUUUAAACCCCUUCACUCUCGUAAAAACAAUUUAUAUGAUUAUAAAUAGGAAAGCAUAGAAAAAAAUAGGAUUAAAUAUUUUUAGAGAUUACAUAUUAUUGUUUUAGUUUUUUUUCUUGAUUAGAGAUAAGUUGAAUAAAAGUAGUAAUAAUUUAUUUUUGUGAAAAAAGGUUACUACAACUCCUGAUAAUUAGUUUCAUGUAAAAAAUAAAAAUAAAAAUAGUAACUAAAAUUUAUUUUAGUUAUGUUAAUAAAAUUUUAAAGAUAUUUUAAUUGAAUUAAGUAUUCCAACACAAAAUUUAUGUUCUUAUACAGUUAUAUAUUAAUUCUAACAAAAAAUAUGGUUUCUAUGUUUAGAUUUUGGUAUUAAUAACGCAUACAACAAUGAGGCAGUUAAGUUUCUUCGAUAAAAUAAAAUCAUUUAAAAAAUAAAAAUAAGCUAGUAUGUUUGUUACAUAACAAAAAAAAAUGAUUUUUUCUAAAAAUGAUUUUUUAAAAAAUAAUUUUAAUAGACUGAUAUUAAAAAUAAAUUUUAAAAAAUAAAAAUAUAUAUUAUUUUGAUAUAUUUUCAAGAGAAAAAAAUUAUGAAAAGAAAUUGUUAAUAUUUGAUAUAUUUGAUUUAUGGAGCUAUGAUAAGGGAAUCGUGCUUGUAACACAUAUAACAAUAUUUACAUAGUAACAAGCAUUAUUAAAGAUGCUACACUAGUUGAUUUACAUAUAACAAUAUUUACAUAUAACAAUAUUUACAUAGUAACAAGCAUUAUGUUUCCAAGUGCUAUCAACAAAUAUUAUAACCUCUUAAUUUAUACAAGGAUUGAGCUAAAUUGAUUUAUCAAAUAUUUUAUGUUUUUUUUUUGAAAUAUUGUUAUAGACAUAGAAUCAACAAGUUUAUGUGACAUUCUAUAUUGAUUUUGUGAUAUUUUAAUCACUAAAAGUAUGGGUUUCAGAAAAAUAAAAACCAAACUAAAAAUUGAAAAAAUUAAAAAAUUUCAAACCAACCCAAUCCAAUUUUGUGUUUUUAAAAAUAUCGUAAUGAAAAACACAGCAUUCGAAAAAAAAUACAAUUAAAAAAAAAAUCGUUAGUUUAAGAAAACACCCCCUUCUUUGCAAUUAUUGUCAAUCCCCCACGUGGCUACCCAUAAUUGGACUGUCAAACUGGCAAGCUACAUCCCCAUCUCAAUCAUCACAGCUGUAUAAAUUUCUCGCUCAAGCCAAAAACAGAAACGCACAAAACCCCUCCCCCAACGGAGAAUCAAAUGAUAGCUAGAUGUCUGUGUAACCGACCAAUCGCGUUACCAAAGGAGCCUGCCUAGUACUGACGUGUCACUCUAACAUUUCCAUGACCAUAACAAUAAUAAUCAUAAUCCAACCAUGCCUUACUUUUUUAUUUUGUACCUUAAUAAUCUACAAUUACACUCUUGAAUUAUCCCUCAUUUUUUCAAUGGUAAAGAUAUCCUCGUGUCUGUCACCUUCUACAUUAAGUUUUAUAAAAUUCUUGAUUUUUUUUAAAUUAAUUUUUCAAGUUUUAAUUAUGAAUUGUUUAUGCAAAGAACCAAAAGAAAAAGAAAAAAUUUCUCAAUGUUUUCUGUUACUUGUUUAGCAGGAAAACAUGAAAAAUUAAAUAGAAACAGAACAUCAAAACGAUAGAGAAAACAUGCUGACGAGGAGCAUGAAACUCCACACAUUAAACUAUAAGCACCCACAUGAGUAACCAUUAUGCCCUUGUUUUUGAAGGUUCAGACACUUGAAAGAAACACAAAUGGGCAAACAAACACACGCCCUUAUUUUUCUGGUGCUUCACACAGCAAACACUUAGAUAGAUAAGUCGAUAUCUUCUUUUGGGGGUUCUAUGGUAAAUAAGACUGUUACAAUGUGAAGCCAAUGAAACAGUAGGAAUUACUUCCACCAAUCAAAUUCUUCUUCUUCUCCUCAUUCUUCCCAUCCAUCAUCUCUGGUCCACAUUAUGUAAGUGUUGGUUGGCACCGAGCAAUCAUCGCUUGAAUCCUCAGCUACUUGAGAUAUCUGUAAACCAAUUCAAGCAUGACGUACAUAUUUUAACUUGUAAAUCUUUUUUAUUGAGUGAAACUAGAAAGAAAUCAAAGUCAGAUCAGCAGCACCUUAUAUCGAGCACUCAUUGAACCAUUUGGUGUAGUGUCAAAAUUUGUAGUCAGCUUUGGGCAUUCAGACACCUUCAACUUCUUCAAACGAGGGAACAAGAAAUCAUAAUAUCCGAGAAUGAAGGAGAUAAUGCUUGGUAAUUGUUCUAGCGACAGCUCCCGCAGAUUAGGGAGCACCAUCUCCUCAACAUCGACAGGUAAAGCAUUAAUAUCAUCUUGCCCAAAGACUCCCAAUAAUCUAGAAGCUUUUGUUACUCUAAGUAUUUUGAGCUUCGGGAGACCUGAAGCCAUGGCUAUUGGGAAGAGAUUCUUCAACUUUCUGCAUUCUCUGACCUCAAUUUUACACAAACUAGGAAAGCAUAAAGAUUGAAGAUGACUUACUGACAAUAUCUGAUCCCUUUCAUCAUCAUCUUUAGCAAUGAUUUGCUCAAGUUUCUCGCAUAACCAUAUCUUUAGAACUUUUAGGUGAACUAGACCGGCAAUCAUGCUGUAAGUGAACACAUGUGUGAUUCUCUUACACUCAUUCACCUCUAAAGUAGUCAAAUUACUCAGCACGAGACUCUUCCAUGUACUGCUCAUGCUUGUGUCAGGCAGGGACUUCAAUUUUAAUGUUUCCAGACUUGUUAACCCCUGCAUCAAAAGAAAACAAGGGCACCAAUUUGUUAGAUAUAAUUCAAAGUAAUUUCUGUGCACAUUCAAACUAUAUUUAUCCCAAUACUUCAACCAAAUUCUUAUCACAGAAGGAUACAAACAGACAGGGCAAUAAGGCAUGGGACUGUGAAAUCAUAAGUCGCAGGAGUGAAACAAACAGCUCAUUAUUAACAGACGGAGCUUUAUCGUCCCGUCCACAUACUUUCAUUAUUUGGGGGAAGAACCUCAAUUUCACUGUGAUUGGGAAUGCAUAAAGAUUGAAAAUAUAGGACUCAUUUCAUUACAAUAAGUAAUUUCUAACUUCUUAAGCUCUGCAUCAAGAGACAGGGAAUGAGAUUGUUAGAAAUUUAUCUAAACUGAGUGGAUGGCUAAAGCAUUUAUCUUCACCUAUCAACUACUUCAGUUUUAGAAAUUUGGAGGAAGAAAGAAGAAAUUACCACAAUGUAUCGAAGUUGAGAAUUUAACUUGAAAAGGAAAAAACAUUAGCGGAGAAAUAUAAAGGACGUACUUGAAGCUGUGCCAACAAAUUACCCAAUUCUUCGUGGCCAAGGAUGCUUAGAUUUUGCAGAAAAGGUAAUUGGGCAGCACGAUUCUUUGGACCAAAAAAGCUGGAAUUUGAUUUAGACGAAAGAUCCAUUUCUCUUAGUCGAGGCAACUUGAAGAUGCCAUCUCUGGGGAGUGCAUCUUCUUCCUCGCUAUAAAAUAUUUGCUUUAAAUUGUCAGCAAAUAUAGUCAUCUGUUCCAGGUUCAGAAGACUUGGAGCCACGGAGACAGGGAAGACAUAUUCCAGUUUACCACAGUGUCUAAUUGUCAUCUGUUUCAGGUUCACAAGACUUGGAGACAGAGAGCUAGGGACGACAUAUUCCAGGUUAUCACAGUCAGAUAUAAGUAGAGUUUUUAAUUUUUGGAAGCUUAGAAACUCUGGAAUUAUUGCCCUUUCAUCAUCCUGUUUUCUGACAAUAUACUUCAAUUCAUCGCAACAGCUUACCUCAAGUGUUUCUAGCUGUAGUAGACUUUGAGCGAGGGACGGUGUGAAGAUAAAGGUCAGUUUUGCAAGAAGAAACAACUUCAGAUGAACAAGAUUUUGCGAAAAAGGUAAUGGGGCAGCAACAUUCUUUGGACCAAAAAAGCUGUAAUUUGAUUUAGACGAAAGAUCCAUUUCUCUUAGUUGAGGCAACUUGACAAUGCCAUCGCUGGGGAGUGCAUCUUCUUCCCCGCUAUAAAAUAUUUGCUGUAAAUUGUCAGCAAAUAUAGUCAUCUGUUCCAGGUUCAGAAGACUUGGAGCCACGGAGACAGGGAAGACAUAUUCCAGUUUACCACAGUAUCUAAUUGUCAUCUGUUUCAGGUUCACAAGACUUGGAGACAGAGAGCCAGGGAAGACAUAUUCCAGUUUAUCACAGUCAGAUAUAAAUAGGGUUUUUAAUUUUUGGAAGCUUAGAAACUCUGGAAUUAUUGCCCUUUCAUCAUCCUGUUCUGUGAUGAUAUACUUCAAUUCAGCGCAGCGGCUUACCUCAAGUGUUUCUAGCUGUGGUAGACUUUGAGCGAGGGACGGUGUGAAGAUAAAGGUCAGUUCUGCAAGAAGAAACAACUUCAGAUGAACAAGACUUUGGAGGCUGACAUGUCUGGUGGGCCCCUUCCAUAUACAUUUGAGCUGAAGUAAACGUGACAGCUUUAACGUUAUUAAAGAUGACAGCAGCGGCAGCUCCUUCUCCUCCUUGCUUCCUUCACCCAAUUCAAAUACCUCUUCCAAUGAUUCGCAGCUCUCAAUAUUCACACUCCUUAGAUUUUUCAAAGCUUGCAGCAAUUUUGCUGGAAACAGAGUGCAGAUAUCCUCACACCCAUCCACGUCUACAAAUUCUAAUCUUUGUAAGAAGCCCUUUCGCUGCCCAGAGAACUGAGACAAUGAAUUUAUUAUAUUUUCUAAACCCGCCACCCUUUUAAAAACAAUUUGAGACACAGUAGGAAACAACUGCUCAAAUGUCUUUGCAUUUAAGGAUGUGGCGCUUAUACCACCCAAAAAUAAUCUUGUCGAGGUUGGGUAUCCUACUGGAUCCCCUGUUGAUGAAUAAUAAUUCCCUAAUAUUAUAUCAUAUUUGUACAACCUGGGAAAAACAAAAUCGCUUGGCAUGGAUUUAACCUCCGGUAUCCUCAAUGAUAAUACAGCUAACUGAGACAAUGAAUUUACUUCUUUUAGGCUUGCAUUCAUUAUUCCAGUGCUUGUCCAAACAUCCCAUUCCUUAAAGCUGUCUUUCCCGAUCAGCAGUUCUUCUAAUUUCUUCAACCUUCCAAUCAAAUUCAUAGGAAUUUCUCUUAGACUCUUACAACCUGUCACAUCCAACAACCUUAACUCCUUGAGCUCUCCUACUCCUUCAGGUAAUGUUUCAAUGUAGUAGCACCUCAUAAAACAAAGAAUCCUAAGUCUUUGCAGCUUUCUCAACAAAUUUAGGCCAUUACAUUUACACUCGAUCAAAAGCAAAGAUAGAAGGUUAGAGAAAACUUCAAUUGCUGUCAUCUCUUUAAAAAAACUUCCUGGAACAUUCAAAUCAUCACCCAGUUCUAACAACAGAACUUUGAGCCGUGGACAUGCCAAUGCUUCAGGAAGUUUUGUUAGUUUAUUGCCCAAUAACGAAAUUGUUGUACAGCCUUCAACGCUUUCAAUACUCCUUGGCCACUUCUUCAAUACCAUGAAUCCAUAUUCUUCUGAUGAUGCUAUCUGAAUAGCAACAUCACGAACCAAGUCAUGCAUUUUCACAUGUUCUCCAGUUUCAGUGCCCAACAGCAUGCAAGAAUCUUUGAGGUCUUUGAUAGCUGCAUAAACUUGUUCCCUUGCAUCUUCAAUGGAUUUCACAUCUUGAUGUAACCCAUAGCCGACUGCAUAUCUCGUCAAGUCCUCAAUUGGAAUGUUGUAAUCUUCUGGAAAUAAACAGCAUAGCAAGAAACAUAACUUGGUUUCCUUGGGCUUCAAAUAAUCAUAGCUCAACUUAAGACAUGCAUAUGUUCGUCCAUCAAUUUCUCCCAGGUCUGGAAAUUGAGAGUUUUUGAGCAGUUUAGAUGCUGCUUCCCACUCAUAUGCAUCUUUACCUCUUAGAGCCCUUCCCACUGCUACAAGUGCUGUAGGCAAUCCUUGGCAUUGUCUCACAACCUGCUUUGCCACUAUGUUUAAGGUAGAUUCCCCAUCACUUAAACCUGCAAUGAUUUUGAAUAAAGCCCAUGCUUCAUUUUCAGACAAGAGACUUAAAAAAACUUUUUUCUGGCACCCCAUAUCAGAAGAUAUGUUUUCAAGACGUGUUGUUAAGAGAAUUUUACAACCCCUGUGAUCAUCACCAAAUGGGAUCCCUAUCUCUUUCAAGUUAUUAACUUUCCAAACAUCAUCCAGGAUUAUAAGCAUCUUCUUCUCUCUCAGCAGUCUCUUCCAUAAUCGUUCUGCUCUCCCUUCUUUACUCUUUUCAUCAAAAUGCCGAACUAAACUAUCUGCCAUUCUAUUCUGAAUGUCCAUGACAUCUGGAUUCUGCGACACCGUAACCAUCAAAACUUUAUCAAAAAGCUGCGACUCUGUGGCUAUCCUGCCUACUUCUUUCACCAGGGUGGUUUUACCCACCCCUUCCAUGCCGCACAGUCCGAUCACAUUGACAUUGUCAUCUUUGAGAGCUUUCAUAAUCUGUUUGAAAGCUUCUUUUGAUGAUUCUGCUAUGUUUGCUUUGUGGGACACUGUUUUAAACUUUUUGCUAUUGUCUUCAAGAUUUCUAAAAGUCUCCGUCUUCUUUGCCAAUUCCUUGCUUAACUUGAAUUGUCGUAUCCAAUUUGGACACCAAGUAAAGCAUUUGCCAUUUUUUCCUAUUUCAUUUUCCAAAGGAUUCACACCAUUAAUUUCGUUAUUAGCAUCUUCCAGCCAUUUGGUGACGUCUUUCUCAAUUUCUUCAGCAUUCCUUUCAGCAACGUCGACAGCAUUUUGCAGACGAUCUAGUGCUAAAGCAAGGUUCUGCUUUCGUUCAUUGAAUUCUUUAACACAAUUGUUGAAACCGAACAUGUAGCGGAACUGCCUUAUUGCUGGUUCCACCAAGAGUCCUGCUUUCUUAGAUAUAAUGGAUUCAUCAACACUUUCGAUAGCCAUUUUCCUCCCGUCUGAAUAUCAGAGAAAUAAGGAUGUCGACUGUGAGAGUGAGUAAUUACAAAUAAAACAGGCAUUGAGAGAAUGAGAAUAGGAAUUUUAUUACCUUAAUUUGUGAAAAUAUGUGCGAAAAUCACAGGUACUGUUUGCUCAAUAAAAUAUAGCGAGAAACAGAACAAGAAGGACUUCAGCUCUGUAUGGAAUCCAGCUUAAAAAACAAGUAGUCAAGGUAUAAGUAUACCAAUAAUCAAUUAAUCUCAUCGAUUUCCAUCUAUGUCAUGUAUAAAAGCCAUUUAUUGAUAGCAGUAGAUUUUUUCUUUCUUUCUAAUAUGCAAGUUUACGUUAAUAGGUAUAAUUUUCCGGAUUGAAAUUUGAUAAAAGAUUUCAUAAGCCUUGUUUUUUUUAUGGUGAAAAUGUUAAAUCCAUUGGAGUUUGAAAAAGCCUUCAAAUAAGGCCUAGAAGUAAGUAUUCGGGAUUUGUAACAUUUUUCUAGUAUGACACAUCAACUUCACUUGAUGCAACAAGUAGGACAGAGAAAUAUAAGACUUCAAGAGAAUUGUUUCACUAUAAAAUAGUUGAAAGUUCUUCUAUGAAUACUCAUGUUCUGAAGAUAAUCGGUAAUCGUUAUUUUAUAAAGUGUUGAUUUAGUAUUGUAAUCUUAUUUCAUAGGUAAGAAAUUGAGCCAAUUAACUUUGUCAUUUUAUAAAGGGUUGAUUUGGUAUUGUGAUCGUUAUUUCAAAGCUUUUCUUAGUCCAUUAUCAACUAUCACACUUGCAAACAUUUAUCAUGAAACAUAUAAUGUAUGCAAAAUAUAAAGACAACAACAAAUAACACAAAAACUAGUAGGAACACACUCACCUUAUAGUAGAGACAAACGAAUGAUUAUGAAUGGAAGGUUCACGAUCACUUGCACACUCACACACAUGAUAACUUCUAUCGAUCGAUUCCAACCACAAAUAUAAUUUAUCUAAGGAGUUAUGUAUGUGAUGUUACUAUAGUUAUGGUCUCUCAAGGCCUUUUUCAAAAAAGAAAAAGAAAAGGAUGAACAAGGGGACAUUAACGAAAAGAAUUGAAAAGGAGAAAAGAAUUAGUUGAAUGAAGGAAGCUCUCUGCCACUUCCCUAUAUCACACUCAAUGAACAUGAUUUACCCAUAAAGGAAAAAGAGACAUUCCUUACUUCAAAUUUGCUUUGCUUAUGAAGUAGGCUAAGGACAACAACAUCUGCAAGCUAAAGAGGGAUAAUCAUAAGAUUGUGGUUUGGGACAAAAGAAAGAAUUUUUCCAACAUCCGUCAUCAGUACCGGUGAAUAGGAUAGAAUGAAAGACUUCGGCCCCUUCUAUAUCAGUAUUUUUUAGAAGUUAUUUAAAUUAAAAAGCCAAAAAUAAAUGCAUCUACUGUUGCAGGAAUGGACUAAAAAGUCAGUUAAUCUGCAUAAUUAAAUACUGUUACUGUAAACUACUAGGAAAUUCAUGGGUAAAGCCACAAAAAAAAUGUAAAUUAUACAAGUUAACAAUAGCAUUGAGCAUUAAUUCGAUUAAGUUAAAGCCCUGGUGUGAAUAGAGAGGAUCUUGCCGUUUAAAAAAUAACCAUAGAAACUAUGGAACCCACUAUUUAUUAAUCCAUUUCUAUUUACUAUUUAUUUUUAUUUACUGUAUUUUUAUUUUGAUACCCAGUACCAAUAAAAUUUGAGAUUUCUUCAAUUUUUCAGGUGCAUGCACUAGUCUAAUGGCUUCAUGGUAUUUAUCCUUAACUAUCAGGCUAACCUUUACAGGCUUAGCUAGCAAUCAAUAAUUAAUAUUUUAAUGAAUUCAGUUUUUAUUUAAAAUAAGGAAAAGGACAUUGGUGAAUAAAUAGUUUCCUUAGAGGGCUAAUUUAGAAAAAGAUUUGGAUCACUAGAUCAACUUAUGGGAUACCUGGCCAAGGUCAACCUAUGAGUCAUAAAUCAAUCCAUAUCAAUUAUUUUUAUUAAAAUGAUAAUGUUUUGUUUUUUUUUCUUGAUAUUAAUUUGGCUAAUUUUGAUCAAAUCUUACCAAAUCAGCUGAAUCAGUAAGAACUUAACCAAGUCUGAUUUUAUAGAUCAAUAUUUUAUGUAGUUGAAUUAAAAAUUCAAUUCAAUUCUAGCUCCGAACCCUGAGUUUUGUUUGUUCAAUCUAGCAUACAGGUUUAACAAAUAUGCUUCUCACUUGCAGCUGUGGUUUGCUGCGGGCAUUUGGUAAUUGGGAGAGGCUUUAGUUUCGUACCUGUUGAUCGGGAUUCAUAUACACUUGGACCUCUUAUUUUAUUUUAUACUGGUUGGAUCCAAACUUAAUCCAAUACAAAAUUAACAUAUUUAUUAUUUAUUUAAGAUAAAUGAUAUCGCUUUAACAUAUUAGUGUACACUUAAUAUGAUUAAAUUUAAUUUAAUUAAUUAAAAUCUCACCGUAAAUUUUUUUACCAUUUGCAGCAAAAAAACAGUUGACACCUUAUUAAUAUAAUCAAUAUAGUACAAAAAUUAUAGUGAUUUAAAACAAUUCAUUAAAAUGUUCCUAAAUGUUUUUAUUUUGUGACAAGGGUUUUCGUGUUAUUUGUUAUGUAUUGUCACUGUCAUAAUCUAUUUCUAGAUUAUUUCUUAAAUUCCAUAAUUAGAUUUUUUAUAAGCCAAUUUGAUUUAAUCAUUGGUCAAAUUAAAUUUUAAUUAUGUUUAAAAAUUUAUUUGGAUCUAAUUGAAGGAUUUAAUUAGAUGCAAUGACUUAAUUUUACUUUAAAUAGAUCAAAUUAAUUUUAUUAGGUGGCUUAAUUGGUGAAAAAUUAAGUUUGGAAGCCCAAUUUGGGCUUAAUUGAGAAUAUUGGGAUUUUAGGAGACCAAAUUUAAUUUUUACCAAGUCAAUUGAUUCAAAUCAAGGGUAAAAUUGCAAGAAAAUCAAAGUUUUGGGGUCAAUUAAGGGCUAAAUUAAAGAAAUUCACAGCCAAGAACUAUUUUGCAAAAGACGUCAAACUAUAGGAACUCAAUUGAUUGAAAUCAACGGUGGAAUUGAAGAGAAUUGAAAGUUUAAGAAUCAAUUGAGGGUUAAAUUGAAUAAAUCCAAGACCAAUGACCAAAAUGAAAUAGGUGAUGAAAUUCGAGGCUGAUAUUGAAGUUCGGCAAGGGCAAAACUACUUAAAAUUAGAAGUUUAGGGUCAAUUAGGGGUGCAAUUCAAAGAAAUUAAAAGCUGGAGGACUAAACUGAACUUUGACCAAACCCCUAAAAUCAAACCUUAAGAGCCAAAACGAUGAUGUUUCAUUUAAAUGGAACAACACAAUUUGACCAAAACAACGCCAUUUUGACAAAACAGAAUCAAAACAAAAGGGGUAGACCAGAAGACGCAUUAUCUAGAUUGUUCAUCUUCUUCAUCAUUAGCCUCCCAGAAAGCUUCUCAAAUGGCUAAUUUCUCAAAGCAUUUAAUGUCUUGUCUCUCCACCAAAUUUGAAAACAUUUGCACGCAAUUAGUGGCCUAACGUCUGGUGUGGUCCUUUAUGGCCGAUUGAUGCCAUAGUGGUUGUGGCAUCGCCCUAAAGUGGCCAACCCGACCAGCCCUUCUGUAGUAACUUGUCAGGCCAUGAUUGCAACUUUAAAUCAAUUGUUGGGAUCCUACAAAGUUGAAUUAGAGGCCAAGAUUUGAAACCAUUAAAGACAAAAUGCCCCUCUUCCACACCCUAUAAAUAGAGGUGGAUUUCAUGACCUAAGGGAGGAAACAAUCGGGUCCAAAGUUGAUAAACAAUCAGCCUUCCCCCUAGUAUUUUAUAUGCCAUCAUAAUUUUUUUCUUCUUCUUCGCUGUCGUGAACUCGGCUUCUUUAGCCACCACAACCUCACCAACAACGUGACCUUUGGUGGCCCAGCACCCUUGCCACUCCAUCCCCUUGCCACUCCAUCACCUUGCCACUCCUCCCUUCUCCCUUAGACAAUAACCUCCGCAAGCUUCUUCUUUUUCAUCCCAAACCAAUAAUGACCCCUGCACCUUCAACCUCCACUCACUAGUAACAACACCAGCAACUCUAGCAAACCAAUAAUUGCCACCAUUUCAGUUUUGUUCUUCUCCAACACCGGCAGCAGUAGCAGCAGCAGCAGCUCCAACCACGCCAAUGUUUUCUCCUUUUUCUCUCUUCAACAGCCAACACCGCCCACCACCGUCUCCACCAACGGCUCCGACAGUAGUCGACAAAAAGACCAAUCAGCCACUCCUUCUGUAAUAUCCCAAUUUUGGAUUCUCCAAAAUUUUCUUGAAUGUUAUUUUUAUUUCUAUUUUCAUUCAUAAAAAUCCAAAAAAAGUUAAGAAAAAAAGUUUAAAAUUCAAAAAUAUAUUUUUCUCAGGUCAACCACCUUUUCCAUGAAAAUGAGCUUAUUGGGUUAAUACGAGUCAAGCCAUGUUGACCAAGGUAAAAAAUAAGUUUUAGGCCAUUUGGGGUCAAAACAAUCAUUUUCGGUCAAAACUGAGUCAAUCAGGUCAAUAUGAGUCAAACCAUGUCAACCAGGGUAAAAAAUGAGUUUCAGGCUGUUUUGGGUCAAAAGCCAUCAUUUUUGGUCAAAACCGAGUCCAUCAGGUCAAUAAGAGUCAAUCCAUGUCGGUCGAGGUAAAAAAAAGAGUUUCAGACCAUUACGGGUCAAAACCAAGUCCAUCGGGUCAAUACAGGUCAAACCAUGUUGACUGGGAUAAAAAUUGAGUUCCAAGCUAUUUUGGGUCAAAACUGUUAUUUUCGGUCAAAACCCGAUCAAUCGGGUUGAUCCUAGUUGAAAAAUAUUUUUUAAUGUUUGAAAUUAUUUUUCCAGUAAUCAAAAUUGAAUUUUAGCGGUGGAAACGAGUUUUUUCUAAUACUAAUUCGAGUUUUUAGUUUUAUCCAUUUAUAUAUAUAAAAUAAAACAAAUCAAUAAUGCAAAAGUUUUAUUAUAGUAGCUGGGACAGGUCAAAACAUUUCUUCAGGACAGCGCCGUGCCCUCUGGUUAUAAACAUUCGUGUCCCCUCAGCAUCAACAUUGGCUAUAAAAGGCAGUGAAAUUUUACUAAAAAAAGAGAAAAAAGGAGAAGAAAAAAAGAAGACGUGAAUCCGAAUGAUAAUACUAUUCAUGUUUUUUUAGUUUUUUCUUCACACGAGUAAGUUAUUGAUUUUUUUUAAAACAAUUCAAAAAAUACCAAAACUAUCAUGACCUUUAGAUCUAAUAAUAUCUUAUCUAAUACAUCUUAACACACUCGAUGAAAACCCAAAACCAUCUCAGCCCUUAACCAAAUCUGCCCUUGGAUCUAAUUUUUCCACGUCACUAGGUGUACCAACAAUCCUGUGCAGCUAUCACACCGAAGCCAAUAUCUGUCCAUCAGGACCGACUGAUCAAAUUUUGAUCGAGCCAACCAUAGCCGAAGGAUCAAUUUAGAAGUAAUCCAGCGGUCCAAAAGCUUUAGGUGCACCAGAUUACCACUCUCCCCUCUCGCCGACGAUUCUCUCUCUCUCAUCAGAUCUCCCAACUUCGGCCACAUAAAGACUCCGGACCACCACAAAAAGGUUCCUCACCUCUACGCAAGCAAACCCAUGCAUUUUGCAUCGCCUUCGACAUCACAUCUUGCCAGUAAAAGGCUGCGACGUCUUCGGCCACCCGAAGAUUCAAGCUGUCGAUUCUCUCUCAUCAACCAUCAACGGCCAACGAAAAAACCAUCAUCAUAAUCCUCUCUUCUAGAUAUACCAGAAGCUACCCUUUUUGGCUCAGAAUCCCGCCGAAGAAUUUCACUCCUCCAACAGUGGUCGCGCAUAAGCUACACGCGCCACCAGGGUUGUUUUCAUAAUUUCCUGAGAAUUUCAGGGAUAUUUCAGUCUUUUCCCCUACAGUGUAACUCAGGUAAUUUUGGGGUUCCUAGGGAUAUUUUAUUUGUUUUUCACAAGUAUUUAUAAACUUUUCUUUGUAUGUAAAAUACCCAAAAUAAAUAUAAAGAAGAAUGACAAGGCAGGUCCGAGACUUAUUUUAUCCCGUCAUCAUGCGCGGGUCCAAAGACUAAUUCUUAAAUAUGGGUUAUGCCAAUUUUUUUUAGCAAUUAUAACAUAAUCUUCUUUUUCAUGAAUGAAUGUUAUUCGUCAACAUGUCUCCUUUUACAAAUAAAUACCAAUGUUAAAAGUUUAAAAACAAAUAUGAAUUAUGUUCAUUAUGUUUUUUUACAACUUGAACGCAAUUCUUCUUUUUAGGAUUAAACGUCAACAUUUCAACAAGUCUCCUAAUUUUAGGGACUGAUGUCAACCCUCUAAAAAAAUAAAUUACAAAUAAGCUCAAAAGAUCAUAGCAUUUGAAUAAAAUAAAAAACACAAGUAAGGGUAACCUUUCUCUUGAAAAGAUGUUUUGAGGGUGGUGUUUAUCUUCCCUUAAUCAUAAGUAACUCAGUAUCUGAAUUUCUUGGACCAAUGUCUAAUUUGAAAUUUCUAGUUUCCCUCAAAUUAUUAGAAGGUGACUCCAAUAAAAUCUUCAUUUCCUCAAUUAAUCUUUUUAUUAAUAAAAAAAAUGGAGCCACUGUUUUCACGUCAUGUAUCGAUAGAAUACCCAUUGAUCUAUAUAAAACUAAAGAAAAACUUAUUCAAGAUCAUGUUAUAUUGACUAUGAAAAGUUGACAUGGGCCAAUUAUUAUGGGAUUGAGGGAGAAAUAAAUACUAAAUUCUGGGAAUUAGGGUGCUUAAGUAAAAAAAAAUGAGCAAAAACUUUCAUAGAUAGGUAAGAAUGAAAUUGCCUAACUUGUCCAAAACUAUUUAUGACAAGCUUGAAUACCAAGAUACUCUAAAGCAAUACAACAAAACCAUACACAUUUCUAUUUUCUUAAUUUGUAAUUUAGCAAUUAGUGGUAUCCUUGGCCAAGCUUGUGCAAAUCAAGACAACGUCCACCUCCCUAGUUUGGUCUAAAGCAUACAAUCUAUGCUAGGACUAGAGGUAUCAAGGGGAAAUAAAUCAUCAUAGCUACUAGUUUGGUCAAAAACAUACAAUCUAUGCUAGGACUAGAGUUAUUUGACUGCAAUUGGAACGCUGAUUAGUACUUAAAACUGUAUUUUUAUCAAGGUUUUAUAUCAUCUUUUUGCACUUGAAGUAUCAAUAACUCCUUAACUAAAGCAUGUUUUAUAAUAACAUAUCUAAUAAUAUAAGAUAGCUUUAAUUUAUGGUAAAUGUUCAUCCUAAAUUCAGGCCUAUCACAUAAAUAAAAGGAUUGAUUGAUGAGUUUAAGUAUUGAAAUUGAAAGGACAAAGAGAGGGUCAAACUUAGAAAAGAGAUGCUGGUGCAAUCCAAACUGGAACACUAUUUGGAAAUUAGGUCAUAUCUGGAGCUGUAGAUCUCGGAUUUAGGUCCACUUUAUAUGGAUGGAAAGGUAAGAAAUGGGCCUACAACUUUCAUGUGGAGCCCAAGAUUUAAAAAAGCCGUUUUCAAGUGCAAAUUAUAUCAACAACGAAGAAGUUUGAAUCUGUCUUGCAGCCUAAACACUGUUCAGUGUUCAGCCCAUAUCUUGAGUUCUAGAAGUCUACAUGACCUUAAUUUUUUUUCCUGGAAAGCUGAGACAAUUUCCUAGAACUUUCAUGAGUAAAGUUGGUUCAAAUUCUGACAUUAUCAAUGAUGUUCUAUUCAGACAAGAAGAUAAGGAUUGUCACCAAGUCAAGAUGUGGCCACCCACUCAUCAAUUAUUCAUCAAAUCAAUAGUUCCAAAUUUUGACCUAUAAAAGAAGGCAUUUACCAUGUAUUUAGGCAUCUUGGUUUUCAGAUCAAGAUCAUGCUCUUGCUUUCUCUCUUUGUAUUUUCGCAAUACUUAAGUUUUGCUUUCAUUAAUAUCUAGUUUAUGCUUUUCAUUUCCUUUCCUUUACUUAGUUAACUUUAUCUUGUUUAUGCUUUUAUCUUGUUCAUUUAUGUUUCUUUCUUUUAUUAUGUUUAGCUAAGUUUAUUAUGUCAAGGUUAAAAGGUUACACUAAUGGUGUAAGAAUAAGUAUAGUGUAAACUCAUCAUGGACUUUAAUGUUUGAUACUAACAUGUUUUAUAUUUGUUAUCUUGUUCACUUUUAAUACUUUGCUUGUUAAAUGGUCAAUCUAGAUUUAUGUUAUAUAACCCUUGGUACAACAAAUACUUGGCACUUUCAUUGCCCAAACCGUAUGGUAUAAUCAACACCUGAGCUAUGAAAGGAACUUGAUUUGUUGUUAACAUAAGUUAUAAUCAUGAAUGCCUAACAACAUUUACAAAUAUUAGCAUUAUUCAAAAAAGAUAACUAAUGUAAUCAUGUUAACAAUUUAUAAUCCGAUUGGAACCUCCUUUGUGUGUGGUUUCCAGUUGAAUAAUAAGAGUUUAUACUAUACUUGUUUGAAAUACCAUUAGUGGAUCCUCUAACCUUGACAAUUAUUUUUAUCAUUAUUUAGUCCUCACAUUAAUCUUACAUCUCAAAGUUCUCAUCAACUUCUUCUUAUUCUUCUUCUUUAUUAUUAGUAUUAUUAUUAUUAUUAUUAUUAUUAACAUUAAUAUUAGUAUUAUUGUUGUUGUUGUUGCUACUACUGUUGUUGUUGUCGUCGUCGUCUAUAAUUUAUACAAUUAACCUCCCUGUGGUUCGACCCCGGUCUUGCCGGAUUAUUUAUUACUUCGACACUCCUGCACUUGGGAGAAGAUAUCAAUCUUUUGAUCAUGUCAAAAGCUCAUAUUAAUUGAUUUAUGGUGCUAAGAUACAUAAAUUAUAGUCACUAUCACCAUCAUUAUUAUCAUCAAAUUUAUAAUUAAUUUCAUUUUUCAGUAAAAGAUAAUAUCAUCUGUAUCCAAUGAUUGCCAACUUCACCACAGAUUUAACAUUUCUAUAGUUAACAUUUCUUUUGCAUGUUAGGAUUUCAAUACUAAUGAGUGUAUUUUCUAAAGUUGAAAUAGUGCUACCCAAUCUAGGUUCAAGUGGGAUGAUGAAUUAAAGAGCAGUUGUUAUUUCAAUACUAAUGGCUCAUAUUUGAUUUAUGGAGCUAUGAUUAGGGAAUCGUGCUUGUAUCACAUAUAACAAUAUUUACAUAGCAACAAGCAUUAUUAAAGAUGAUACACUAGUAAGUUUCCAAAUGCUAUCAACAAAUAUUAUAACCUCUUAAUUUAUAUAAGGAUUGAGCUAAAUUGCUUUAUCAAAUAUUUUUUUUUUUUGAAAUAUUAUAUAGACAUAGAAUCAACAAGAUUAUGUGACAUUCUAUAUUGAUUUUGUGAUAUAACGCAUAUUACAGUGCACAUUGAUAGAGUGAGUCUGGGUGGACAAACUUUUGGUGGUACACGUGGUGCUUAAUGAUUUGACGGCUAUGGAGAGAAGUUACAUGAGGGAAAUAAGGUGGAAAAAGUGGCCUCUCUAGAUUUUGGAAAUGUUCUCCGAAGAAAGAAGGAAAAUAAUUUCAAAGGUGGAUAAAAAUGGGGUAAUAUCAGAUUUGGAACAUAAUCUUGGUUGGUGAAGAAUAACAUAAUCUAAGGAGAAAUCUAGGGCAAGUCUGGUGAGAUUUGAGCUUAGAUUUUGGACCAAUUUAUAGGUGGAUGAUACCAUCAUGGAUGAUGUCCAGCUGAUAAAUGUUUAGUUACUUGCAAUUCUAUCAUAAAGUUAUCAGAUUCUGUGUGUGUGAGGGUGCCAUAUGUUUCUUUCUUCUAUGAUGGAUAAAAAACGCUAAGCAAUGAACCAUUUUGUCCAUCUGAGUAAAAAAGGUAUUAUGGUUAUGAUGAGAACUCUACAGCUGUGAUUCUAUUUUUGAAGGUAAUAUUUAUUAUAUUUAUAAUUAUAAGAAUCUUUAAAAAAGACACGGGUAAAAUAUUAUUCUCACAUCACUCACUAUUCACUGGUGUUAUAGGCUUAAAUUGAUAGAUAAUUAAGUAAAUUUGUUGAGGAAAAGAAAAAUUUAAAUAUAGAUAACCAAAGUGAAAAAAAAAAGCAAAAAAAGAUGGUAGUUUCAAGAUCCAAAAAUUCACUUUGAUUCUCAUAAUUUUCAAAUAAUGACUUUUUGGUCCCUUAAGUUUUCCUACAUUUUAUUUUUUAUCCACAACUUCAUUUUUCUAUUUUCUCAUUCCCUAAUUUGAUAGAGGAGACAUAGUUUUGAAACCGGCCCGGCCUGGUGAGUCGACCCGGGAACCGGCUAACCCGGGGCUGGAACUGGGCCGGGUUGAAGAAAAAACGGGGGAAGAAAAAACCCGAUGUGACCCGGCAAGACCUAAUUGCAAACCCGUUGAUUUUUUUUUUUUGCUAAAACGAUAUCAUUUUGAUUUUUUUUUAAAAAAAUAAUUGACCCGGUCGACCCGGUAACCCGGUCAAAACUCGGAACUCGAGCCAUGGACCGGGCCGGGUCUUAAAACUAUGGAGGAGACAAAAAGUCAUUGGAUUACAAUGCUAGAGAGAGUCUCUAUAACAACCUUAACAUUUGUAUUCAAAACAAAAUGUAAGGACAUGAUGAUUCAAAUAAGAUUAGGGAUUUUUUUUAAUCAAUAAAAAAUUCGGCAGAGUUUCUUCUAUAUUUUUAGGUAUCAAGUUAUCAACUUUCAUCCACAAUCCCCAAUUAUCAAAUUUCUUAUCCUAUCAUCCAGGACUUCCUCCUCUUAUUAUAUCACAACUUCUCAAUAAUCAAAUUUACACAUGUCUAAACAAUUCAAUAUCAAACAUUAACAUGAAUGCAAUCCAAGGAAUUAUUCUACAAAUUAUAACUGAAGUACAUUACACAAUUCAAAGAUUUACAAAAAAAGACCAUUAACAAAAUUAUAAUCGAAAUAAGUACAUAAUUAAAGAAGAAAUUCAUAAUUAAUAUUAUACUACACAAAAGGGUUUUCGAUAAACUGUUGACGCAUUAUAUUACAUAACAAAAUGAUAAAUUCAUUCAUUACAAAAAAAUAUCAAACAAAAUAUAAGAAAACUAAUCUAUUGUUCAGUUCGAUAGGGAGAUGUACCUAAAAAUUGAUUUAAUACAAUAAUUCGAUUAGAUAGAUGAAGAAAAGAUAUCCAUAAAAUUCUUUCUACUUUCUUUUUUUCUUCCUUUUUUUUUUUUUGAAAAUUUAGUCAAAAGAUCAUUAAAUUAACUUGCACAUCUAGUAUUAUAUAUAUUAAUUAAAUUUAAGAAUAAUCUAUGAGUUUGUUUUCUUUUUCUUUUUCUUUUUUAACAUCAACCAAAAAUAUAAUUAUUCCUAUCGCCCAAUUAACCUAGCAUUACUUUCACUAAUAGAUGAUUAAUUUUCCACCAGUCCAUUCAACAAGCACUAUUGUCAUCAAUCCAAAAAUUAGUUUAACGUUUCUUCCAUUCAUCAGGGUAUAAAUCCCAUUAACCAGGGAAAUUAAUUCUUCAUCUCGCCCAUUUAUCAGGGCACUAAUUCUAUUAAAUCAGGAAUUAGUUCAACUAUUUACCCAUUCAAUAGGGUAUUAAUCCCAUUAACCAGGGACUUAAUUCCUCAUCACGCCCAUUCACCAGGAUAUUAAUCCCAUUAAUUCAGGAAUUAGAUCAACAAUUUGCCCAUUCAUCAGGGUUCUUGUAACAGUCCGCCUAUACGACUUGCUCAAUGUUAAAAGAUCCCAACAUAUCAUCUUUAUUUGAGAGUAAAUUAUAUAUAUAUAUAUAUAUAUAUAUAUAUAUAUAUAUAUAUAUAUCCUACGAGUAAGUUCAAUAUGAACAUAGUCUACAUAACAUAUCAUAAAAUUUUAAAGAAAAGGAAUACUAACAUGUAAAGAAAGCAUUUACAACAUAAUAAGUGUUCUUAAACAUUUCAAAAGGGUUAAUUACAAGAUAACUAAAAUACUACAUUCUAAGCUGAACUUUUAUAAAAAUACAUCAAGGUUUAUGCAAAAAUAUACUACAAAACCGCGUUAAUUCCCUUUAGUUUAAGUUAAAUAUUUACAUAAGCUUGACAAAGUAGAGUUUUAAACUAAUGAUCUCCCUGGAUAUUUGAUGGACCUGAUACAUAAAUGACAUACCAUUAUGUUGAUAAAGAAUAUAUAUAUGCUCAUGUAAUGUAUAUGAAUGAAGUAUUAAUUUUCUAUCGGGUCCAUAAGAAUUCUAAUAGAGAACUUAUAUAUAUUGCUUGUAAAUCUUUUAAACCUAAUUAACACUCAUUUGCAUACUCUUAAUUUGGAUACUCUUGUUUACUUGCGUGAACUGGGUGACCUUGCAAGUCUAAUCUUGAAAUUCAUUUCCCAGCAAUCCUAUCACGGAUGUCAUUAGCCGAAGCUAAUAUUGUAAAUCAUCUCCAGACAUUCCUAUCACGGAUGCCAUUAGCCGAAGCUAAUCUUGUAAUUCAACUCCCGGUAAUCCUAUCACGCAUGCCAUUAGCCGAAGCUAAUCUUGUAAAUCAUCUCCCAGCAUUCCUAUCACGGAUGCCAUUAGCCGAAGCUAAUCUUGUAAAUACACUAGGCUUUAUUUACAUUGAACACGAUAUUUAUUAUAAUUACAUUCACCAAAAGAAUUUUGAAUUGUAUAAGUGCAAAUAGGAGGGAAAGUCACGCACCUGCUUCGCCUGUCUUGCGACUUCCCCUAACAGGAGAUCCAAUCCUGGUUGCUCCCUUUGAAUCACAAGGAAGUUUUUGGUUAUGAUUCCUUCAAGCUGAUAUUAUAGAGAAUUCAUAUUCAUCCAUUACUCAUAUGUUACUUUCUAUGCAUGUUCAUUUCCUCAUAAUAACAUACAUACAUAUAUCAUGUAUAUUUUCAGAAUUAGUAUCUCAAUGUGCAAAUGUUCGUAUGACUCAAUUCUUUUAUAUUCUUAUAUAUGGUAUUCACAUGAAAGUCUAUUGUUACUGUCUAACUUUGAACUGUUACUGUUUAUACAUUUAAACUGUUACUGUCUAACUUUGAACUGUUACUGUUUAUACAUUUAAAUUGUUACUGUCUAACCGUUAUUGUUUAACUUUGAACUGUUACUGUCCAACCGUUACUGUCUAACUUUGAACUGUUACUGUCUAGACAUUUAAAGUGUUACUGUCUACACAUUGAACUGUAUUUGAAGUGUUACUGUCUACACAUUGAACUGUUACUGUCCAACCAUUAUUGUCUAAACAUUUGAACUGUUACUGUCUAAACACUUAUCAGAUUUUUAACUAUAUCUAAAGUUCUAAAACUCCAUUUUAAGUGAGAUUGAUCUCGUUAGAAAGCUAAGACACGAGGCUACCAGUUCUCUAAGGAAAGAGAACCCAGUUUUGCCUCUAAGAUAGUCAAAAUUGCUCAUCAACUAAUCAAUCCUACUGCCCUACAUAAUCAGUCACGACUCAGUCUCGAUUGGUAACCCAUAACUGGAGUUCUACAUCUCCAAAUUGAGUAAGACCAGUUUUCUUGGUUAGUUAACAUUCAAAUUUACAAUUUCUAUGAGGAAUCUGAUCCUAAUUUCCUCAUCCUCCUACCUAAAAUCUCACCGAAAUUCAGGAGACAAGCUGUCCAAAUUCGUCUCCCCCUCCCCUUCACACAAUACUUUCAUAAACUACAUACCACACACAUGAAUUAACUUAAUCUUAACAAUAAGUACUUUUUCCCCAAUUCAUGUUUAAGAACCCUAACAUAUGAUUCAAUAUCAAGGCAUCAAUUCAUUAUCGAAUUUAAAAUGAAUUUUUAAGAUCAUGUUUAGAACACCUUACCCCGUACGAAUUAAGAUUUUGAUCUUCAACCAGUUGAAGAUUUUUAACUCCCUCCUUUCUUUUCUUCUUGUUCAAUUUCUUGAUAAUCCUUUGCUCUCAAGUGUUUAUCCCAUCUAUAAACCCUUAAUCUUGGAUGGGUUCUUGAAAUUUUAGUGUUUCUCUCUUGAUUUCAUAAGAAUAGGUAUAAAACUCUCUAUUUUCUUUCCUUAUGGUUCCUGCAGAUUUUUGGUGAGGAGAGAGUACUUAUACUCUAUAUUUUCUCUUAUUUGCAUUUAGACCCCCUUUUCCUUUAAUUGUAUUAUUCUCUUCAAUUAAAUCUAACCCUCAAUAGUACCGGGUUUAUUAUAAUGUUCGAAUUAUUUCACCCGGAAAUUUAUAUUAAAAACUUUCUGAAUUCCUGUUUUUAUUUAACCAUAUGCAUGAAUUUCUUCACUUUUAUUUAUUUCUUUUUCCGGGGUUUACAGUUCUAAUCCUAUUAACUAGGGAAUUAAUUCCUUAUCACGACCAUUCACCAAGGCAUUAACCCCAUUAGUUCAAGAAUUAAUUCAUCACAUCGCAUUUCUUGUUUUCUAAAGUAAACAAUAUAAUAAUUACUAAUUUAUCAACCAUAAUUAAUCAGAUAAAAAUACAUAUUGACCAAUAAUAAAUUCGGGCAUCGUAUAAUUACCGGACGACUAAGCUCGAGCUGAAAUUCUCUACUGUGGUGUCGGCCUGACAACCUCUUUUGAAUUGACAAGUAUAUCACAUCAUUAUUCUACUUUUCAUAUUGACACACUCAAUAAAUAAAAUCAUUCCAAUUAUCCUUUUAUUUGCCAAAAUAAAAUCAUUUUGUAAAUUUCCUUCCAAUUUCCACAUUAUAACACAAUUCAUUUCAUCAUUCAAAGCAAUAUAUAUAUAUAUAUAUAGUCUUUAAAUUUAUUUAUUUAUUUUUUACCAUAAUUUAAAUCAAAGAAAAACAUAAAAAAAUUUCAUGAUCUAUUCACUCUUUAACAUUAAUAUCAUCUCUUUCUUACACAAUCUCAUCAUCUUAUUAAAAAUCUUAAAUUUUUAUUUUUCUUAUUAUUAUUUUUUCAAAAAUCCCUUCUUCAAGAACACCUAAAAUUUUGCUUUAAUUACCAUAAUUUCUUACUUUCUCUACUCACUUCAAUAAUCUUAACAUAAUUUCACAAACAAUUGUAAUUUUCCCUAAAAUUUAUCAUGAACCUUAAUUCCUCAUUUCACAAAGUUCAAUCAAGUUAAAGCAUAAAUUCUUUAAGAAUCUGAUUUAAAAGUUUGAGGGCUCAUUACCGAGUAAUAACCAAAGCCUUAACACUUUUAAAUUAAGAAAUUUUCCUUGCUUGAAUUUGUUUUUCCUCUCCUGACCGAAUGCUUCCUUCUCUUUGAAAAAGCAAGUUUGUUCUUUUUUAUUUGUUUCCUUACAGCACACACUCACUUGUCACUAUAUAUAUAUAUAUAUAUAUAUAUAUAUAUAUAUAUAUAUAUAUAUAUAUAUAAUAAACUUUUUUUAAAAUAUCUUCCAUGUCCCUCAAUUUUUUCUUCCGCCAUACACACUCACACUUACACACCUAUAAUUACUUAACUUUUUAAAAAUGCCUUCUAUAUCCCUCAAUAGUAAAUUUUAUAAUUUUUGAAUAACAUUUCAUGAAUCCUGACGCUUGUUUAUACCAAAUUUUACCCGGGUUAUUUGAAAUUUCACUCAGUUACUCGUUAGUACUUUCAGUUUCAUGAAAUUCACUUCCAUAAAAAUUUUAUGCACAUUUUUGUGUUUAUUUAUAUUUAUUUUUAAUAUAUAUUUUAACACCUGAAUAAAACAUUUCACUUCAGAUUCUCAAAUAUAUCAUCAUUCUUAUAAUUUAAUUUAUCACUUUCUCUCAUUUUUUGUAAUCUUGACUUUUAUUAAUAUCAAUAAUAUUACCUGGGGUUUUACAAUCUCAGUUGGCACUGUUUUUCACUAUAAAAAAUGGUCGAUUUUGUUUUAAUGAGUUUUAUUUGAUGAAAAGAGUUCCAUUAAAAUGUUUUUUGCCCUUGAAAUUGCCAAAAAGUUUAUGGUUUUUGGGCUUUUUUAUUGGUUUAUUACAUCAUAAAGACCUUUUUUAGGUUUUUUGGUGUGAACAUUGUUUAAAUUUGCAUUUUUGGGUCAAAAAACACCUGCUUAAUUUUCUAGUCACCUCUCCAAUGGUUAAAAAGGGGAAAGUCUCGGUAGGUGACAUGUCGCUUUUCUUUAUUUUUUUUUCUCAAAAACAUUUGGAGCAUUUUCAAAUAAAAAAAGCCCCAUACAUACCAACCUUUUUUAAAAUGGCCUUGAUGUGUAGGCCUGACUUACUAGGCCUAAAAGCACUUGAAAUAUUUCUAUUUUUUUUUCUAAUUUUGUUUUCUUAAUUGAUAUUUUUUAAUGUAUUUUUAAUAAAUUUUUGAAUUUAUAUUUAAAUUAAUACUUUUCUCUCUAAAUAUUUAGAUUGUUUAUUUAGUUUUUUUUAAAUAGUGGUUAUCUUUUACUUAUCUUUUAUGUAUUUAAUAUCUAGAAAACAUUAUUCCAAUUCAUUUAUAUGUUUUUUUUUAUUUUAUAUGAAUAAACUUUAUUUUCAUGACGUGUUUAUAAAAAUAAGAAUUAUUUGUUCUUGGUAAGAAAAAGUGAACUUUAAGAUAUAAAAAAGAAGAAGGAGAAAAGUGUGCAUGAAGAGGAAAGUUAAGGUUAAGUAUCAUAUUUAUGUAUUUUUUACUUUUAUGAAAAUGAUUAUCAUUUUAUUUUAUAAAAUGAUUGGCAUUAACAACUUUUUAUUAGUUUAUUAGUUCAUAUUUUUGUAAGAUUUGUUUUUUACAUUUCUUAAUUAAGAGAAUCGUAAUACAAUGAAAUACAUUUGAAAUAUUGUCCCAUUUUUCUACUACAUUAAAAAUUAACUUAAGAUCCUAUAUGUGGCAGAAUGUGUUAAAAAUUAUUUUUUGUAUUUAUGAACACUUAUGGUCCUUACUUUAUUUUUAUUAUAUGUAAACAUCAACUUUUUUAUUCACAAUUAUAAUUUUCUCUUGAUUUUUAAAAAUACGUUAACGACAUUUAUACAUUUUUUCUUUUGCGUUCAAAAAAUUAUCUAACUCGUAGCAAAGUGAAUUAAAUAAACGCGUCAACACUUUUUUUUUUUGUAUUUAUGAUUAGGAUUUGUUUUUGUUAAAAAUGCAAUUGAUAAGCAUACAAAUUUAUUUUUUUGCUAAAAACAAUUUUAUGAUCCAUAUCGAAGUGCGAGUUAAAUAACUAUUAAUAUGGCUAUAGUAAGUCUUUUAGUAUAUGUGGAUGUAGGAAGCAAUGUGUUAUAUUAUUAGUUAGAUAUAACUUACCUAUUCAUUAUUAAAAAAAACAUAAAAUAAAUUAAUUAAUUAAUAAAAACCUAAAAGAGAUCGACUGAAAUAUAAUAUUUUUGUCUUUUUUUUUUGUUUCACAUUUCUCAAUUAAGAGAAUCAUGAUACAAUAAAAUGCAUUUGAAACACCGUCCCAUUUUUCUACUACAUUAAAAAUUAACUUCCUACAUGUGGCGCGUUGCGUUAACAAUUGUUUUUGUAUUUAUUAACAUUGUUGUUACCCAUUUUUGGGUUCCCACAAAAAUAUAAGAAAAUACAAAAAACAAUAUAUCAAAAAAAUAUUCAGAAGAAAUCCAAAAAAAAUAAUAGGAGCGAGAAAAGAAUGCUGGAAUGUUGAAAAAAUACCAAAAUUGGUUGAGGAGAUUAAAAAAUACAAAAGGUUGAAAUUUAACAGUAUAUUUUUGACUGAUGAGAGCCUUGGGGAUAAGAAAAAUUCAAUUAGAGAAAGAAAAGUUCAAAAUCAGAUGUUUAUGGACUCAAUUAAAUUUUAUCCAAGGUUUAAUUGAAUUUAUGGAGGGUUUGAUUGCAAGAAAAUUUAUUUUUUAAGUCAAUUUAGGUUUUUAUUGGAAAAAAUUAAAGUUUUAGGGUCCAAUUAUAAUUUUAAAGAGUUGAUUUGGUCAAACUAGAGGCUUAAUUGCAUAAUUCUUGAAGUUUGAUGGUCAAUUAGGGACUUGAUUGAAAUAAUUCAAAACCAAGGACUAAACCGAAAACGGCGCUAAAAUCAAGGAAUCCAAUUACAAUUCAUCCGGGGGCUUGAUUACAAAAUUGUCAAAACAACCAGGGACCGAAUCGGAAAUAUUCAUUUGAAUUGUGAAACGGCGCCGUUUCCUUAGACACUAUUCAUCACCAUCUUCAAAGCAGCCGUUUCAGCAUACAGGAACCGUUUUCAGCAACAAAUGCCACAGAUUAUGGGAACGUUUCACAGCUACCAUUUCUCUACCGUUACCACUGCAAUAAUGGUUUUGAACGUUUUCAUUAUAAAAAACGCAUGCAGUUUUGGCUAUAAAAGAGGAGAAAAGAAGGACAAAAAAGGGAGGGGAAAAAAGACAGAGAGAGAGAGGAAUGUAAGGGGGGAAAACAGAGAUGACCUGAGGAGAACAGAAGAGAACUGAAAAAAAAAAAAAGAGGAAACGAGAGGGAAAACCAGAGGGGAACGACAGAGGAGAAAAAAAGGAGGGGAGAGAGCCGCACCAGCAUUGCCAACGCCAUCGUCAGCUCAUCAUCUUCUUCGUCCAGCAGCCACUGCCAUUCUCCAUCACAACCGCACCAGCACGGCACAACGGAAAGGAGGAGAGGAGAGAAAAAACGACAACGAGACAGUGAGGGGAGAGAGGACAGAGGAAAAAGAGAGAGAACAAAAGGAGGAAAAAGACGACACAGAGAGGGAAAGAAAAAAAGAACCGGGGGCAGAAACACAGAAAAAAAACGAGAUAAGGAGGAGAAACAGAAGCACGCAGAAGGCAGGAGGAAUACCACCACCCGUCUUCCUCUUCACAGCAACCAGCAGCACCGCUAGCACCAGCAGCAACUCCACAAAGCCACUGCAGAGAGGCAAGAACACUGUUGAUGGGAGAAACGAAAUACAGAGGAAACAAGCAGCACGGCGAAGCAGAGGUGAGAAGAAAGAGAAGCAACGUCUGCCACCACAGCCGGCUGCCGCGACAACAACGCCACCGUCAGCUUCUCACCAUCUUCCUCCCCCUGCUGCAACACCCGUGAAGAAGAAGAAGAAGCCCGCGCCUCUGCACAGACGGGAAGAACAGCAGCAAACACUGCCCGCCACCGCAGAGAAGAGCCAUCGUCUGCAGCCACCAGUGCCACCUUAAGCCACCAUCAACCACGACAUCUCCACCAUUAGAAGCAGAAGAAGAAAAGGAGAAACAGGAGACAGAAGCGGGGAGAAGAAGGAACACUGUCCUUCUGCACGAGUACCGACGGCAUUUCCGACGGAUUUGCCAACGGCUCGAAAAGUUUGGCGGGAUUUCCGGAUUUUUUUGGUGUGCAUUUCAAUUAAUUUCCGACGGAAUUACCGACGAAAUUUAAUUCCACCGAUAACAAUUAAUUUCCAUCGGUAAUUCCGUCGGAAAUAUUGCUUUAUAUAUCGCCAUCCCCCCCACUUUGUUCAUUUUCUCCUCUUCUCCCUUUCUCUUCUUCUCUUGUUUAUAUUUAGCUUUUAGAAGGAUUUUAUUGUUUUGGUGGUAGUUUUAAAAGGUAUGUAUUUUUUUUUCUUUAUCUUUGUAUUUUUUUUUAAUUAUGAUUAUUUUUUUUGGUGUUCUUUGUUUUGUAUAUUGUUUGUAGAUAAAAUCUUAAAUUCAACACAUUAUUAAGGUAAGCAUUUUUUAUUCCCAAAUUUAUUUUGAAUUGAUAUAAUGUUUUUUAGUUUUGUGUAUUGUUUGUUUUGUGUUUAUGUUGUGUGUUGUGUAGUGUUUUUUAGUUUUUUAAUUUUAUUUAUUAAUUUUAGUUUUUUAGUUUUGAUAUUAUUGUUUGUAUUGCUAUAAUUGUUAUUGUUGAAUUUAUGUUAAAAAUGUUAAUUUAUAUAUAUAAUUGUUAAUGUUGAUUUAUUUUAAAAAUGUUAAUUUAUAUAUAUAUAAUUGCAUUUAAUUAGUUUAUCUUAAUUUAGGAUAUUAUUGUUUGUAUUGCUAUAAUUGUUAUUGUUGAAUUUAUGUUAAAAAUGUUGAUUUAUAUAUAUAAUUGUUAUUGUUGAUUUAUUUUAAAAAUGUUAAUUUAUAUAUAUAGAAUUGCAUUUAAUUAGUUUAUCUUAAUUUAGGAUAUUAUUGUUUGUAUUGCUAUAAUUGUUAUUGUUGAAUUUAUGUUAAAAAUGUUAAUUUAUAUAUAUAAUUGUUAUUGUUGAUUUAUUUUAAAAAUGUUAAUUUAUAUAUAUAUAUAUAUAUAAUUGCAUUUAAUUAGUUUAUCUUAAUAAUAUUAAUCCGUAAAUUAAAAUGUAUGACUUUAAUCUAAUGUUUGUAACUCUAAGUACCAAUUUAACAAUGAAUGUUCAUAGUUGUAAUUCUAUAUGAUGUUAUUGAAUAAAAUGUUGUGUUGAUGAUGAUGAGUUGGGUUGAGAUCCAGGAUGAUUGGAUUGGGAUGUGAAAUAAAAUUGGAAGUGUAAUAUGAUUUUGUCGACAACUUGGGACCCCCCUAGUACAGGGGAGACUCUGUCGAAUUUUUUUUAAAAUAAUCGAAGUUAAUUAUGUAAUUAUUCGUAUACAUUUGUGUAGAUGCGUAGAAUGAAAUCUACAGCACGUCGUCAGAAGACGGUUGCAGCUAGUUCUUCUAGCAGCAAGGAGGACGUAUGCUUAGGUGAUGAUCACGGCAAGGAAUCUACGCCAACUUGUGAUGCUGCCUCUUCUAGCGCGGUUUCACAGCGCAGAAGCGGUGUGCCUUCCCAGCGGGGUCAAUUCACCCGCAAGUACCAGGCACAAUGGAAGGAGACCUCUCAAUGUAAGUUUGUUUAGGUUUUAGUUUUUUUAUAUAUAUACUUAUAAUAUAAUUUAUGAACAACUAAUUAAUAUUAAUUACUACUUUUAUUUAAUUUCAGGUUCACAAACAUUGAGGCUGCAAGGACUAUAACAUUGGCGUUUAAAUCGUCGAUGGAGAUUCCAUUGUUUCAAUGGAGCCAAGUUUCCAAACAUCCUGAGUGGAAACCUAAUAUCGAUGCAUGGUUUAAGCGAUUUCAGGUCGGUGUUAAUUUUUAAUUUCCAGCUUAUUUUUAAUAAAUGAUUUUUAUUAUUUUAUAUCUUGUACUAUUUUUAUUUUAUAUGCAUUAUUUAUAUACACAGAACAAAUUUGAGUGGGAUAGGGCGGACAACAAUGUUGUGAGGAGGGUAUGGGAGAAUCACGCGGCAACUAGGUAACAUCGAAAAUAAUAUUUAUUUUUGUUUUAUAAUUUUAUGUUUUAAAUUCUAAUUUGUUACUAUGGAAGUAGGUUGCGUGAUUUUUGGUAUGACACCCAAAAAAAAUCAAAAAGACAUGCGAGGGAUAACGGUCUUGAAGGAUGGAAUGAGGUGGCGGUUUGGCAGGAAUUCAAACCGCCAUUCAUCUCGGGGGAAAUAUGGACGGCAUAUAUUGAGCACGUGACCUCAGAGCGGUUCUCACGGCGCUCACAGUCCGGCGCCGACAACCGGAACCGGCAAAUUCAUGAUUCGGUGACCACGCACACUGGCGGAUCCGUCCCAUUCAGCACACAUGCAAAGCGGAUGGUAAGAUUAAUUUUAAUGAAAUAUAUCGUUAAUUAAUUUGUCGUUCCUUAUAAUAUAUUUAACUUUCAACCUAUUUUUUCCUUACAGGCUGCGUCUCUUGGAAGUGAACCGAGUCCAAUAGAGCUAUUUCUAGAGACGCAUGUGCGGAGUCAAGACCGCCAAAAAGGGAUGCAGCAGUUCGUGGACAACCGUGCUCAGCAGUUCGUGGUAUGAUUGUUCAUUCAUUUUAUUUUGUAAGUUAUUAUUUUCUUGAAUUGCAUCUUGAAUUGCAUUUGAUGAUUUUUUUACCGAUGGAAUUUUCAGGAGACCUAUAAUAGCCGGUUGAGGGAGAGAUAUGGGGACAAUCCGUCGACCCAUCCAGAUUUCGAUCCAGAUUUGUGGAUGGAGGCGGGAUCGUCUGGUGGACCCGAUAAAAAUAGGGUCUACGGGCUCUCCAACACUACAGCUGACAACUUGCGUUUGACUCGUAGUGUCUCAACUGUUGGAAGCUCUCCAUCAGUAUCGAACACCCAGUCUGAGGAGUUCAUUGCGUUGAAACAACAAUAUCAACAACUCUCGACGAAUUAUGAUGAGCUCCGUCAAAUAGUCAUGGAGAUGAGAUCAAAGAUGGAUGACGAUACUUGUGCAGCUUCUUUUUGGUCGUAUGGUCCCGGGAACAACCAGCCUCCUCCUCCUCCGCCUCCUCCUCCAGCUCCGCCGCUAUUCUAGUUUAAUUUUUUUUAAACACAUUAAAUUUGUAAUGAAUAUUAUUUAACAUUACUUUUUACAUUUUUAAUGUUUAAUGCAUUUUUAUUUGUUUAUUAAGGUUUUUUACAAUUAAUAAAUUAUUUUUUAUAUAUAUUUUAAAUACCAACCGACAGAAUUGCCGACGGAUAUUAUCUGUCGGCGACUAAAUACCGACGGCAUUACCGACGGAUAAUAUCCGUCGGUAUUACACAGAGAGUUGCAACAAAAUUACCAGCCAUGCCAUCAUUACCGACGGAUAAUAUCCGUCGGUAUUACACAGAGAGUUGCAACAAAAUUACCAGCCAUGCCAUAAUUACCGACGGAAUUUCCGUCGGUAAGGACGUCGGUAAUUACCCUUGAAAUUUCAGACGGAUUUAUUCCGUAGGUAAUGUUCCCGCGGGAAACUUUUUUUUGGCGCGCGCGUAUCCGUCUGUAAUACCGUCGAUGUGUCCGUCGGUGGGUGUUUUUUUUUGCGACAGAAUUAGCGACGGAAAUGGGAUUUACCGACGACUGUUAUACCGACGGACGUGUUCUAUCGGUGAGUCCGUCGGUAUGUUUUUCACCGACGGAUUUCAUCUCUGUCACCGACGGAAUGAGUCCGUCGGUAAAACUGGAUAAUGUUGUAGUGAUGCAACAGUUUCAAAUGAGGUAUUGGACCUGAAUAUUCUAUCAUUUGAUUUGAUCAAUCUCAAUUAAGAUUGAUCCAAAAAUUUUCAAUUUUAACUAUCAUAUUUUAUUUUCACAAUAAGAUUUAUCUCCUUGUUGUGAAAAUCUAAUAUGUUCAAAUCAAAUUUUAGUCGAAAAUAUAAAACCCUCUUAGUCAUAUUUUUCGAGACAUGCCCACUUGUUUCAAAAGUAAGUCAACUUGUCUUGAGGGGGCAUUUGUAGAAACACAAAUUUUCUAUCAAUCAAAUUUCACCAUGUGUUAUUUUAUUCUUUAAAAGAAGGGAUAAAUAAAAUUGAAAUAAAUGACAUGAAAAAUAAAUGAGCCUUCAUAUAUUUCUUGGCCAAUGAAAAGUUGACACUUGGGAUGAGAUAUUCAAGAUAUCUUGUCAUAAAUACAAGAUCCCAUCAGAUAUCUCUUCAUAAAUGUAAGAUCCCGUCAAUAAAUAUCAACCAAUAAAAUUAUGUCAUGUGGCAUUGGAAAAGAACCUGAGAGCCCCUACAGAUCUCUAUAAAUAGAGGGCCUCAACCUAAAGGAGGGGGAUCCCGGGAGAUACAAAUUUCCUUCAAGACAAGCUCUGCAAGCAAGGAAGCUCUCGCUCUCUCUCUCUUCAAGCAAGGAAGCUCUCUCAAAGAGUUCUCAAGCCUCCUUCAUCGACGCUUGAAGUCUACAAAGAAUGAAGCUCUGUUGGAUCAAGCCUAAACGCUCCAUUAGAGUUCUUCAACAACACUUUGAAGACAAAUCAAAGGUACUCUUCAAAGCAUCAAAUCACCAGAGGAUUCCGGGAGAUACAAAUUUCCUUCAAGACAAGCUCUGCAAGCAAGGAAGCUCUCGCUCUCUCUCUCUUCAAGCAAGGAAGCUCUCUCAAAGAGUUCUCAAGCCUCCUUCAUCGACGCUUGAAGUCUACAAAGAACGAAGCUUUGUUGGAUCAAGCCUAAACGCUCCAAUAGAGUUCUUCAACAACACUUUGAAGACAAAUCAAAGGUACUCUGCAAAGCAUCAAAUCACCAGAGGAUUCCGGGAGAUACAAAUUUCCUUCAAGACAAGCUCUGCAAGCAAGGAAGCUCUCGCUCUCUCUCUUCAAGCAAGGAAGCUCUCUCAAAGAGUUCUCAAGCCUCCUUCAUCUACGCUUGAAGUCUACAAAGAACGAAGCUCUGUUGGAUCAAGCCUAAACGCCCCAUAAGAGUUCUUCAACAACACUUUGAAGACACAUUAAAGGUACUCUUCAAAGCAUCAAAUCACCAAAUCUCGCUUCGCAAUAUACGCUCAAAUUCGUGUUCUUGCAAAGCACAAAUCUUGGCUUGAUUACUCAAAUAAAUCAAGUCGCCAUACAUCAAAUCCAAGGGAAGAAUCAGAGGAUUGUCAUAUUCUUUUGAAAGAAUAUAUUACAUAGAGAUUGUACCCAUUCAUAUAUUUAAUAAAAUCAUACAUUUGUACACGUGUGCUUGUUUAAUUUCAGGUGCUCAAAAUUGUGUCCACAGUCACUUAGCAAUGAUCUACUGCUUUACUGUCUAUCUGCUAAUGACAGCAGUAUGAGCAUUAUCUAGAUUAGGAUGUUUUUCAAUUUGUUUUAAGUUUAUCUAGGAUUAGACUAGCUUGUUAUAUAACUCCUUAGAUAAAAGAGAUGAUAGCUGGUAUGUCUCUUUAGUUUUUCACAAUUUUGCAAUGGUUGUUUCCUUCUAUAAAUAAACGACUAGGGAUAGCAGUAACCUAUCGAGACAAUUCUACUCUUUGUUCUCUCCACUGCAAAACUCUGUUCUUUGUUCUUUGCUCUUUUUCUUAGUUCAUUAACUAAAGUUUGUUCUUUAUAUCUUAGUUAUUACAACAAUUGGUAUCAGAGCUUCUUUAAUCUUUGAAGGGUUUAUGAGUGAAAACAUGAGAGAAUAGUAAGGUUAAAUCAAAGCUUUAUGCUUUGAAGGGUUUGUGAGUGAAACACGAGAGAUUAAGUGAGUUUUUUUUAAGCAAUGGAUUCUGCAAAUUUUCCAGCAAAAACACCAGUGUUCACAGGGCAGAAUUAUAGUGUGUGGGCUGUAAAAAUGGAAACGUAUCUCAAAGCUUUUGACUUGUGGAAGAUGGUGGAGAGUGAUAGGCAACCAACUCUACUAGGUAACAAUCCUACGAUUGCACAGAUGAAAUUUUUCAAUGAAGAAAAGGCAAAGCGAUUCAUAGCUUUUACCUGUCUUCAUGAUGCUGUGAGUGAAGAAAUCUUCACAAGGAUUAUGGCUUGUAAAUCUGUCAAAGAAACGUGGGAUAAAUUAAAAGCAGAAUUUCAUGGUGAUGAGAAGGCAAGGAAGAUGCAAGUUUUAAAUCUCAGAAGGCAAUUUGAAGGUCUGAAAUGAAAGAAACCGAUACCUUCAAAGACUUCUCUUCUCAAAUUUCAAAACUUGUGAAUCAAGUGAGACUUUUGGGGGAAGACUUUCCAAACUCAAGAGUAGUAGAGAAGGUUCUGGUAAGUCUACCAGAGAAAUUUAAACAUAAAAUUUGCUCUUUAGAAGAUUCUAAAGAUUUCUCAAAAAUGAGUCUGCAAGAACUAGUAAAUGCAUUGCAAGCUAUGGAGCAAAGACAAGCUUAUAGACAAGAAGGAACAAGUGAAGGAUCUCUUGUUGCAGUUUACAAGGAGAAGAGUCGGGCUAAGAAUUUUUACAGAAACAAUCAAGAAGGAAAAAAAAGAGAAAGGGAAAGGCUGGUAAUCCAAUAACUGGCAACAAAACAACAACAACACCAUCACUAGAGGAAAAGAGAAGAGAGAAGAUUUUCCUCCUUGCAAAUUCUGUCAGAAAACAAAUCAUCUUGAAGCCUGGUGUUGGCUCAAUAAUGCACAAUGCCGAAACUGCAAGCAAUUUGGUCAUAUCCAAAGAUUCUGCAAAAACGAAGCAAAAACUGUAAAACAAGCUCAAGUAGCUGAGGGUUCAAAAGUGGAGGAAAAUCUUUUAUUCAUGGCUACAAUACAGGAGAUGUGUAAUACAGCCAAGGCAAACGACUCAUCAUGGCUUAUUGAUAGUGGCUGCACUAAUCACAUGACUGUAGAUCUAGCUUAUUCAAAGAUUUGGAUAAAAACUAUCUAUCUAGAGUCAGAAUUGGGAAUGAAGACUAUGUGAAGGUCGAAGGAAAAGGCGCAAUUGAAGUGGAAACAAUGUUAGGUACAAAAACUCUAAAAAAUGUUCUUUGUGUACCUAAGAUCAAUCAGAAUCUAGUUAGUGUGGAACAAUUAAUUGUUUAAUGAUGGAGUGUGUGACAUUAAAGAUAAAAAGGGAAUGUUACUGCUCUCUGCUAAAAUUAUGAAUAGAAGUUUUAAUGUUGAUUGGAAAGAAGUAUGUUUGAGUGCCAACACUUGUGAAGACAAUAAGUCUAUUCUUUGGCACAAAUAUUUGGGGCACUUCAAUUAUUUAAAGAGAAUGGUUAACCUGCAAAUGAAUAUACAGGAACAAUAGAGUAUUUGUGAAGCCUGUCAGUUAGGAAAACAAACUACAGUUGUUUUUCCUAACAAUGCAUUCAGAGCACUGUCAAAACUCUAGUCGGUACACACAGAUGUGUGUAGGCCGAUGCAUAAUGAAUCAUUGAAUGGUUCAAAGUAUUUUCUUCUAUUUGUUGAUGAUUAUAGUAGGUUCUGCAGGGUUUACUUUCUGAAAUCAAAAUCUGAUGUGUUUGCUAAGUUUGUUAAAUUCAAAGCAACAGUUGAAUUAGAAAAAGGAAACAAGCUAAAGAUAAUGAGGUCUGACAAUGGAGGUGAGUAUACCUCUCGUCAAUUUGAGGCAUACCUGGCAAAAGAGGGGAUCAAACAUCAUCGGACUAUACCCUAUACACCACAGCAGAAUGGUGUCAGUGAGAUGAGAAACUGGACAUUGAUGGAAAUGGCAAGAUGUUUACUAUAUGAGAAGAAAGUGUCAUUGAAAUUCUGGGCAGAGGCAGUGAACACAACAUCAUAUCUUCUAAAUCGAAUGGCCUCAAUAGUUUUGGGAGACAAAACUCCUUGUGAAAUCUAGUAUGGCUUUAAACCCAACAUUGAUCAUUUAAAAGUGUUUGGCAGUCUUUGUUAUGUUAUGAAACCUGAAGUUAAAAGGAGAAAACUUGAUCAAAAGGCCGAUAUAGGAAUUCUUAUAGGCUAUAGCACAACAUCUAAGGCCUAUAAAAUCUAUGAUCUGAAUUUUAACAAAGUUGUGAUUGCUAGAUAUAUAAAAGUUGUAGAGAAUGCUACAUGAAAUUGGGAAAAUACAUCAAUUGAAGGGUCAAAACAGAUGCAACAAACUGAGUUGGAUGCUGCAAAAAAUGUUGAUGACCAACAAGCUAAGUUGGAUGUUGCAGAAAAUGUUGAUGAUCAACCAGUAAGGGGGACAAAGUUCUUAACUGACAUUUAUAGCAGGUGCAAUGUGGCUGAGGCAGAACCAAUAGGUUUUGAAGAGGUCAUGAAUUCUCAAGUUUGGAUAGUAGCAAUGAAGGAGGAGCUUGCGAUAAUAGGAAAAAAAUCAAACAUGGAUACUGGUUGACAGACCAGCUCAUAAGAAGGUAAUUGGAGUGAAAUGGAUUUUCAAAACCAAAUUGAAUGUAGAUGGUAAGAUCAAUAAGCACAAAGCAAGACUUGUAGUGAAAGGAUAUUCAUAAGAGGCAGGCAUCAAUUUCACAGAAACAUUUGCUCCAGUUUCCAGGCAUGAUACAAUGAAGCUCCUGCUUGCUCUAGCAGCACAAAAUGGUUGGUAUAUCUUUCAGUUGAAUGUUAAGUCUGCAUUUUUUAAUGGUGUUCUAAACGAGGAGAUUUAUGCUGAACAACCUGCUAGGUUUGAAAAACAAAAUUCAACAAACAAAGUGUAUUUAUUGAAGAAGGCAUUAUAUGGACUUAAACAGGCUCGUAGAGCCUGGUACACCAGAUUGGAUAAUCAUCUCUUAAGCUUAGGAUUUAAAAGGAGUAUGAAUGAGGUAACUUUUUAUGUAAAGCAUGUUGAUGGGCAUAAACUUAUCGUAUCAGUCUAUGUAGAUGAUUUGCUGAUUACAGGAGACAAGGAGCAGCUUGUAGAGGAGUUUAAAACCAACAUUAAAGAUAAGUUUGAGAUGAAUGAACUUGGUUUGUUGACAUAUUUUUUAGGAAUGGAAGUAACUCAGUCUGAUCAAGGUUACUUUCUCUAUAAAAAAUGUUUUUCCUUGAAAAUACUGAACAAUUUUGCAAUGGCUAAUUGCAAGCCAGUCAGUACACCUAUGAUACAGGGACAAAAGCUAAUAAAGGAGGAUAGAGCACCAAAAACUGAUGGGAAAGCUUACAGGAGUCUAGUUGGGAGUCUACUGUAUUUAACAGCCACACGUCCAGAUAUUCUGUUUGCUGUGAACUAUCUCUCAAGGUUCAUGCAAAAUCCAAGUCAAAUCCACUUUCUGGCAGCCAAGAGAGUUUUGAGAUAUCUGAAAGGGACUGUAGGAUUUGGCAUGCAUUUUGUGAAAUCUAGCUCUGUCAAUCUUGUUGGUUUUUCUGACAGUGACUGGGGUGGAAGUGAUGAAGGAAUGAUGAGCACCUCAGGUUAUUGUUUUGCUAUGGGAAAUAGUGUGUUCUGUUGGAAUUCAAAGAAGCAAUCAGUGGUGGCACACUUCACGGCAGAGGCUGAAAACAUAGCUGCAUAUGUGGCAGCAAAACAAUUGAUUUGGCUAAGAAAGAUGCUAAGUGAUCUAGACUGCAAUCACCAAAAUUCCACAGUACUGUUCUGUGACAAUACAUCAGCUAUAGCCAUCUCAAAAAAUUCUGUCUUUCAUGACAUGACCAAGCAUAUGAAGAUCAAAUUCCAUGCAAUCAGACAAUUUCAGCAAGAAGGAGAACUAGAGCUACGUUACUGCACCUCUGAAGAACAGCUAGCAGACUUGUUUACCAAGCCUUUAGCCAAAAAUAUAUUUGAAGAUCUAAGAGGAAGAAUUUGAAUGUGUAGCUUUGGAACCAAUUGGAAUGUGUAGCUUUGGGACUAAGAAGGAGUGUUGAAGUUAUGGUACCAAAGCUGGAAAAGGUCACUUAGCAAUGAUCUACUGCUUUACUGUCUAUCUGCUAAUGACAGCAGUAUGAGCAUUGUCUAGAUUAGGAUGUUUUUUAAUUUGUUUUACGUUUAUCUAGGAUUAGACUAGCUUGUUAUAUAACUCCUUAGAUAAAGGAGAUGAUAGCUGGUACGUCUCUUUAGUUUUUUACAAUUCUGCAAUGGUUGUUUCCUUUUAUAAAUAAAAGACUAGGGAUGACAGUAACCUAUCGAGACAAUUCUGCUCUUUGUUCUCUCCACUGCAAAACUUUGUUCUUUGUUCUUUGCUCUUUGUUUUUUUUCUUAGUUCAUUAACUAAAGUUUGUUCUUUAUAUCUUAGUUAUUACAACACAGCUACUGGUUCCACCAUGAGUUCUGCUAUCUUAGAUAUAAUGGAUCCACCCACACUUUCGAUAGCCAUUUUCCACCAGUCUGAAAAUCAGAGAAAUAAGGAUACAGAACGUGAGAGUGAGUCACUACAAGUAAAACAGGGGCAGAGAAAAUGUGAAAAAUAUGUGCGAAAAGCACUGGCAAUCAAUGAAAUAGCGGGAGGAAGAAAAGGAGAAGGCCUUUAGCUCUGUAUGGAAUCCAGCUUCAAAAGCAACAAGACAAGGUAGCAGUGAAGAAGGACCUGAAAUCAUGGCAGCAAAUAAGGAGAGAAAAUAAAGAGAAAAAAUAAUUUUAAUAAAGAAAAUUUUAAAUUUUAAAAAACACGGCUUGCACAAUAUUCCAAACGGUGUCAUCACGGCCAGUGUCACGGGGUUAAUUUUUCGCAACUAAACUUAACCCAAUGCGGCAGUCUAGCCCCAACUAGACUCAGCCUUGCCUCACCCUUUCACUCGUGUUUUCCUACGACUAUGUGUUUCGCUCACUCAAGGAGGUUCUCACACUCGCCUCGUCGUAGACAACAAAUAAACACAAGCAACACAAGCACACUAGAGUUUUACAAGAAUCCCUCUCAACCUUUAUUUAUCUCGUCAACAAAGGAAUACACAAAAAUGGUGUGUGCUAUGCACAAAUCGCAUGCUACACAGCAGAGGCUUGGCAGCCUAUUUAUAGCCAAAUGUGAGAUUCCAUCCUCACCUAUAAUCCCCUAAUUUCGGGGCAUAGUGGAGCAUUAUCUCCCCCAUGAUCACCCUUUACAUGGACUAGUGGAGCACUACCUUCCCCAUUAUCCUUAGUGGGUUGGUGAAGCACUUUGUCCUCCAUUAUCUGGCCCCUCCACCCAUGAUUCUGCCUGCCCUCAUGGCAGCCCCAAUUGUCUGCCUUGCUGUGUCAGCUGCUGACUUAGAAAGUCCAUUGCCUAAGCCCCACGUCCAUGCCAAGUCGCCAGCUCAAAGACUUGCACAGACCCUUGCACGCUGCCUGCCGAAUUCGUUUCUGCCGCAGUCCAUCGCUGCCGAAUUCUAGGCAAUGUGCCUUCGUUGGCGCGCCCCGCGCCUAGACCUCUAACAGCCAGUCUUUAGAAAGUUUGAAAAUUAGCAUGAAAAAGAGGAUAAUAGAGUAGUUAAAAUCAAAACACAUAUAAACAGAGGACAAAAACAGGCAGAGAUGCUGUUUGUUUUUUUAACUGUGUCUGUUUUUUUUAACUGUGUUUGAGUGGUUUAUAAAAUUAUAUUUAAUUUAAAAUUAUUAAAUUAAUAUAUUUUUAGUGUUUUUUUUAUUUUAAUAUAUAUAUAUAUAUAUAAUAUUUUAAUAUGUUUUUAAAUAACAUAAAUAUUUUUAAAAAACAUGUAUAUACUAAAAGAGAAAGGAGUUCUUCCAUUUAUUAUUGUUCACUUAAAUUUAUUUUACUUGUAUGACAAUAGUUUAACUUUUCAAUUUAAUACUUUAUUAUUAUUUAUUUAUUGUGUAUAAUUGUGCUUUUUUGAACUCAAAUUAGAGUUUAAUUACGUAUUUUUUAGGGGUGAGAGUUGAAUUAAAACAUAAAUAACUAAAGUGAAAUACUCGGGUAAAAUAGUUAAUAGCUCUGCAAUUUGGUUGCAAAGUUUGUUUUAAUUAAAAAUUAAAAAAUUAUGUAUCAAACAUUAUUAUAAUAAAUAUGAAAAAACCUAAGAACCAUAGAUUUGAGAAAACUAAAUAAAAACUUAACAAUAUAUAAAUUAAAAAAUAUUAGAUAUUUUAUCCUCAUUCAAUAUUAAUAAGCAAAUCAUUUUAGAAAAUUUAUCUAUUAUAAUAAUACAUAAUUAUUCAUAAAAUAAUUAAUAAUAUUACAAUAAAAAGCUUAAUUUUCUUGAAAACAAUAAAAUAAUUAAAUAAUUAUUUAAAUAUAUUUUUUUUAAUUUUAUCCUUCAAUUUAACCACUUGGGAAUGAGACCUCAGCUAUGACUUUAAAGGCUUUAAGUUUUUAUAAUUAACCUAAGCUAUGAUCGGUCAAUGUUUUUUUCAGUUUUCUUUUCUUUUCUUUUCAAAAAAAAAAAAAACAAAUCAUCAAGGGAAAAAAAUAAAAAGACUUGCAAAGGAGUACAAUUAUUGGAUUCGGAAUGAAUCAACGAAAGAUCAAACUCAACCGAUUAUCUAUGAUGAAUAUGGUGAAGUUUCUGUUGUUUCUGUUGGAGUUUUAUAGAGUUUCACAUAUUAUCUCACGAUUUCAUAUUUCAAUAGCUUUCCUAACAACAAGCGAUAGGAAGAGGGCAGCCUUUGUUCUGCUGUUCACACAGACUAAGAACUCCUACCAUUGGAAAAUCAUAUAAUUAAAACACAACAAUAUAUAAAAAUGUAAUAAGCAGCUGAUUAAUGCUGUUGUUCUUUCUUCUUGUUUUGCUAUUUUGAUUUUAUCAUAUUUUCUUAAGAAAUUAUGAUUGUGUUAUUUUUGAAUCGGACUCCCAUAUAUAAUGAAAGUAAGAACGUUCAUUCCUUUAUAAACAUUGACUUUGAUUUUUCCUUUAUAAAACCAUAAACCUGCAAAUCACGAAAAACUAGAUCAACAUGAAGACUUAUCAGAUCCUAAUGAAAAGCUGUCAAAAUCCUAUCAGAAAUUAAGGAAGAUGACGUUAACUUCAAAUCUGAGGAUUAAUUGUAGCAGAUCUUAUAGAGUUCAGCUGAUUGCUUUACUUGUUUAAAUAAUUCUCUUGUAAGCCUAAUGGUUCACGUCUUCCAUCAUUGCAAACUUUUUUUCUGUGAUUGAAAAAUCUAUAAUAGGAACCUGCACUGCAUCCCUUCUAUGCUGUUGUUCUUUCUUCUUGUUUUGCUAUUUUGAUUUUAUCAUAUUUUCUAUGAUGAAAGUUGAAGAAAUUCUACUUCGAAACUCAAGACAAAGUCUCUCGGACUGCAUAUUAGUGGGUUGCUCAUUGGGAUUUCUAUAAACAACUGAUUCUAAUAUUGCAAAGCAACAUUACGAAAAACUGAAUAUUUCACACAUAGUCUAAUAAAAGUAGAUUCCAUUGUCAAUUCCUUAACAUCUUCCAGACAAAUCCAUGCUCCUCUUGCCAUUCCCUAAUUGCGUUGAGCCAGUUAAUCUGGAUGAAAGAAAGGACUUCGACCUUGAAAUUAGCAUCAUAGUCAUGGAACCUUAAAGCAGACCCAACUUUGUAGCUCAUUACCAGUUACGUAAAAGUUAUCAAUAUCUGUGUAAAUCAUUGAAACUGCCACAAAAUUAAGCAACCCAAAUUAGUUUUGAAUUGGAUUUGAUAAAGGAUAGAGGGAAAGAGGGGAAAAGACAGAUGAAGAUCUGCGCAGGGCUACCUGUUUUGAGAAUUAUGGAUUUUUAUCUCUAACUCAGAGCGGCACCAAUUAUAAGUUCAAUAAAAAAAAUUUGUAACACAACAGAUGGAAAAACUCGAAACAACUCGGCUAGAAUUUAGGAAUGAAAUUCAGAAUGAGCCAAGAUUUUAAGUGAGAUGAAACUCUUUGAAAAAAAAAAUUAAUAUGAAAUAUACUUUUCAUUUUAGUGAAACUCGAGUUUAUUGUGUCAAAGAAAAUGUUCUAAAAAAAGGUUUUGAGCAUUAACAAAAUCUAGUUGUCUAGGCAAUCGACUAUUGUUGCUGUUACAGUUGGUGCAUACUCAAUGACACCAUGGAUUCACAUGGUGCAAUUUUAUUUUUAUUUUUAUAAAAUAUUUCACAAACUCUUAAAUAUACGAAAAACUCUACCUCAACUAAAAUAUAAAAAAAAUUGCAAAGGAAAGAUGCAUAACAUCCAAAAUAAGCAAGAAAUCUAAAAAUAAUAUGGAAGAUCACAAAAAACUACAAAAACUAGGGGUCUUAGCAUGAUUUUUUAUAUCUAAAGAUUCGACAGUCGGUGUGAGAAUUUGAACAUGAUCUAAGAAUUAGAUAAAACAUUAUAGUCCUUUUGAGUUAUUAUUUUGGUCUGACGCGAACAAACCUUUUCUAUUGAUCCAUAAAUUUAAUGCCCCUACAUAUAAAAAGAAAUAGAUAGCUGCUUAACUGAGUUAACACGUUUUGGUUCUUUUUUCAUGAUUCAAGUCGUAAAUUUAGUAUUUUUCCUAGGUUGAUUGUGUGUGAUCUUAUAUAUCAACAUCUUAAUAUUAAACAACAAAAAAUUUCAAGAUUGAUUUUUUUAGGCUGAUCUAUAUUUUACUAAUAGUCUGAGUUGUUUUUGGGUUUUUCAAAUAAAAAAGGAGUUAAACUUAAGAAAAACAACUUAAGAUUAACACUUAAAAUUUAAAAAUUUUAAAAAAAUCAUAAUAAUAAAAUUCUUAAUUUCUGACACCACAACAAGAUGCUUAGAAAGAAGCUAUCUAACAGGAGGGUGGGGCUACUCUUAGCCAAUGAAAACAGCUUCACAUGCAACACAACAACGUCAGCCUGUUUUCUCUUUAAUGAACACCCUCUUGGAUUCUCUAGCAUUAGCCAACAAGGUAUCUGCUUGGAAUUACUUCCACCAAUCUAAGACAUAUCCGCAGCUCCACAGCUCAAACAUGAAUCUCCGUGAAAUCACCUAAGGUCGAGUUGAUCAUGUAAUAGGUAACCAACCUUGCCUGAUGCAAACAUGAAGAACAAAGACCAUCCAUGCAUAUCGCAUACGUUGAUUUAAUUGAACCAUUAAAAGAAGAAGGAAAAGGAGAGCAGACAAAUAAUUGCAGCCAUGUCACCUGGUUUGGGCAAGAAAGAAUUAUUAGACUACCAAUAACCAUCAUCAUCAUCAUCAUCAUAUUACUUCAGCUGGUCCACUCUCUAUUAGUGCUUGAAUCUUCAGCUGGUUGAGAUACCUGUAAACCAAUUCAAGCACGGCAUAUACAUUCUAAAUUGUAAAUCUUAUUAUUGAGCGAAACAAGAAACAAACACACUAAAAGAGAGGCAAGAAAUGAAGUCAAAUCAGCAGCACCUCUGAUUGAGCACUCAUUGAACCACCAUUUGGUGUAAUAGCAAAUUUUAUGGUCAACUUUGAGCAUUCAUACACCUUCAACUUCUCCAAACGAGGGAAUAAGAAAUCACAGCAUCCGAAACUGAAGCAGACAAUACUUGAUAAUUGUUCUAGAGACAACUUUUUUAGAUUAGGAAGCACCAUCUCCUUCUCAACGUUGACAGGUGAAGCAUGAUCAUCCUGCCCAAAGACUCCCAAUAAUUGAGAGGCUUUUGUUACCCUCAGUAUUUGGAGAUUUGGGAGACCUGAAGCCAUGGCUAAUGGGAAGAGACUCUUCAACUUGUUGCAUUCUCUAAUCUCAAUUUCAC
This 141275-nucleotide long non-coding RNA is filed under the name Populus trichocarpa (black cottonwood). RNAcentral's name for it is "long non-coding RNA (PTRI_LNC000457)". The stretch from base 754 to 875 matches the Rfam family "MIR480 microRNA precursor family". Lineage: Eukaryota; Viridiplantae; Streptophyta; Magnoliopsida; Malpighiales; Salicaceae. The record is from RNAcentral.